RNAcentral lists this long non-coding RNA (92678 nucleotides) under Ganoderma lucidum. RNAcentral's name for it is "long non-coding RNA (GLUC_LNC000042)". The record is from RNAcentral. Lineage: Eukaryota; Fungi; Basidiomycota; Agaricomycetes; Polyporales; Polyporaceae.
UACCCGCCCGCUGGUCAGCGGGGCGCCGACCCAUCCCCCCUUCUGUUGGCAUGGUCGGCUGACGUUUCUUCCAUACAAAUUAGCAGCAGGAAGAGUUCACACAGUGUCGCAUUGACCACUAUCAGACGCCGACCGAAGUCCACGCCUCUGUCUUCGCCAAGAAGGCCGACCCGAACACGAGCGUUGUUAAAAUAGAGGAGACCGAGGUGUGCCCUGCCCUGUCCAUGUGAUGGCGCGUUCUAAAGCGAAAUACCUUGCGCCCCACAGGUCUUCAUCGACCUCUACCUCCCAGACUCGAAGCGCUUCCGCAAGACUCUCCAACUUUGGGGUCCCGUCAAUGCGGACGAAUCGUCAUUCAAAUUUUACGGCACUAAAGUACGUGAUUGGACGCUGCAGCGGGCACCCGCUGUCAUGCUUAAACGACGUUUACGUCUGGAUGCUGACACUGGUACCCUAGUUGGAACUGAAGCUCAGGAAGAAAGAUAACCGCAGCUGGACGCUCCUCGAGAAGACAGACCGCGACCUUGGUAAUAUUAACUUUACCUUCGGAGUCGGCGGCAGGACGGGCACGAUUGGUGCGAAGGAACUUGUCUUGGAUGAUGCUAACAAGGCGCGCACAUGAGCCCGAUCCAAGCAUGUAAAGUCCACUUAACCAUGUACGUCGGCCCGUGCACGGUUCUCGGACCAUUCUUGUAGAGCGUAGAGGAGCAGUGUGUAUAUAAUGCAUGUAAAUGACACAGUGAUUUCUAUGGAUCUACGCAUCGACGAUCUAGGGCUGCGACUAGCACUAGCGAAUUAGGGUGGCUGGACGGUAAGACUAUAAUGAACGUAUCAUAAUUUACCGGGUAAGGAGACCUCCUCGUACAUCUCUAUGAUGUCCCCGACGCGAAGGUCAUUGAAACCCGCAAGGUUCAUACCGCAUUCUGUGCCUCUGGCAACUUCCAACAUGUCCUUCUUGUGUUGUUUCAAGGUAUCUAGACGACCUGUAACCAUACUCUCAGCUCAAAUAACGAACAUCCAUAGAUCUCAAGCAGGCGAUCACUACUACACCGUUCGGUUUGGCUGCAAUCCGCCCAACCAGGAACAAGAAGACCGGGAAAAAAGAGAAACCGGCUGCUCACCCUCAAAAACGGACUUGCCGUCGCGCAUAACGCGGGCAAGCUUGCUCUUUUCGACAACGCCGUUGGAAACCCUGCAGCCGCCGACCUGCGUCGUCUUCUUUCCCUUAAGGCCGAUCUCGAACAGCUGGAGCACCGUCGCCUCACCGGUGACGCGCUUCUCUAUGAUCGGCGGGAGGAGCUCGACAACCUUCUGGGUGACCGUGUCCAUGAGCUUGUAGAUGACGGACGACGACAGAAUGGGGACGUGCUGCGACGCCGCUUCGUUCUCGACAACUCGCGAGACUUUGACCGAGAAAGCUACGACCACACCUGUAGGUAAAAGGCGACCGAGCGACGGGUUCGUGUGGAAGUGGCCGAUGUCACCAUGGCGCGCAGGAACAGGAUACUAGUGGUUACGUACCUUCAACAGCUUUUGCGCGCAUGACGUCCGACUCAUUCACGUCACCCACGCCGGUGGCAACGAUCUUUGUGCGCGCAACAUCGUUCCCGAUGACUUCCAGUGCGUUCACGACGGCCUCCACACUCCCGCUGACAUCUCCCUUGAUGACUAGGCGCAGCUCCUUCGGGCCCUCAGGUUGUACAGGCGCAGGGGUCUUGGUGUCGGCGCCUUCCUCUUCCGCCUCGCGCUUCUCACGCUCAGUGCGACGCUGCUCGUUGAUCGCUUCGAGAUCGACCAAGGUGGACUCCAUUUCAGCCUUGCGGACGCGAUUCGCCAACGCCUUCUUAAUGUCCGACUCUGACCCUGUGAGGACCUCGUCACCGGCAUUUGGGAGCUCCUUCCAUCCGGAUACAGUCACGGCCAUUCCCGGAUACGCCGCCUUGACGGUCUUGCCGUUGGAAUCGGUGAGCAGGCGAAUCUUCGCGGAGGUUGCACCGCAGAUCAGGUGCUGGCCAGGCUUGAGGUUCCCUCGCAGGACGAGAACGGUGCCAGUCGGUCUAAGGGCACAUUUAGCGGGAUACAUGCAUAUAGCAAACUGACACUCACCCCAGCCCCUUUGUGACUUUGGACUCAAGGACGUAGCCUUGAACCAUCCCUUCGCGCUCAGCGCGCAGGUCCUGCAUCUCUGCUAGAACGGAGAUAGUUUCGACUAGAUGAUCAAGACCCUGGCCGGUAAGUCCCGAAACAGGAACAGAAGGUAUGUCGCCGCCGAAGGUCUCGAGCUGCACGCCUUCAGCGAGUAAGGCGUGCUCAACCUUCGUCUGAAGAGAAUGGCACUCAAACUUUAGAUUUGCACCCGACAGCGGCAGACACGGAAACAACUCACGAUGUCAACGCCAGGCUUGUCAACCUUGUUAAUCGCCACGACGAGACCGACCUUAGAGUUCUUCACGAGGUCGAGCACUUCGCGGGUCUGUGGCAUGAUGCCAUCGUCUGCCGCGACGACGAGCACUACGACAUCCGUCACGCUCGCUCCUCGGGCACGCAUUGCGGAAAACGCAGCGUGGCCAGGAGUGUCUAAGAACGUAAUGGUCCUCGUUGGCUCCGAGCUAUUACUGCUAGCCGGUACAGGGACGGAGAAAGCACCGAUAUGUUGCGUGAUCCCUCCUGCUUCGCCCUUUGCUACUGAAGUGGACCGCAAAGUGUCCAGUAGGGUGGUCUUGCCAUGAUCGACGUGCCCCAUGAUAGUGACGACGGGCGGACGUUCGGGUAAUGUGUCCGGUUGUAGAUGGGAAGGCCUGGUAAACAUCCUUAUGAGGUUCUUGGGAAGAAAGAUUCAAACUAGCAACUUACGGCGUGUAAAUAUCGAAUGCAGCCUCGUCGUUUAUGACUGGAUUUCGGUUAAACUCCAACACCAACAAUGACGCAUAAUCCGACGUAAGCACUAUCGGAUGGAUUAAGACACGUUGAAACCACAGAGUCAAAUGCACGCACUAUGAUCAUGGGAGGCCUCAGAUUCCAUUCCGACACGAAUCAUCCUGCGGCGCAGGGUAUCUUCCAAAAUGACUAAGUCGACAAGGAAUUGCAUGCGUAUGAGAGGGCAUACCAAGGCUGAUAUUGAGCAAUCUCGCCAAGUUGCCCACAGUGACGACGCUUGGAAUGAAAACAUCCACGUUCACCUGUUUGACCGUUUUGAGACCCUUUGGAGCCUUCGCCUUCUCCUUCAUAGCCACCUGACCGGCCGACGUGCGAGACUUUUUCGAAUUGCUCGGGAUUUCGGCAUCUUGGCCCAGGCGGGACAUGAGCGAGCCCCUCUCCUUGAACUGAACGCGUUUGUGCCGGGUUCGAGAGGCUUCUUGACUUUCGUUUAUGUCCAGUCCAGCAGUCCAUGUCUGUUGCACCUUGUCACCCUGUCCGUCAGAUGUCUCAAUCCGAGCCUCACCCUCCACCUUGCUGGUGCGUACGGGAUCCGCAUCUCGUUCGCGAGCUGCCGAUGCCUUCUCUAUACGGUCUGAACGAAGAAUGUUACCAAGGCCAGACAGACUUGAAGACUCUCCUCUAGAUUUCCUUGUAGAGGGGUCUCUCUGAGACCAGGACCGUCCGUCUCGUUGCCCAUCUCGAGGGGUGCGAGCACGGAGAGUUUCAGGCAAGUCCUUCGUCCUCGGCCUUCCAGCUUGAUGAGGACGUAGAUCCUUCAUAUUCGACGCUCCAGCCACUUUCGGGCUUUGUGGUCGUUCCCAGGAACGUCUUUGAGGGAGAGCAAGGGAGGGCUGCUCAACGGAGGGACCACUCUCCGCCGGGCGAGCGAGUUCGGGAGGCCUCCCCCAGCUUCUGCUCCGAGGAACUCCGGGAGACGGGUUUGUUUGCACGUCAUAUUGCCAUUUGGGCUGCCCACAGUCUGGAAUCAAUUGUGAAGGCGGGAUUUACGUGCAGACAUACCUUCGUCUGCGUCGCAGUGGAAGUAGACGACGAGCGAAUACCUAAGCGUGCAAUCCGGAGACAACGGCGCAUGGCUGGGGGAAACUUGAACAAGGGGGCGGAAUGGGGAUUUUUUGGCGAGCCUCAGUGUUGCAUUGAAGCAGCCCAGAGAGAGUAGCCGAGACGGAAUACGGGUGGCCGGGGGAGAGGUUUAAUGGUCGAGGACGAGAACCAGGCCUGACGACUCGGGGUGCAAGUCCGUCACUGGCGCUCGUCUCAAAUGUCGAACCACGUGACUGGCACAACAUACUUGUGUCGGGAUUAGCCGAAAGGGAUUUAUUAUUGAACUUGUACUUGUAGAUCAGCCUCUCCAUACUUCCUUAGUACUACGACUAGGCCGCAACUAGGCCUCGCCCGCCCUUCGGUCUAUUUACCUUUCUAACCUCACCACACCCAGGUUGCGUCUCUAGCUCAUGAAUGCAACGCACCACGCCUUUGCAGAAACAUCCCGAGUUUUCGAUCAUCCAAGGGCAAACAUGGCGGGAAUACAGGGUAGAGGCGCCCAGUCCACGUAGACGUAUCGCCAGCAGGAUCCCUGCUUUCGGCCCACUAUGGAUGGAGACAUGUCUAAUCUGUGGUAUAGUGUACUACUGGAGGAUAGUAUGUAAAUGUUGCAUGGCACAACUAGGGCGAUGCUAAUUUAUGAUUAGGUUACUUCGACUGCACCUAGCAUCGUGGCCCUGGUCGUCGUGUUGCUUUUAUAUGUGUACACACGCUCCACUCAGAUCCAAUGGGGCAAGUGCAUAAACCUUCACCACUAGAGCACACCGGACGCUAAAUUUUCCAUAUGUAGAAUCCGUGGUUAUACUUCCCUCGUUAGGGGUGCAGUUCGAGACGCACAAGGGCUUCGCAGGGAUUUCCCUCAUGGCUGGUCGCAAGUUUAUUCCCUGGGCUACUUUGGAAGACUUCCUCAUGAACGAGGGAUUAUAUGGCUGGGAUAUUCGAUACUAUUGCGUUGUCAUGAAUCGCACGCCACAGGGUUCACUUCAAUUGGAAGUUGCAUUUGAGGUCGGUGUACUUUCCGCAACAAUUCAGUCGGGAAGCUUGCCGACCACAUAUUCAGAACUUGCUCCCACGAUUCCCCAUCCUCCUCGAGGUAUACCACGGAGUACAAGAGGCGCUUCAAGCUGAGAACGAGCGACGGGCGGAAAGAUAGGCAUUAAGUUCAGUGGACAAAGCGGCAGCAUACUAUUACUAGGACGGACAUGGGACACUGCACACAAAAUAGAUAUAGUACCUCGGCGACGAUACUAGUGACGAUGUAGACGUGAUUCAUAUGACAGACAUAUUCGGACGUAUAUCAUCCUCCACUCCCAAACUCGAAUCAUGAAAUAUCCUCGCUCUCGUAUGCGCUCAGCAAAUCGUUGUAGCCCUCGUCAUCCCCCUCCACAGCGGCGCUCUCGCGCUUAUGCUUCGUCUCGCGCUCAGCUGAGGCCUUGCGCCUCCCCUCAGAGGAGAUCUUGCGAGUGCGGCUCUCCGUCGAGAUUUUGCGCGUCCGGGUGGGUGCCUCGCCCUCGCCGCCCGAAACCUUGCGUACGCGACGGGAUCGAGGAGACGGCGGUAUGAUCAUCUCCUCGUCGAACGUGUUCGCCCGUGGGGUUGUCGAGUUCUCAUGGUCGUGGUCGUCAAUAGGCACGUCCAGUGUCUGCGAGUGCGAUGGUAGCGGGUGGGAUGGGGACGGCUCCGUGGGACUGCGCGAGUUUCGAAGCGUCUGCAGGCGCGGUGGGAAGCGUUUUCUGCGGAGGUUCGAAUUCUUCGCGGCGGGCUCCGUGGCGGAGGAAUCGGACGCCUCCAUAUCCCGAGACAUCCGUGAGACGGUCGCUUGCCGGCGAGCAAGCUUGUACUCGGGCACUGGGCUUGUUAGGGGAAUGUCGUUGGCCUCGGGGAGUACGACAGACCCACGUUGCCGCUGCGAUUCUGGCUGCUUCACCUGAACGUCGGUAGUGGUCAUGGUCUCCGCAUCAGGAGUACCGGGGGGCGGCGGGGAUCCGAUAGUGGUGGGAGAGUCUGGGGCUUCUGCCCGAGACCAACCGCCUGGAGCGUUGUCCUCGGGAGCCGAACCGUUGGUAGGGAGGCGACGGUGAGUCUUCGGUGGCGUUGGGGGAUUGAUCGAGGUCUUUGACGCUGUUCGCCUCGAUGCACGUGCCAUCGGCGAAGGUGACUUGUUACGGUUGAUCGGCACGAUCCUGCUGGUGCUCCCGCUGUCGGAGUCCAUGUCUGAUUGCGUGCCCAUCCUCUUCGGACGGUAUGGCUCCGAUGGGGAAAGAGAGGAGACGGACGAUUGAGAAGCGCGGUGAUCGACACUGGAACGUUUCGCGCGCACUGCAUCCACCCAUUUCGCUUCUACAGAAGGUGAAAGGGGAGAGCGUGCAGGGCUUUCAGGUCUAGACCCGGUAAGAAGAGAGGACGAGUUUAGCAGUAAGGGGCGGGGCCCAGUGCUGCUGCGAGUUGGUGUCUUAUCUGAUGGAGGUUUGAACGAGGACGACAGUAAGCUGGGCAUACCCAAAGAACCCGACUCUGAUACAGGCGACGCAUCACCGCUCUGGCUAAUUGGUGAAGCAACGAAUACGCUGUCUCGGACUGGCCGGAAGAACGCGGGUCUAGGGGGAGGCGAAUAAUUGUCCGAUCGGUCGAUGAUAGGCAUGGAUCCCCUCUUGUCUUCUGGAGGCUUUGGUGACGAGCGAGUCAACGCCGUAAGGGAGAUACUCCGGGCAUGAUCCACAAUUGAGGUAACGGUAGGUGCAGGGGAGGAUAUCGGAGGUGGCGCCAGCAUGUUUGAAGGGGUAGCUUCGGCUCGAGGCUUUGACCAAACAUCCAGAGCUUUGACUCUCCAGUUCGUACUCACUUUGGCGAAAGUCGCAGCAGCAUCAGAAUCCUUCAGCUUCUCAGCGUAGCCCCAGAUCAUGUUCUUCCCGCGGGUAGCGGCAUCAGCAACGGUCGGCCUUGUCGGCGCAGAAGGCGGCGAUUGAGGGGACGUGAGACCAGGUGAAGGCAAAGGCGAGCCGGGAGGAGGGGAGGGGACAUCCAUUGCGCUCUGGUUGGUGAUCCCUCUCCACACAGUGUUGGCCAGACGUGCGGAGAAAGUAUUCUGCUGAGACUGCUGUGGGGGCUUCUCCUCGUAUUCUUCAUCCGUCUCCUCAUCUGUCUCGUCUUCAUCGUCAUGAUUAGAUUCCAUACUUGACGAAAUACCCUUCCAAACUGUGUCCCGAAGACGCGCUCCAAGCCCAACGACGCCAUUCGACUGUGGGCUGACCGCAGCCUCGCGUUGUGAAGCUAGGUCACAAGCUGUCUGCAACACUUUCUCGAUACCGCCAACAGCAUCCAACGGAUACUUCUGGAGGAAGGCCAUGCCCUCGAUGAAGGCUUCUUCUAGCUCCCGCUCACCGAUGGCCGUAGAUGGAAUAGCAGCGACUUCGUCCCCCCAGAGGUUCUGUUGCUUGCGAUGCGACCUCCCUAGUCUGCAACGCAGAGCAUUAGACAAGGCCGUGUCUGCAAGCAGUCAGUGGGACUUACUGAAGCAAGAUAGCCCGGGCGGAAAGUAACAUGCUAGUGCAGACGUCGAUAAGGUAAUCUAACUUUGGAUUCUCGUCUCGUUCCCGCAUCGGACGGGAGAAAAGAGCAUCCCAGACCAUGAGAACAGCAGGUAAGGGGAGUGUGUGCGUGAGCAGCGGAAUGAGCCAGCGGCUGUAGCAGGACCAAGGUGAACUCAGGUUCAGAUCACUAAACAGCAGCGAAAACGUACAAGGAGUAAUGUGGGAGACCUGGAUCUAGCCCCUUGGUUGCCUAGAUGCAACAAAUACUGAGACACCAAUAUUCAACGAGUUGCAUUGUCACGUACCAAGUCAUCCGCGAGCUCCGUAUCAGCCCACCGCAGACGGUCGCUCAGCUUCUGGACCCAAACAGUCCCGUUCUGCUCAUCCUGCAAGGCAGCAAACUCUCCGACCAUGGACUCGAACACCCAAAAAGCGUCUGCCUCGACAUGGGGAACGUCUUCUGGGUCCACCUCCUCCACGAGUGCUGCAUAGAUGGGCACUAGCAACGAACCGAUCUGGGGCGAUCGGUUUGCUGGAUUUAGACAUGAAUGGAUGUACAGCAACCUCAGGAGCGCCGAUGAAUGCUUGUUGUGGGCCGUGAAAGAGGUGUAAUGUCGUGACGGAAGGAGGGUCGUCGAGAUACCAGAAUGCUCGGACGCCGGAGAAUCGGGUACAGAUAGCGCAUCUUCGGGUGUGCCUUCGCGUGCCCUAGUCUUGGUUGGGGACGGCUCUUCCAGACGAACCUCUGGGGUCUCGUCGAGCCGGAUUUCGGGAGUAGUGUCAAGACGGAUUUCGGGAGUGGUGUCAAGACGGAUCUCGGGGGUAUUGUUCGCGGAUGGUCGGCCGGAUUCCCCGGCCUCUUUCGCGCGGAUGACGCGGAGUCGGGCAUUGAGGUUACCUGCGCUGGCGAUCUUGACGUCUUCUGGUGCGUCAUCAUCCAACGGGCACUGCGCGCACGGUUCCGGCUCCUCUUCCAGACUAGACAGAAGGUUGGGCGGAACCAUAGAGAGUUCGUUGUAGACAUCCAAAAUAGAUUGAUCGGUCGAUGAAAGUGGCGCCGUUGGCUCUGGUAGGGAUGGAAGCGGUUCGAGCAAUCGUCGUACAAGAUCCUGUCUCCAGAGUUUAGCAGAUUGGGUAGGGCAAUAUCAUGCUAGAACUUACAUAGUAAUUGUCUCUCUGGGUGUUGGAUUCUUUACGCCAAGCCGUUUUAUCGGAAGGUAACGUACCAAGUAGCAAUCUGCCUCCUGUUCAACACUGCCGGAAUUUACCCAACUGUGACGAUGCUCACCGCCAAACCCGUGGACGCAACCAAGGUGGAUGUGACGGGAGACCUAGAAUCGCCUUAAUAACGCCGAUUUUAGAGAUACGCCACCCACGCUUGGCACAUACCAUGAGAGCAUAAGUGACGGAGGUGCGCCAGGUCAAUCACGUUAACAAUUUCAGGGUCCACGAUGGGAGACAAAGCAUUGACUCUGUGUGACUGAGCUUCAACACCUUUCUACUCCCACAUCUACGAUGACACACGCACUUCUGUUGUGGGGACAAGUCGGGGAGCCAUUGAACAUUGUAGCUACGCGCGAUGCCAUACAGAUAUUGAUCCAGCCUCGCGGCUGUCGGUGGAGGAGCAGCGAUGGCGCGAAGCACCUGCAUUUCGUCAGGCAUGCACAGAGAAAUACAACACAACGUACACCUUACCCUGGUUGACACAUAGUUAUCUUGGUUGGUAAGUGCAGAACGCGUAAAAUCGAGUCCAAGCGCCUGCAUGAUGAAUUCCCGAACAUUGUGGAGGUCUACCAACGCCCGUUUAAAACAAGCUCGGUUAUUGCAUCGGAGGACGGGGAGGCGGAACGGAAAGCCAAGCUUACGCACCUUUCGAUUCAACUUGUAGGCCAGCGUAUAUGAUGCUUGAGGCAGCUUCUGCUACGAUGGGACUUGGCGCGUCACUAAAGGCGGGUAGCGGUGUCAAAUGGUAGGGCAGGGAAGGCGCGUCCGCACGGACUCAGUAUAAUACAAUGCGCACCUGCGUUCGAGCUCAUUCAGAUGGCCCAGUAUGACACCGAUGUGCAUCUCCAAGGUCUGCAUGAGAUCGCUCUUGACGUCGUCCCUCAUCAGCUUCUGCGCCUUCGCUCGCGCCAGCGCGACGUUGCCUUGCUGCAGGAGGGUCGCAAUGUCUCGCUGUGUGAUCUGCGCCUGGGAGUCCAUUCGGUCUUGCAGCUGGCCCAAUCGCUGGGCAGUAAGCCGCAUCUGGCCCUGAUCCACCAUGUUCCCUGAAUAUGGUGCAUCGUGCAGCGUUGGCGAAAGCGACAAACCUUCACCCGCCCGGUGUCCCAUUGAGCAGCCAUAACCUGAGGUAUGUGUCACGGUCCGUCGUGAAUUCGUGUAGUGGUAGCGUCGGAAGAGGUCAAGGUCACGAGAAUAGGCGUGUGCACGUCGUCGCAGAGCAGAGCAGUUGUGUCAAAGCAUGAGGCGUCCCUCUCAAGGGUCCGGACGAGGCCAAAGCCGAAAUUGGGGAUUGAGAGCGUUUAGCGAAGGAAAUGCCCGCACGUGGCCGAACGACUUGAUGGACGCCAAGAACUGUAAGCGGUCGAGGACGCUCUCACCAGUGGCGUUCUAUCCCCGCCGCUGAAACAGUUGUGAUCCCAACUGCGCGUUCGGCGCGUUGAUAGACAUACUGAUCAAUCUAAAUUAUAUGCGUACUGGGGGUCGUGAUGCAAUAGUAGGACAUUUGUAUCGAUACAGAUGAGCGGAACCAGUUGUCCGUGGUAAACUACAUAAUCAGUACGCCCACUGAAGCGGGGUAGGUUUAGAAAGUCUUCCUGAAGACCUCGGAGAGUAUCUGUCGCCGGUUUCAUCAACAGGCAUUGAGGGUUGCAUAGCCAACGCAAAUAAGCGAGCUUGUGACGAUGAUCGUGAGUGAUUCUGGGGAAUGGCUGCGGAGGGAGAAGGCAGAUGAGACGGUGGACGGGGAGAUGGCAGAUGAGAUGGUGGACGUGCAAAUGGCGGCUGCGCUGGUGGGCGACCAGACAUCUGCAACGCCAAUGACGGGCGUGCACUAUAGGAACUGCGGGACGAUUGAGAUACGGAGUAAACAGAGCCGACGGACGGUGGCUGCGACCAACGCGUCGAUGUGCCUCGAGUUUUGGGCGGAAUAUAUGAGGUAUGAGGAUUCGACAAGUGGGAUGGGAGAGUGAUAGGGUCCAUUUGUGAUUGAAGAGGCUGAGAAACGGGUUGGUUUGGUUGAGACAAGGCUUGAGGUUGAGGCGGGACCGGAAGUGGUCGCGGAGGCAACUGUAAUGGUGGUGGUAGCGAUCCCCGCAUAACCGGCGGUAUAUUGCUGACAUUCGAAGGGAGCUUGUUGUCUUGACCUUGUGCAAGAUGUCGGGUGGUUGGAAGCAUCAUCGGCAGCUCUGACAAGCGCUUCUCAGAUUCUUCCUCAAGCAUUUGUUUCUGGUCUUCAUGCCACAGUCGCCAGGACACAGCCAAGAACGCGGCGUACCAAACAACUACGAUAACAGCGAUUGUGAGAUAGGCUUGGACUUAAAAAUUGUGGCAACGCACGGAAUGUUGGUACCACCCAAGCGCACACCACAAUUGCUAUGUUGACUCGAUGACAGACUUUGAAUUGCGAAGCUGUGAAGAAUACAUGUCAGCAUUGACAGAUGAUUUCAUGACCUAGAUGCGUACGUUCACUAGGGCAGCUGAAUGUGGGGUCCCAUAUUGUGAAGAGUAGAGCAGUCCCUACUAGAAGUUAAUAUAGGGAUCCGUCGAGCGCUCAUGAGGAACGUACCAAUAUGAACUAAUAGCAAGAAGAGAAGUCUUGCUGCAUCGAGCCACGGGCGAAAUGGAAGGAUAGCCCUGCGCAAGUGUAAGCGACGGGUCGUGCGACAAUACACAGAUUAUUCACAAGAUUGGGAGCAUAACGGCCGUGACGGCGUUUAUGAAGAUGAGGACACCCACGAGGUUCCCUGGCAUUGCAGGGGUGCGUACGUUUGUCAGUUCUUAUACAUAUACAGUGCACGAACGAGGGCACUCACUCUGUGCAGGGUCCGACUGAUCGUAGAGCACAAAUACCUCCACACACAAGAAAAUCACCCAUAGCAAACUGACGAAUGUCGUAACCGCUACAGCCACUGUGUCAAUCCACGCGUCGACCAGCGCGCGACAAGAUCCAAAACUCACCGAAUACCCCUGCCCUGACUAGGCGAAACCCUGGAAAGAGCGCCAUGCGUCAUAAAAUAGCGUGUAAGGGCCCUAAGAGUCGUGAAGGUCUUAAAGAGAGCGUGGCGAGCGAACAACGGUGAUUAGUGGUAGGCCAGAGGAAUAUAACGCUGCCAGCAGGAGAGGGUAGAACGCAGAAACGCGAGGCGGCCACGGACCAGCCUCAGCAGAUGAUCGGACAGGAGCUCUCAGAGCCAGGCGGGGGGGGGGCGGAAGGGAGGACCGCAGUGGAGACACCGGGCAGGAGGAGGUCUCGAAGGGAGAUCGGAGAACGCGCCGCGGUGGGGCACCCCUAUUAUCUUCCGCGUUUUCCACGGCGACGGCGGGUGUCGCAAACACACCCGGGCAUUCUGCUUAUUCUUCCGUCCAUAAAGCCCUAAGCGCGCUUGAUCGGGGGUCCUUUGUGUGAGGAACAAAGCGUGGCAGCGACCGUGAGUCCGUGGCCGUCCCUUCAUUCAACCUCCCGGCGUCUGCCCAACCCUUUUGUUCUCACGUGCCUCGACCCGUCCAGACCUCGCCCUAACCUCGUUACACCGUCACGCUGUGACAUCUCGUACCCAUGCCUCUCAAAGUUUGCAGGAAAGAAUGGCCACGACGCGAGAUGGGGUUAAGUGAGGCAUGUGCUGCGCAAUAGUCUCCAUGCCCUUCCAUCCUGAUGUUGUACAGUUGGCCACUGUCCAACAUACAAUGAGGGCAGAAUGGACUGGACACUGGGGCUGGACUGAACGGGCGACCGUGACGGGAUGCUCGCAAGCUGUCAUUGACCGCACUUCGAGCCCGCAUCUGAAUAGAUUUGAAUGGUAAGCCCGAGAUCGUCUGCACUCCACGCGGGCAAAAUGAAGAACAGUGGGGUAUCAACAGCGUGGCGGGACAACUCGAACGGAACGAUCACCGAUUAUUUUCAAUAAGAAGUAUCUAUCAUAUGCUAUGGUAAAUCGAUAUCGGGUCUGUAUGGCCGGGAUGUAUGUAUUUAUUUAAUGAUACAGUAUGGAAUGGUGGAGUGUGAAUAUGAAUGUAACAGACGUCAUUGCAUGACAAGGCUUAGCGUAGCGGGGCUCGAACGGAAGGUUGGAAGGAGAAGGAAUACCACGGCGAUGGUGCUGCAGCAGUAUAUAAGAUGAGCGGUCGUACAUCAUAAGUUAGCUAUAUAAGGGGGCUCUGGUCGGCUGACCAGAGGGCCGCAGGGGCAUGAGGCUUGCGGGACCAUAAAAUUUCGCACCGCGACGCGCAAAUGCCGCUUCUAAGACACGAUGACGUCGAAGGAAGGUCUACUUAAUGUUGUCACCGCACGCUUCGAGCUGCACGGAACCUGAGCUCCGGUCCAACCGCUGCUUCGAGCCAUCCAUGCCUUGGCAUGAAUCCACAUGCCUCAUCGGAUGCGUAACAGCGACCGGCCGCAUGGCAUGGAAGGGUGCCCAAGAUCGAGAUGUGAGUUCAUCCCGCGGCUGAGCCAGGAAAAAUCGGUGCCAGAAACUCCGUGCACUUUAGCUCGGAAUGGGCGGCGGGCGGGAGAAUGUAGUCGCACUCUUUCCAAUAAGAGGGUACAAGGGCGCCACGGGGAGUCGACUAGGCUCUAACCCAAGCAUGGAAGCGCUGGCAAGAACAGCAGCAGCAAAGGCCUGCACCUCGUGAGAGCUAUCCGUGACAAGUUCUCGCGCAAAAGCGAGAGUCCUGACAGCGACAUUGGUGUCCGUGUGACCGAACUUAUCUAUAAGGGGAACCACCAGCGUCAGCAAAUGCGAACGGUGACCGACCGCAAAGGAUGAGGCCCGGGUGGGGCUGAUAGGACACUGACCGGAAAUCAUAGCCAGCAGCCGCGCGAUACGAAUGCGCACGUCCACGAUCGGGUCCCGGACAAGUCCUGGUAGCGUGUCCCAAAACGUUUCCCUCCCGACGACGGUCCGCCCUUGGUCGGACAUCAGCAUCUCCUGGAUGCACAUCACAUACGUCGUGCGCCGGCGGAACGAGGCGGAGCCGGCGAACGCUCUGAUAUCGACGCCCAGCGCUUCUAGGAGGGUCGGACAAUCCUUCCACGCCCUCAAGAACGCAGGCAGCUGCAGAAAAAUUUCACGUCAGACGCAAGACCUGGCAGUUGUACAACGGAACCCAAGGCACUCACCACAAAUAUAGCGGCCUCCCUGACAGCCGCCACGGGGUCCCCCAGCGCCUUGACGAGCAUGGUCUGCAGCACCUCACUGCUGACGCCUUCUAGCUCCACCAAACCGCCCAACGCUUUCACCGCGCACUCGCGCUCCCGCCAUGAGGAUAAUUUUCCAGAAUCGAACGCUUCCGCGAGGCCAUUAGCCGCCGCGAUACGCUCGGGGAACGCUACCGCGCGUGCAAACGUCUGCAGGGCUUCGAUGACCUUCAUCCGCACCUCACCCUCCUCUGCAUGCAGGCUUGACCAGAAAACUGUCAUGAGGUCAGCCGCGGCGUGCUCCUCACCCACGAUUUUCGCGAUCUCUCCGAGCGAGGCGGCGAGCGUCCGGCGGACUUUGAACAUGGGCUCCUGAGCGAGCGACAGAUACAGGGCACGAAGCUCCGGCCAGCGCUGCCUGCCAAGCGUAAGGGCAACAGCGGGGUAGUUGAACGCACAGAUGAGGGGCCGCUGAGGGUCUUCGUAGAUAUCAGGGCCGCCGCCCGCGUCGGUACCGUAGUCACUCCAGGCGGAGCUCGUCGCAGAGACCGAGGUGGCCGAGCGAGGUGGUGCCGACUGGAUAUCCUGUGCCACGGGUAGCAUUUCACGCUCAAAUGGAGGCUCGCCUCCGCCGGGGUCCUCCGUUUCUCGGAUACCGAGGAAAAGCUUGAGCAGCGGUUCAGGUGGGCCGUCCUCAUCGUCGGCAAACGUGUGCAUGACCUCGCCGAGAGCUUCGAGGACGGCAGAUCGGACAGUCGACUCUUCGUCCUGAGAGAGCGGGAGGAUGACGUCGAGCGCGAGUUUGCGGCGGUGCUCCGGAGUUAGCCGCGAGAGUAUCGCAGGCAGCGCGAAGAGAACAGAGUGGCGAACGUGCCACGUCGGGUCCUGGCACAGAGACUCGAAUAAUGGAAGCUACAAUUGGCCGACAGCGUCAGUCCCGUUCCCAUCUCUGGCAGUAGGAGGGCUGAACGUGCAAAAUUGACUCACCAGCGACGACGUCACCACUUCCACUGGGACGACUUUGGCAAGCGCACCGACCGCAAAACUCGCCUCCCGUCUAACCCAGUACACUGGAUCUCGUCCGACCCGUUCCACCUCGGUCACGAACGCCCUCUUCGUGUCAUCGCCGAUCGAACCUGGAAGGAAGUUGGCGUUCAGCCACACUGGCAAGAACGACCCACAGGCAGUUGCUUACCGCUCGCUGUGACAGCGGCCAUGAGGCUCAUGCUCGAGAGUCGCCCGACCGAUGCUUCCUCAUUAAGAUCAGCUGAGUCAUCCGUCUGCUCCUGGGGCUCGUCCAUCGCAGCCAGUUCCCUCGCGACAGCUUUGGGACUGAUCCAUCCAGGACCUGAUGAUGCCUGCGGCCGAGUGGGCGAUUCGCUCGCUCCGGGUGCCCGCGCGAACAGGGACGGCAGACUGGAGAUCGGUAAAGUCGCCUCCGCAGCGACGGGCACAGGCGCGGCGACCGGUGGCGGAAGCACCUCGAAUGGGGGAGUGGUCGGGAGCGCACUAGACCGGUUCAAUGAGCUCGGUUCUGCCCAGCCCUGAUUCUGCGUCAUCGGGAGCGACGGUUUCAAGUCCGAAGGGUUAGCGAGAACUUCGUCCAAGAGCAUCGGUACCUGGCUCUCAUCUGCUGCGAGAACCGUGCCAGUCAAUCCGAGACUGAAGCGAUCCGAUCCGUUUAGCUCAACGUUGUCGGAAUACUCGCCGGACGACGACGAUGUCGAUGACGUCAGUGACGGCGUGGAAGCAGAUGAAUGAUUAGGCGAUCCUUCCACCGGAGAAGUCGAUGACACGGGCGGGGAUGGCGAAGCUGCUGGGGAGAUCGUACUGAUACCAACUGCGGCCACUUCGGCUAAGGGUGUAGGAGGUGAAACGACUGAGACUGUUAGCGGCGCAGCACUAGUGGUCCCAAAGCGCGGAACAGCUGGAAAGUACGAGUCAGGUUCAGGGACAGACUCAGCGGCUUGAGGGGUUGGGACUGCUGUCGACGCCUCUGAGAUGGACGCAACAUCCAUGAAGUCAUCGGCCUGGUGUUCACCUCGAUUGUCGUCGAGGUCCAGGCGUCCCAUACCAAUGACGACCUGGUAGACAAGCUCCCUCUCGAAAAGUCGUCGCUCGUUCCACUGAAACAAUCCCACCUCGGCGGCGGGCCCUGCUGUAUCUGGAUAGGAAGCCUCGGCAGUUGAAAGGCCAGCAGGACGGGACGGCGCCUGAAGCUGAGUGGCCUGGGCAUUCUCGCCUGCAGUAUCAACCGACUUGCCUUCGCGGUCAUCGGCACGCCGCAACCUCCGGAGGAGUUCAACGACUGCGUAUCGAGCAGAUCCGCCUACCAAGCCAUUAGGGCUUAAUAGCAGAGUCCCCAAGAUAGGUGUGAAAGCCUGCACAGAGACUACCGUCACACCACUGCCCUCAUGGUCCACGUAGAUGGGAACACUGCCGUCGCCCGAAAUUGCGGCACCAUCGUGGUCACUAGAAGCCUGGUCAGGCCGUGGGCUUGCAGGACACUGAAGAAUGAGGUCGUUCUCGAAUUCAGAAACAGGCGAAGAGACCGGCUGAAGGGCCGACGGCGAAGAUAGAACCUGUGUAUCGUCAUCCACCAAUCUGCAAUGAGUGAUGAACCACCAGAUGAUGGGGACAAGUUCGGCCGCAAGCGCCUCUUUCACGGCUUCGUCUAGGUUAUUGAUACCGAACCCAAUGGCCGCGGGAGAAAAAAGUUCCGCCGACCACGAUGAGUGGUGACGGUACAGUGACGUGAUUGGUCGGUGAGAAAAUCCAGGUCGCCAGCAGACCACAAUCCGGCGCCAACGCGGCAUCGGGGGGAGCAGAGGGAAGCGCAUGUCAGCGUUGUGUAAAAUAAUGGAGCGGCGAGUAUCUAAUACGUACCUUCGUCCAUCGCGAGGCUGUUGAGCAGUGGGAAUACAUACUCGACCGCUUCAGCUGGUGUGAUCUGCUCAAUGAUUUCUCGACUUGGAAGUUCUGAGGUGGGAGUCUCAGCGCCUUGCAGGUAUUGAGGGAGUGCAUGAGCGAUGAACACCCUAUGAAAGCUGGCUCUACUGCGCGAGAACAGGUAGAUCUUUUCUAGCGCACUGCAGCCCUCGGUAUCAAACUCUGUGAAAUCGAGGUUGAGCUCCGAGGAGUGCCCGAGCAAGUCUACCACGGGGGGAGGAGCGGCAAUUUCAAGGAUGGCUGCUGAAGGCCCUGGGUCGAGGGCAGACGCCAGGGAUACGGCUACAGGAUCCUGGGCAGGUUGCAAAAGGAGCGGAGGCGAAGGAGUUGAAAUCGAGGCUGCGAGAUUCGGGGGCGGGAUGGAAAUGCGAAGUCCACUUUGACCAUUGAUCCCAGCGCUAGAAAGUCCGGCGGGUUGGGGGUGCUCACCAACAUGCCCGUCCCUCUUCGCGACCUCUUCUACGUACCGCAGGGAGUGCGGGAGCGGCGGAGACGGCUGCGAGAAUUCGGGUGAUCGGGAACCGCUAGCGCGCGAGGGAUAUGGUGGUUCAAGCGGGCCGGGUGGGACAGACUCUAGAGGGUUUGAUCUCUGCUCUGCUGGGGAAGAUCUGACUUGCAGAGGGGAGAAACUUGCACGGCAGAUGGGCGCGAAUGGACCUAGGACUGGUUGAGGGGAAAGUAUGCCUAUGCCGACGCCAUGGGGUGAAUAUGGGCGGAUGUCAAGGGGUGGAGAGGCGAUGAGUGAAGACUUGGGACUUGUCGGGGGUGAAGGGUCUGCAAUGUCCUCUUCGUGAGUGAAUAACGGGAUGGAUGGCGAAAUGUCGGAGAUGGGAGAGGAGGAGCGGGAGUCGUCGGUGGUUGAGGAGGAUGGGUCGAAUUGGGAUGACAUGAACAGGGGAGGAAAUAAUAUAGAAAGCAGGAUUCCCAUGAAAAUCACUGGCUGAUGAGUCAAAGAGAGAGGGUGAGAGGGGGUGCUGGACUAAGCGAAGAUGAGGCUACGCACGACAAAGGUAGAGGAACGGGGGAAAGAAGAGAGUACGGAUGCCUGGGAAGUGCCGAGCCCGGGGGAGAAAAGUCAGGGUCGAGCACGAGGAAACGGGCGGCAGCGGGGCGAGGGAGAAAGGGCAGAUAUGACGCAAGAAGACUGGGGAAAGAAGCAGGGCAAGGAAGGAGCAGCAGGGAGGUGAGCGGGAGGGUGUGGAUGAAGCAUUCAGAGGAGCAGGGGUGGCGGGUCAGAGGGAGGAGUAUGCGGGGAUGGGAGGAGGGGAAGGCGAGUGGGGGCCAAGGGAGAUGGGCGGGCGUGGGGGAUCGUGGCCGGAAAGGGUGUGCAGGCGCAUGCGCCUCGGAGGGAGAGAUGCGGAGGGCUGGCGGGGACGGGAGUGUGACUGUGUUGCCGGGACGGGGCUGGGUGGUCGCGAGGCAGGGUCGGGGGGGCCAGGAAUAGGAGAGGAAGAGGAAGCAGGAGGGACAGACGACGGAAGGGCGUGACAGGAAAGGGAAAAAGAGAGGAGAGGAGGUGAGGUGAGCGACUGGCGAGGCAGCGGACUUGUGGGGACGACUAUGAAAAUGAUGCGGAACGGUUCGAGUUCUCAACAUCCUCCCACUCGUCUUCCCUAUGGUGUCCAUGAUGUCAUCCCUUCCUUUUCCGGCCCUUUUGGUCUCGACUCUCUCUCAGGAACAUUACGUCAUUUCACACGCUCCUUCUAUACUACAAAUCCGUCUGUUCCGACUGCCAAUCCGAUUCGCCUCCGCCCCGCCUUCGUUCCUAUGCCAUUACUUAAUAUUGCCACCCGCACAACUUGCAGUCUCCCCUCCCUCAGAUCUCAGAGCUCGCCCCGCACCGCCUUGUCCAGCGACUCCGCAAAGUACCGGAUGUUGUGACUGUUCAGCCCCGCCAUCGAGAUACGCCCGUUGCCCGUCAGAUAGAUGUGCGCCUUCUCCACCAGCGCCUGGCUCUGCGAAGGGUUGAUGCCUGUGAAGCUGUUCGAACAAACAAAGCCCGUGUCAGCGGCCGUUCUCGGCACCCCCAACCCCGAUAUCCUGCCGGCCGCCUGUUCAAAUCAAGCACCGACGUCUGCUGCACUUGUGCCUUUGUCCGAAACUCUUGAUGCUCCAAAUCCAACACCACCCGGCGAGAACCAGUCCGGCCGUUUCCAGCGUGCACCUCGAUCGCGGCACUUGGCCAUGGGCGUCAGCCACAGUCUCCCACGUGAGCAUCCUGGUCGCCCGCCGCGGGACGAACCACCACGGUGCCACCAAGCACAACCAUCGUCGUCAAUAAAUGGUCCGCAUUCGGCCACAUUUGCGUCUACGACGACUCCACAUCAGGCACACCCACCGUCUAUCUCAUAUCAAUAGGCACGCCAUCCCCAUCUGAGCCUAACACCGAGUCCGAGUCCGAGUCCGAGUCCGAGUUGAGACGGUCACAAGAAUCAACCACAACAUACCUGAACAUCCCAAUCUGGUUCAAAAUGUGAUCCCAAUUCCCAGGCGUCUUGAGCUCCUCCGUCAGCAGGCGGUGCAGCUCCUUGCGCAUGUCGAUGAUACGCCCAGCCAUCGUCCUGAUAUCACGCUUCCACUCCUCAAACAGUUCGUCGUUGUUGAGGAUGAGCGAAACCUACAGAGCAGUCCAUCUAUCAGCGAAACACUUUGGCGUCGGAGACGGAGAAAGGGUGGGCGGGAGAUCGCAGCCGGAGCGAAGGCGAAGGCUCACCAGGCGUGCCCCGUGGGCAGGCGGGUUACUGAUUUCCGACCGGGCUAGCACCGACAAUUGACUCUUGAUCCGGGCGGCGCCCUCCUUCGAGGGCGACACAACGUGCAGCGCUCCGACACGCUCGCCAUACAGCCCGGCGUUCUUCGCGAAGCUCUGUGGCAGGUGCCCGGGGGACAAUGUCAGAUUUGGGGGAUAGAGUGGCCAGUAGCCACUUUAAGGUUUUUACGACGACCGAUGACGCACCUGGCAGACCAGCAGCGGCACGUUCCUCCGUACAAACUCCCGCACCGCCCAGGCGUCGUUGUCGAGGUCGCCACUCGCGAAGCCCUGGUACGCGCAGUCGAAGAACGCGAAGUGGCCCUUCUCAAGCAUCACGUCCGCGAUCUGCCCCCAUUGCUCACGGGUCGGGUCCACCCCUGUUGGGUUGUGCGCGCAGGCGUGGAUGAGGAAGAUGGAACGAGGUGCUGCGUCCUUCAAUGUCUCGAUAAAAGGGUUGAAGGCAAGACCGAUGGUCUGCGGGUCGUAAUAAGGGUACGUGGAGACCGGGAUGCCGACCAGGGGGAAGAUCUGGUGGUGGUUCACUGUGGACAACUGGCAUGUCAGCCGACUCUGCAGCAACCAAACCACGCCUCCCUCCAGGGCGGCAGGCACAGCGUGGAGGUCUCAGUGGGGAAGGGAAUGCAGGGGCGUGAUUCAAGCGAUGACUUACCCCAGGUGGGAUCGCUCACGUAGACGCGCUUCUCGUUCCAGCCGUAGAAUCUGCUCAGGAAGAGCGCCCCCAGGUGGUUCGCGCCAGUCCCAGAGAUGGUCUGGACACUCGUCACACGUUCCUCGGUGAUGACAGGCGAGUCGCUGCCAAAGAUGAGACGCGCGGCGGCCGAGGUGAAGUCGGGCAGACCAGUGAUGGGAAGAUAUUCGUGAUCCACUGCGGGGUCGUUGACGAGGAUCUCAGUCGCCUGGAAAUUCGCGGGACGCGCAGGGUGGGUCAAUUUGUAGUCAACGGCAUAGCACCGGGACACACCUUCUUGACGACGGGCAGCACCCACGGCUUGCUGUUGUCGUCACGGUAGGCACCGACUCCAAGGUUCACCUUGCUGGGGUAGGAGUCGGCCUUGUACGCCGCAGUCAACUUGAAGAUCCUGCGCAAAUCGCCUCAGCAUGGCUCCCUCUCCAGGGAAAGCGCGCGAGACGCGUACGCAUCAGGAGGCGCGAGGGGAACCUCGGACCAUCGCUCUGCAAAGGCGAUAAGAGCGCGAACAUGGAGCCCCAACCCUGAUUGGUGGGCAGUGGAAAAGAAAGGACACGCACCAGCAGCAACGGAUUCAGACAUCUUCGAAGACUGGAGGUGGUUCACGACUUGUCGUAGUCUGGUCGCCAUCGCGCGCGUACAAAGGUAGUGGUGAACAGGGAUACUUGGGAUGUGGCCCCUCCAUGUCGGCGAGCCUAAAAACCGAGUCGGCUCACCUGUGCUUUCAGACGUGGGGGGAGCGGCAGGAGCGAUGCGGGGUAGAUGCCGGACGCACGUGAAAUCUUCCCAACCGAACAGCGCGUUGUGUGUCAGCCACUGCGCGCAAUGCGGUCGCAGAACCACUGACCAGUCUAGAUACGCAAGGGUCGUCCUGGACGCUGCUAGGACGGGGAGCAAGUGUUUAGAGGGAAUCGGAUGAAGCAGAUCAAGCUCUUAUACCCGCGUGAUCAUUAUGUGUAUCGCCUUCCUUCUUUGGCUGCAGCUCCCCCGGCUCGCCGCAAUUCCCGCUCAAAGUCCGGUGAGCAAUAUUGGUGGCGGAGGCGUUACGGCCCAUUACGAACUGAGACCCCAUGAUUGACGUUACCGCGCGACAUGGACCAAUCUGGACGGGCGGAGACAGCACUGUACACAAGUAACACAUUGCCAGUUGACACUGCGCUGAUACCACGAAUGAACUCGUCGUCCAUUGGCUGGGUACACACGCACAACCCACCUGGUGCGAGUCACGAUGAGUUCACAUUCGCUCACGAUGCCGUCAUGAGUGCAAAGUCGUACAUUUAUAUAAAGGCCCGAGAAUAUAUGAAAACACAGAUAGACACCGAUGUGGCAAACAUUAUGCACUAGAUAAAGGAGCCAGAGGAGGGAGCAACAUCGGGAGUUAUGGGAAAGAGACGAUACGUGGUAUAGCAAAGUCCGUGUGUCAUGAUAGCGACGAGGUGCCGAGUCGUGAACGUAAGAUGACAUGGCGAGAUGAUGUGGGGGCCAGGGCGGCGAUGAUGACCUGCACACCCCCCGUACCCUGAGGUGUGGCGAUGGCGGUAAGGAGGAGGUGGAAAGGAGGAGGGGAUAUUAAGCUGUGGCCAUCUUAGGUGCAACAGUCCGUUCACUCUCCAGCUUGGCUUUGUUCUUCUCGAACGCCUGUUGCCGGCAACUUUCCAGGUUCUGGCACUCGUGGUGCUCGGGCAUACGAUGCUGAUCAUGGAGGGGGAACAGAGAUGCCUUACGUCAGCUCGAAAGGCAAGGAAAGAAAGCGGGGACUACGCACUGUGCCACAGAACUCCAGACGGCAGUGGGGGCACUGACCAACAAUACGCAAGACGGCUUGGUUGCAACGGGGCUCGGACUGGAGCUGGCAACGCUUCUUGGCAGGCAUGAUGAAAGUCGCGUGAGACUGGGGAGGGGGUGCGAUAAGCCUGGGAGACAGCAACGGUCAGCUGGAGAUGUCUAAGCCAGGAUAGGUCAAGGACGAGGCUCACGGGACGGGAGUGGAUGAAAUAUAGGUGAGGGGCGGUUGGGAGGGGCCAAGGACGAAAGGGAGAGGACUUAUAUAUACGGGGAGGACGGGGACGCGUCAGCUCGAGAUACGAAUCUGAGAUCUCGCGUGGCGGCGUUGUGCGCGGUUACUAAGAUCGCGCCUGCCCGAUUGCCUGUAUCGAGACAGCCCCCUCGCUCGGCUCUCCUCUUCCGCUCUCUUCCUCAACCCCCCGGAGCUCCAAUCCACCCUCUUUUCUCUGCUCUCCCGACGGCCCAUCCUUUAAGCACCUCGCAGCGGGGAAUCGAAAUCGGAUAUGCCUCCCCCGCUCCGCGCCUGUCAUUAGUGAAGCAUGAUAAGAAGGCCCGGAAGCGGUGCGUGCCAAUGCGUGCAGACGCACCUCCGCCACAGUGCCAGUGCCACGCCCCUUCCAUCCCAGACAAGAUGCGAGGCUCCCGCCAGGUAACCGUGCGCAUCUCCUCUCAGUCACCUUCCGCCGUUAUGCCGCCGCUUCGGUGCCCGCAUCCGUUCCCGGAACCAGUCUGUGUGACCUAGGCCUCAAACCCGGUCAAACUUCAAAUCCUCCCCGGCCUAGAACAACGCCCGUUGGAGCACGAAGAUUUCCCCGAGGGAACCCAUAUGUGGUGGAAGUUAGGUACGUCGUCCGCCUGACACUUGACAGUCCACUUGCCCCUGCCACACGGCGACCGCACAGUCGCCCACAUUUCCCCUUGUCUCUUGCAUGCGUUCCUCACCCUCGUGCUUAGUACACUUCUGUUUGUUCCGACAACUGCGUCCGAUCGUUGCUUCGCUUCGCUUGGAUAGAAGACUGGGAGGGGAUUCAGAAUGAGAUAGGAGCAUCACUCGUCCGGGUGAGAAAAAAGCGACUGCGAUGGAUAAACGGCACUGUACAAUCUGACCACAUAGGUAUAGUCCAUUACGACGAGCAGAAGAAAGAGUGGUAUAGAUAGAUAUGACCUGUACGCUGGCGAGAGGGGACCGCAACCUACACUGAUGCGCGAAAGAUAAAGCCCAUACGCAAGCGUGCCUCUCCGGUAUCAUAAGUCCCAAGGUCCGCUCGAUGUGGCACUAGCGUUUCCAGGGAUGCCAAGCGACGAUGGCGAUGGCGAUGAUGAUGAGGAUGACAAUGAAGAUACCAAAGCAGAUCCAACGCAUUUUGCGUGCUGACCGUGCCGAAUUGACGGCCUUCGUGGUGUAAUUGAGACUGCGAAACCGUUAGUCCAACAUCAAGUCCCCAUAAUCCCAGUGACUGACCCAGUUUCAACAUCCUUCUCGACGUCCGUGACGGUAGCAUUGAUGACAGUGAUCUGCUCAUCCUGCUGUUCCACCAAGAUGCUCAUCUAUAAAAAACACGAGUCAAUGGCUGAUCAAGCCAUGGAACACGGAGAAAAAGCCUCACAUCAUUGAACAGUUGGGCAAGCUCCGUUAGUGUCCUCUCAAUUUUCUUGAUGUCCGCGUGACGUUCCUGCACUUCACGGUAUGCGGAUCGGGCUUCGCCGUAACGGUUCGAGUUCAUCAACGCCUGGCUGAAGAUCUGACCGCCCUGGUCAUCAUCGACGACAGCCUUUACUUCCUCUGGAGACGCGUCGGGCUUGACUACAUUCAAACAUGAGCUAAGCUAUUUAGAAAAAAAAAUCAAAAGAGGCACAGCAACACACCGAUCUUAUACUGGCGCUCCAAGCGCUGCUUGUACUUUUGCCGGUACUGCUGCUCGACAGUCUGGUAGUUCUGGAUGGCCUCCAUAAACUUUUGCUUCACCAAGCCGGUCUGCAGCACCACAUCAUCCUUCAGCACGGGGGUCCCAGAGGAAGUCGUCUUGCCACUGACCUGCUGCUUCCGGAUUUCACCGUCCCGCCCAGCACCGCCCUGCUUCUGCAGGGCCUUGACCCGUCUACGGAGGACAUCGCUCAAAGCGCUGGUGUCUGCAACUAGGUCCUCAAGCUGCUGGUUGACACGCUGGGUCGUGGCGUCGUCCGUCGUGUUCAGGGAGCGCGAGUGCAAGUCGGAAAUGCGGUUGACGUUGUCGUUGUACGUCCGAAUGUCGUCUUGGAUAGAAGAGAUCUGCGACCGCGGGCUGGCAUGAGCAUGGCGGCCUUCGUGCGCGUUCCUGAGAAGCCUCGCGCGUAGUUGCGCUGCCACGAGGCCUACGGGAAAGGAGGAUGAACGAGGCACACACCUCACUAUAGAACGCGGCCAUGCCAUCUGACCCGCCGGUGAGGUUCGUUGUGCUGGGUGCCGCUGCAGUCUGAUACGAAGGGGCGUCGUCUUGCUGGGCGUACGGGUUCGCGCGCGAACGAUAGUCGUUGGUGCUCUGCAUCGGGUACGAGUCGCUGGAUUCGUAGCGCAACGAAUGUCGCCAAGUCAGUGUCUGCUACCUGGGGCACAUGAGAAACGCUAAAGACAGGGGACUCACGAGUUGGUGUACCCGCCUGCACCACCCUGUUGCUGCGCCUGGUUGCCGUAGUAUUAGCACCGUGACGACAAGACAUACAGAGGGCGUGUGUCGCGCAUGUGCGCCACCACGAAGUGAUGAACGGUAUAUGGGCCAACAGGGGCUUACCCUCAGAGCUGCAAGUCUGUCCCUAGCCAUGACAAUGUAGAGUGUGAGUUCGGAGGAGCCUAGAUGCGGGAGUGUAGAUCGGCGUUUAGGUGUGAGGGGAAAUGAGAGCAACAGUCAAUGUUGCGUCCACUGGAGGUCGAUGGGAGAAAGCAAGGAUGAAGAAGACACGAAGAUGAGGGGCGGGGGUAAAGACUGGCGGGUAAAAGGCAGUUGAUAGAGGGGACAGUGGAGGGCGGCAAGAGGGGCGGUGUUGAGUUGGCGGUGUACAACCCCCUCAAUUCGAAUACAGUCCGGCUGAUAGGCGCUAGCGCCUGUGCCCAUGAACGGCGCAGCCCACUCUCAGACACCGCCGCCCUGACGCUCCCGUCUCAUCCAGUCCACCAUCGGGCCGACGCCUUCUUCUUGACCUAACUUUACCUUACGCAUUUGCUACGGCGGAUCAAGGCGGCGAUACUCAACACUCGAGACAGCUCACGACGCAGCAGUCCGCCUCGGAAUUGAUGAGAUUAUAGUCACUGCUUCGGCUACUCCGGGUACUAUACAUUCGCCAUGGUGCGUUUCAGUUCACGACUUCAGUUUGCAAGCGCGCUGCGGAGCACGGAGAUCUGCCUUUCCACCAUUUUGCGGCUCGGUCCACCAAUCGACUGCCGCCGUUCGACACUCGCCUCAAAGUCGAACACCGCCAGGACGUCUUCGUCGAACUUGGCAUGUAAGCUGCGGAAGUCUUCCAGGGUGAGCUCAUUGAGCUGGCAUUUCCGCGCCUCUGCUAGCGCCACUGCCCGUCCGGAAACGUGGUGGGUCUCGCGGAACGGAAUCUGUAACGGGAAUACAUCCGACGACGGUUCAAAGCAGUGUAGGUCAGUACGCGUCAGAGGGACACCCGAACCAGAGUAGGCACUGACCCCUUUCCGGACCAGAUAGUCUGCGAGGUCAGUUGCCAAGACGUCCAUUGUCAAUGCUUGAAGCAUCCUGUCACCGUGCACCUAACAAGCGACCUGGUCAGCCACAUUUGGGCUGAUAAACGCAAUUGGCGGCAUACCUCCAUCGUGGCAAUAACACCCUCUGCAAUCCGGAAUGACGCGGAGAUGGUGUCAACAACGUCAAAGAGCGGUUCCUUGUCCUCCUGCAAAUCUUUGUUGUAUGUAGAUGGCAGGCCCUUGUACGUCAUCAAGAAACCGGACAUCUGUAGGAGGCAAAGUCAAUGCUAAAGCCGUACAAUGAAGAGACCGGUAACAUACGUUUCCGAACACACGACCCGACUUCCCUCGGAGAAGUUCAAGGGAGUCAGGGUUCUUCUUUUGUGGCAUCAUACUCGAUCCGGUGCUAUAGUGCAUGCAUGUCAAUGUCAAGGAGAUACCUUGCAUGAUUGGGAAAUCCAAUAUACCUAUACGCAUCGCUCAGAGUAAUGAACCCGAACUCUGCGGUCGAGUAGAUGAUGAGGUCCUCAGCCAUUCGGCUGACAUGGGUCAUAGCCAAACUCGCCCACAUCAUGAAUUCGGCGAUGAAGUCGCGAUCGCUCACGCCAUACAUGCUGUUCUCAGCGACGGUUUUGAAGCCAAGCUCCUGAGCGAGAAAUUCGCGGUCGACCGCAAAGGGGUUACCCGCAAGUGCACCAGAGCCGAGAGGCAAUACGGAUAUCCGAGGGAUGAGCUGCUGGAGACGCUCAAGGUCUGCACGGAAAGAAAACGCGUGCGACAGCAGGAGGUGGGACCAGCGGAUAGGUUGGCCGCGCUUCAGGUGGUUUGUUAACGUUAGUCCCCUUGGAGUAUGUGCGAACGACAGUACGGCAUACCUGCAAAUGUGUAUACCCCGGCAUGAGGAUAUCUUUCUCUUUGUCUGCACGCUCCACCAUCACACGGAGGAGGUCCUUGAGACCAUUCUCGACAGCACGAACUUCUCCGAGAAGCCACAGACGCAUAUCGGUGGCUACCUGGUCAUUCCGCGAGCGUCCAGUGUGUAGCUUUCCGCCAAGUGGGCCAAUGAGCUCGGUUAAUCGACGCUCGUUCGCGGUAUGGAUGUCUUCGUCGUCUGGCUGGACUACAAACUGAUGGCAGACUCAACAACGGAGACCGCAGUGCAAGCACCAUUCAUGGAACAUACAGUGCCCUGCUCCCACUCCUUCCCCACCGCUUUCAGGCCAUCUACGAUCUUUUGUUCCUCGUUUGGGGUCAAGAUGCCGACACGGGCAAGUCCUUUGGCGUAUGCGAUUGAGCCCGCUAUAUCUGCAGCGUGCAUACGCUGGUCAUAUCGUAAUGACUGGUUGAAUUCAUGCAUUCUGAUUUAACUGCUAUCACUCGGCCGCCAAUCCUCUCCAAUUGGGUAACUACUCACAGUGGGUCAGUUUUGCCAGUGAAUCGACCACCCCAUAGCUUUUGCUUCGUCGGCAAGUCGGACAUAAUUGUUUCCUUGACGGCGUAGGGAGGGUGGAGGAGGAUGGAGAAAGUAAGGCGUCGAGAGCGCGCGUGAGAUCUUGAUCAAUUUGGCUACAAUCUGGACUGAACAUGACUCGCCCUCAGCCACGCGCGCGUUGCGUCGUAAGCGCUUCUUUCUGCGGAAACGUCCGUCCUGUGUCUUAACUAACAGUGGGGCUGCAAAUGCCGGCAGCACGCUAUUUAAGAAAGUUUGACUUCGGUCUCAUUACACGUGUGUCUAGUAGAAGAUGGGAAUAUUACUCCAGAAGCAAGAUACAACAUUUUCACCGAUGCAGAGCAUUCAUCACCAUGAAAGCAAAUGCGGCAAAAAGGGAUGCUCCAACGUAAAUGGCGAUACGAACAUCAAAAGGAUUGUAGGUGAGGAAAGGGUAUGGGACUGGUGGUGCCUUAACGUCAGUGUGCUGUUUAUUCCCAUCCAAACGAAAAGGCACGUACACAUGCCGUUGUAGCUUGCACAGUAUUCCACCCAGGAGGCAUACCAGGUACCCAAAACAGCAGCAACCACGAACGAGCCAUACCGACUAGCGAGCUUGGGGUAUUUGGGCUCUAAGGUAUAGAAGUCAAUGAUCAGAGAAAUUGCAGGGGCGGCGUGGAGCGCGAGGUCGGUGAGCAAGGGCAAACGCUCGGGUUCGGGGACUGUAUACGAUGACAUAGGAACCCUUUCGCUGACGGGUCCCAUGAGAAUCAUGUGUGGCAUAGUCAGCAAUAGCGUCCAAUAAAUUACAGAGAUGACGAUGGAAAGCUGCAACAAAACCGUAUCAGCUAUGUUCGUAAUGAGGCAGACUCGAGGCCUACAGGGAGGGCGCUCAUGAGGACCGCACGUUUGGCUGUCCUAAGUAUCUCUGUGAACGCACGUUCGUCAAUAGAUACAUCCCGACGGAGAUAGGUGUCUACUUACUGACAGAGGGCACCAGGUCGCAACCGACGCUGAGCACCAUUGCGAUGCAGGCGACACCAAGCCUAUGAGCUUGACUUCAGUGACCUUGGUCGAGGAUUGGACGAAAAAUGAUUGAUUACCCUUGAAUGGUGAGGAAUUGGAAGUGCCCUCCCUUCAUUUUAUUCAUCUGCAUAGCACCUACGAUGUCCGGGAGAUGGAGGUACCCGUACGUCAUGACGGCAACAGCGGUCGUAUGCAAGAGAAACGGGAAAACCCGCGGGCUUGAGGACAUGGCUUGACUGGUGUCGGCCGUGAUAAAUGUGGGGGAAGGAGCGGGGUGACACGCUGGGGGAAACAGAGCGGUAGAAUAUUGGUAGUUGGGACGGGUGCAAGCCCUUAUAAAGUCACAGUCCGAGACACGGACAUGGCCGGAUGUACCAACGGAGACGAUGCCGAUACCCCGGACCAGCCAUGGUAUCACACGAGAUGUUUUCGCAGGCGCAUCCCGUGCUAGUCUCCGUACUUAACUGUGAUCUCCGGCGUGCAAAUGAGGAAUGGGUGCAAAGUUGGGUGCAAAGCUGAGCAAGCGCUGAGUUUUGGUGGGCGCAGCACCGCUGUACGGAGACACAGAUGACGUCGGCCAUUUAUCAAAAAAGAUCGGCUGUCAUAUUUAUCAAUACAGUACUUGGUCGUACGAAAGCAUCAAUAUUACAUAAUGUUUCCGGCUUAUGUUCCAAACAAGCGCCCAGCGAUGCGGACGCUGCAUGAGCGCUAGUUCUGGCCAAGCCGUGCCGUACACCUUUAUGCUUUUCGCCUGUGCCCCCGUCUGUUAGUUCAAGCCUCUCAGCUCCCUGUCCUCCUUUGGUUUACCAUAUAACCACAACGUCUACUUCAUUGAAUCUGGGACAUUAUCAACCGGUCUGUACCGCUGCGAACAUAACGGGAACAAACGUAUGAGAGGUGUCAUAUAGGAAUUCCACGGUGAAAACGGCAUCGGAACGCUCGGUGCAGGUCAUACUCUUUACAACUCCACAUACUACGGUCACACCGACUCGGACCAUCCUUUCCCCGAUUUCCGCAGCCAUGGCCGCUCAACGGGUUACAGUCACCUACUCCGGACCCAUUGUCUUCCUCUCCACAGACCACUGGAAGCAAAUUCAGAGCUCCUUGGCCUCCCAAUUUCCUCUCCGAAAUUUACAUUGGAAGUCAACGUCAAGGAAUGCAGUGCGGUCAAUCCAGGAGUUGGAUGUGAAGCUGGUGGCGUUUGAGGCUUUGAAGGAAGACCAGGCUGCGUCGCAGGUACCUCAAACCGUGUUAGAGAAACCAUUGCUCCACCUGUACAUCUUCACUUGUGAGGUGAAUUCGUAGCCCAUUCCCUCUUCCUCGCCCGUACUCAGCCACUUGAAGGACAGCGAAGUGUAUCGGAGUACCGUCCGUAAGCAACUCAAGGAGUGGCAUGGGUCCGUGAGCACACGGAAAAACCAAGAAUGGCUCAUCGUGCAUGUCAUGCGUCCGGACCAGAGCGUCGGUCAAGGGAGACUAUUUCAGAUGAAGACCUCCGUACUCGACAAGGUAAAGGCCGAUUUCAAUUUGGAUAAGAAAGAUAGGUAUGUCCAAUCCUUGACAUGCACGUGAGAUCUAUCUUCAACGGCGUUCAAGAUGCAUUCAGCUUGUAUGGUCGGCGGGGAAAGACAAUCCGACGGUGUGGGCAGACUUCGUCUCUAAAGUCAAAGAAGGGAUACUGUCUUCCUUUGACGCUGCCUUGGCGCAGCGCGAGGAGGAAAUGAAGCGGUCAGAGGGGCAAAGAACAAUGCCGGGUUGGAACUUCUGCACAUUCUUCAUCCUCAAGGCGAGUGGUGGAAAGCACCCUCUCUGUUUGGCGACCUUAACUGAUUAUAUACUUGCAGGAGAGCUUGGCUAGUUCCUUCGAAGGCAUGAACCUAUAUGAGGAUGCGCUGCAGCAAUACUACGAACUAGAAUCUCUCUUCUUCCAAGUCCUACAAGAAAAGAAUCUGUCCUGGUUUGGCGCCUUGAUCACACCCAUGCCCACAGACGAUUCCGUUCCCCUUUUGUCAAUCACGAAGAAACCAUAUCGUGAUCUCAUUCUUGCCAACACCAUCUCCGUCUUCGACUUCCGCGUCUAUCUCCUCGCCAGACAAUGUCUACUGCUGAGCAAGAUAGGCGGCAUGGAAGAAUUGUGUCGGAAGGCCGCGUCGUUUCUCAGCAUAUUUUCAAGAACAUUGCGCGAUGUAGAGGUAAGUGUUUCGUGCUACUCCAUCUGGAAGGCGUCUCGGAACGGUCGAUCCAGAACACGUUACCUCCCUUCUUCAUCGAAUCCUGGAUAUACUCGUCAGCUCUCAGCGUCGUGGACCAAGCCGACGAAUGGACCAAGAUACUCACACUAGAGAAGGUUACGCUAUCAUCUUUCAAUGCCGCGAAGGCGGAGUUGCUGGAGCUUGCACGACAUCAAGUAUGUACCUAUCUUUGCCUUGAACUGCAAAGACCGUCACUUAUGUGUGGCAAGCUUGACAUCCUUGGCAUCGCAACAGGCUUCCUCCCGAAUAAACCCCCUUUCUCUCUUACACUACCCUCCUCAUUCGAUCCCCUUGCCAAGGAUCCCAAGGCGAAGCGUGGCUCCAUGACCAUCACGAAGACAGAGUUGCUUUCCUCCAUGGAGCAACAAGACACACUUUACGACCUUUAUGUCAACGUCACGAACCGCGCCAUCGAGCUUUAUGCGAAUUCGGGUCGUCGCAAGUUCGCGCUCAAGCUCCACGGGUCCCUCGCAGCACUUGACAUGUACGUUGUCGCCUUUUUCGCCCACAUGCACCGUCGGUUACUGACGUGCGGCAUACAGUCAUCGCGGUCGCCUAGCGAACGCACUUCAGACAUACACCUCUCUUCCCGCACAUUACUCCCCACACGGCUGGACGUCGAUGGAGGCCUACAUGCUCAAUCGUGCGCUCGAUAUCCACGAGGCUGCGGAGAAACCGAAGGAUAGGGAAUGGGUCCAUAUCCUCUUGCACUUUCUUAGGACUUACGUCGAAGACGGCGGCAGAGAUCUGUUACCUAGUGGGGAGGACAACAAGGCUUAUGUUGAGGGUCUCAUCACAGCGUUGAAGGAGGCCACCCAGAACCUUGAUAGCGGUGAGCGAUACAAAACUCUGUACUCGUAGGCACAGGAUAGCUCAAGGUCUACUUAUGGCAGAUGUACCGUUCCCCGAUCACGCGGCACUAUCAGUGUCGCUCGUCGGACCUCACGCCAAGUUGGCCGAGAGUCGUGAUGGUUCGUUGCUCCAGGUCGAGGUGCACAACAAGCUGCCAUGCGUGAAUAACUUCACCCUGUAGCACCGUACGUAUGCUGAUGCAGGUUCCAGGAUGUUCCCGCUGAAGAAGUCCGGCUGCAACUGAACGGGCGGGACGGCAGCCAGCUCACUUUCACCACCAAAGUGUCAGGCAUAGUGCCUGGGUGUACCGAACUUAUGCUCUUCUGUCCGGUAGGUUGUUUUAACACCUAGAAUGCUCGCCGAUGUUUGAUGAAGUCGCCUUUUACACAGUCUCCCGCUAUGGGAACCUUCACUUUGGCUAGCACUCAGAUAUCCGUUUCUCGUCUGCUGUUCCAGUGGAAACACUCCAAGACGCCAAAGCAGAUCAAGGCUGGUAACACGCCCAAGCUUGUGUAUAUUCCCAAAGAUGCCACAGCGCUCGACGUCAAGCUCAAGCAGCCGCCUCUUAGUACGUUGAGCGGUGGCUAUAUCCGCGUUGAAAGUGGCUAAGGUUUCAAUUUAGUUGAGCUUGGCACCACGUCAAGGAUCAGGGUCUUGCUGUCCACUGGUCGCAAUGAGAUCGCCACGGCUGUGGUGAAGCUAGGAGCACCUUCUGGAGUCACCUUCCGGUACGAAGAGACGGACUUGUUGGGAGAUGGCACGUGAGCGUUGCGGUGUGGAUAGGACUGGUGGACUAAUCCUUGUUCAGAUCCCCCUGCCAUUCGCACCGACCAGGAUUCUUUGACAUUUUUGGACUUGAAAGCCGGACAGACGGUCGUUGCAGCAGUACCCCAUUCGGACGCAUCUGCGUAUGCAUAUAUGGUGAGGAAAGCCCCCUUUAACUAUCACGACGAGGAGAUAAUUUGUUUGUGCUGCUAGAGGGUGAACAUCACUGUCGACUACGCGACCAUUGCUGAGCCCGACAUCACAAGGACGCUACGUCAGAGCCGAGUCGUGGCUACAGGAUUGCCUGUAGAGAUCAACGUCCAGGACUUCUUCCGUGGGACAAGGUCCGUUUUCCUCUCGUUUGCGCGGAGUCGUGCUUAGCUCAUUCUGUAGGCUUUUCACCGCAUUCACCUUGUCGACCAAGACACACCAACAUGUUCGGGUGCGCUCCGCACAGCUGUUGUCGCAGGCCCAGACGACAGGUGUGACGGUAACAAGCUGUGUCGGACAGAAGCCCAGCAUUGUUGUACGUGAACAUGAACGAACGCAUCGUGUACUAUCGCUCAUCCUGCACGAACGACAGACUCUUACUCCUGCUCAGCCAGGGAGAUUCCUAUUCCAGAUGGAUUCCGAGAAGGGCACAGGUGUGAUCGAUUAAGUAUGUUGGGAGCGAUGUCCAGCGCUGAUGGCCUCUACAGUACGCGAUGGCUUGAAGCUGCAGAUCACCUACCGCAUGCUCCGCGAGGGUAAGGUCCCUCAUCAAGAUACCGCAAACAUGAUACUGACCGCCCUUCGCGCAGAGGUCGAAGCAUUGAUUGAAAUCGCUGUUUCAGAAGUUUCAUCGAGCACACCUUCAUUAUAUUCCCUCCGGCAAGGCAUGAUUGACAAACUCGUGCAGGCGCUUGAGGCAGAGGCAAGUUGGGUCGAGCUUUAUGGAGUCACUGGGGAGCUUGUCGUUCCCGGGAUCACUCCGACGGACGAUGACAUUGGUUCAGGACUCCGUCAAGUCAUGGAGGUUGGUGGUUUUCGUUUUCAUGUGUACGCCCAGAGAGCAGAACAUUACCUGACAUCUCGCACAGAAACUGAACCAGAAGAGGUCUCCGACGUCGUUUGGGGAGUGGAGGGACAUCGUGAUUCCUGUGGAUGUCCCUCAGAUACACGUGCGUUGCGUUUCUAGGUAGCAUUGUUGGCGUGUGUUUGAAGCUAAUAGGUUUACUAGAUCCUCGCUUCCGCUCGGUUGCAGAUUUUGGAGAACCCCUUCUCAUCUGAGUUAGGGAAGGCGGAGAAACGUUCGCGGCCGCUCUACGCCGGCCAGCCGAUCUCGGCACUGCUCACAGUCAAUACGUCCUUCCACUGGGCGCCGCCUGAGGACACGAAGGUCCAAAUUUAUAACAUGCGAUACGACAUUGAGGAUCUGACGCAAGACUGGUUGGUGAGUGGGCGUAAGAGAGGCGACUUCGUGGCUAAGGUGUGUUUUCCACCACCCCUGUCGUCCCAUGCUGACAUGUUGGUCUAGGACGGGGAGACGUUCACAACCCCGGUCACUCUCAUUGCACUGCACCAUGGAGAGCUUGCGCUACCUAAGAUCGGCGUCACAGCGCUACCGCUCCCGGGCGAGCAUAGGAUGCGAUCGAGUGUUAUCCCGAGUUGCGAGACGUACGAAGUGCAUGGUGCGGAGAAGGUACUCGUUCUGCCUCGGGGAGGCCGGUCAACGUUUGUGGUCAACAUGGGUACGAAUACCAGUAUGUAGCUAUAUUUUAGACAGAUGUCCCUUGAAUUCGUUGGGAUGUACCUUGCUGUUUUUCUUCUUUUGAAUGUAUAUGGCUUUUCAACCGCUUUCGUCGAGUGUAGUUCGCGGCAAGAGAUCUCGUGUGACCCUGACGUGACAGGGACAUCGCCAACCGUAACACGUGACAGGUAUGUGUGACAUGACGCGCUCCGAUCGUGAGAUGCGUCACGCGGCGCUGAAGCAGGUCGCGAUCCCACCUGCCUGCCUGAGACCAGUUCCGAGUCUUGUCCACCACCAUUCCUGCUCCCCAAACGCCCUAUUUGACUGCCAUCCUACUCACACACCAUCCAGCUUGCAGAAUUUAGAAUGUCAGACUCAGACGAUUAGUGAGUACCGUACCUUCUGGUGGUUGGCAAGCUACGGAAACUGACUACAACCCGACAGCGAGCGGGAGCGUCAAGCGACCAUUGCCAGGAACCGCGAGCUCCUGAUACAGCUCGGCCUCGCAGAUGCGGCGUCGGUGAUCAAGUCGACCAAGCAGGCGAACAAGGCUGCGAAGCCUGUACAACCACGCGUCAAGAAGCCCAAGGAACCCGCUAUGCCCACACGACAAUCGACGAGGUUGAAGAGAGCAGCCGCAAUAGACCCGGACGAAACCCCGCAGCAGAAACGGAAACGCGAGGUAUGUCACUAUCUCGAUUCAGAAGGAGGGGUAUGCACAGAGCAGCCAUUUUAGCGUGAGGAGGAGGACAGACGACGGAAGGAAGAGGAAGAGCGUCUUGAAGCUGCCGAACGCGAACGAGAAGCGAAGCGACCUCGGCAUAACGAUCUCGACCUGAAUACACUCCUCGAUGACAACUCCCCAGAGGAACUUGCCGCCCUUCGAGCCACCUUCCAGGUUGUGUUGAAGACUCCACAACCCAAGGGCAGGAGUGGAGACGAUGCCUAUGUCUUCGACGAUCACAAGAAGGAACAGGCCGAAGUCACCGAGUUGAAGCAGAGGUUUAAGAAGCUGAAGGUUGUGGCGCGAGCGAAGGUCACCCAGGAUAGGGUGUAUAGUGCUGCCUACCACCCAGAACCGACGAAGGACCUAAUAGUUUUUGGAGGUACGGACAGCACAACUCUCCCUGAACCAUACCGUUUCUCAUGAAACACAGACAAGCAUGGGCAGCUGGGCAUCUGGGAUGCCCGUGCACCAAUCGAUGUGCCUGACGAUGACGAGGACUCCACACCGCCUGAAGACCAGGAAGGCGGCAAGUAUUACCGUCUACAGAUGCAUUGGCCAGCUACUUCCAAAUCGUCCAUAUCGUGUGUCAAGUUUGACCCUAUUGACUCGUUUAGUGUAAGUGUUUAGCUUGUUGAUUCUGCUCCCUGUCUCUGAUCCCUCCUGCAGUUGUAUACCGCCGCGUACGAUUGCACGAUUCGCUCGCUGUCGUUGGCUUCUGGCAUUGCCUCGGAGAUAUACGCAAUGGAGGAUACCUUGAUAACCUCCCUUGACCUCCCGCCCCACGGACAUGAGAUGUGGAUCUCGGAUGCGGAGGGAGGGUUAACACACAUGGAUCUCCGAGCAGGUCGCUCUCACGCGAAACGGUACUUGCUAUCGGAGCAGAAGAUUGGGAGCGUCAGCGUCAACCCCGUCCGGCCAUCCUUCUUGGUUACUGCCUCUAACACUCGAGAUCUGAAGUGCGUUUCCCCUAAUUAUUUCUGCAAACUCUAUCUCAAGGUUGUUGGCUGUCAGAGUAUGGGAUACGCGGAUGUUAGAGACACUGAGUGGCAGGUCUCGCCGGUCCGUCCCUGAUUCCCCUGGCCCGUCGACCCCGCGGACCCCUUCCAAGCGGCAAGCUCGGAGUACAGCCGUCUUUUCGCAACCGACCGAAGUCGACUAUGGAGCGAUUGAGAAGCUCGUCGCCACGAAGAGAGGAGAGUCAACUGUCCGUGCGCGUUGGGCACACGGCAAGUCCGUCAGCUCAGCUUACUGGGACCCGCGGGGACGCUCGAUCGUUAGCACCAGCUACGAUGACACCAUCAGACGUGAGCAUCCUCCCCUUUGGGCUCUGUAGCAGCUCGUGCUGACUCUUGCAAGUAUGGGAUAUCAAGCCUUCGUUGUUUGACAAGGAUGAACCAUUCCCUUCAUCACGACCAUUCAGUCAGAUCAAGCACAAUUGCCAAACCGUCAGUCGGCAAGAUGAUUUUGCUUCUUGCGCCUUCGUACUAAAUAUAAUGGGGUCCCGCUUGAUAGGGCAAAUGGCUCACCAUCCUCAAAGCGCAGUGGACACCGAACCCCGACAUUUAUCCUCACUUCACGGUAUGACUUCACCCUGUCGUGACCCCAGCAUACUCUUACACUUGCGUAUGCUUCGUGCAGAUUGGAAACAUGGACCAUUCCCUCGACGUCUAUUCCUGCAAGGGUGACCAUAUCGCGAAGCUCGCUGACCGUUCAAAGUACGUGCCGUCUUCUUUGCGUACUUUACCUAUCUCUCUUGACGUUUGUUGUAGGAUCACUGCCGUACAAGCAGUCACUUGUUCACACCCUAACAUCGUAGAACGGGUGGCCUCGGGCAACGCUAGUGGACGUUGUGUCUUGUGGGCCCUUACGGACGAUUAACAUCCCUUACGAUGUCUUAAUGUUCUUGUUCUUACUACGCGAUCGACUAUUAUGUUGUAAUACCGGAGACCUCUUUGUCUGUAGGAACGCAGCCACUGGAAGUGAACUGGAUGCCCUUAGUGCUGUUCGAAUAGGCAAAAAGCGUCACCUGAGCGAUUCGAACACUCGCGGGCAAAGCCCAACCGCUAGCAGCUAUAGAUAGCAGGCGAUCCCGUUAACCACUCCGGCAAAGUGACAUAGACAACUUCCUAAUGCACUAUAGUACAAACUUGUUGAGAGAAUAGGAUAGUCUCGGUUUGCACCUCUCCUGUUGCAACUUACAGAAUCACCGAUGGUUCAGUGUCCACCAUGGCCAAGAAAGCUCGCGCACCCCCUUCUACCACGCCUGUACCUAGCAAAGAGUCCCAAGUUAUCUUCCCGCCAUUGGCAUCCAAAGAGGAUCUAGAAUGUCGUGCUCUGCUGGAGGACCAGAUCCUGUUAAUCGAUGUUCGUCCUCGUUGGAUCAUAUAGUGCAUGUUUAAAUGCUCUUGUACACCUCCUACUGAACCUAGGCUAGGAUUUCUUCUCUCCGGAGGAAUGCAAGGCAUAUGUCAAGUUCAUCGAUAGUCUUCCCUUGGAACUCACGCCCCCGAAGAAGAGGGGAGAAGCUGACCGGGUGAACCGUACGUCCACACGCCAUAUCCUUGUCGCCCGAGACCUUAGCAGUUGUUGUGUAGAACGCAUCUCUAUACCAUCUGUCGACUUCGCGCAGAAGUUGCAUGCUGUCCUCGCACCACAUCUGCCUGAAUUCCCGUACCCCAUCUCGGUCAAGAAGCCCGCCGGUGCGGCUGCCCGUGCCGUACACUCCUGCAACUCGAACAUACGUCUUUACAAGUACGCAACGGGGCAGUACUUCGGACCACACUACGAUGACUCUGUUCGCGACGCAGAAACAGGAGCAAAAUCGGAGUGGACGGUACUCAUCUACCUGACCGGAGCGCAGGAUGGGGUAGAAGGGGGGGAGGUGCGUGUUCAAAUAUUGAUGUCCUACUCUGCGCUGCACGGCUCUGCAGACCAUCUUCUAUCGAGACCAACGAGGAAAGCCACGGGAAACAAUUGUGCCUCCCUUGACUCGUGGACAGGUGCUGCUGCAUCGGUGGGUAGCCUCCUGUUCGAAGGAAAAAGUAUUCGUACUCGUCUGACGUAUUCCUCUAGUCACGGACAAGAUUGCCUGCUUCAUGAGGGCUCGCCGGUGACGAAGGGGAACAAGUACGUCUUGCGCUCGGACCUGAUGUUCAUGAAGUAGCAAUGGAAUAUCCCCGUCGACGAUACACACCAAUAUCGCGCAUACCACCACCAGAUCAUCACCUCCUCGCCUUCGACUUCUUUUUCAUCUUCGGCAUCCCCGCCUCCACUACAUCGUCGUCCCGGUCCAUAUCAUCCUUCCCGCCGCCCUCCUCCCCACCCCGCUUCCGCUUCUUCCCAUGACCGCCCUUGAUCCCCUGGUCCUUGAUCUCCGUGGCCGCGAGCCGCCCAGCCUCGUCCACGCGCUCGCGGAGGAGCGCGACUUCCUCCUUGUCGACCGCCCACAGAUCCAUCUUCUUUCCGAUGACCUGCUCGAUGCGCAACACGAGCUCGACGUCGUACUGGGUAACGAGUGUGAUAGAUUUGCCGGAGCGGCCCGCGCGCGCUGUCCGGCCGACGCGGUGGAUGUAGUCUUUGGAAUGCGUAGGGAUGUCGUAGUUGAUGACGACGUCGACGGAGGGUAUAUCGAGACCUCUAAAAUACGAGGUGAUAAUGUCAGCAUGAAGGCAUGCCAAUCGAGAAUGUCACGACGUACCGACUGGCGACGUCGGUCGCGACGAGGAUACUUCGACCACCAGCCUUAAACUUGCCAAGUGCACCAAGUCGCGCACUCUGACUGAGCUGUCCGUGAAGCGGGAUGGCGGGGAACCCCAAGGAACGUAGCAUUAUAGAUAGUCUGUGCCCGUAUGAGCUACGAAAUAUGAGAGCGAAGAAGUAGAGUGCUCACCGUUGUGCAUCAUGAACUGUGCGGGUAAAGAUGAUCAUGGAGUUUUGGGCCAGCGUGUUGGCGAGAUAAAUGAGAUGGACGUCCUUCUGAGGUAGGGGCAUAAGGAGGUAGUAUUGCAAUAGUGUUGAUACAGUCGAAUAUCUGAGUGUGCGGUAAUCACUUAGCAUAUGCUUAACAAGCGAGGACAGGGAAGGACAGGACACGCACUUCGAAUUUACUUCUACACGCACAGGGUUGGACAAGCUCGCGCGUUGAAGCUUAGCAACCUUUGUUGUCAUCGUUGCAGAGAAUAGGUAUGUUGUCCGCUCCUUAGGGAUGAGCUUCAGAAUCUUGUCGAGUUUGGGACCGAAGUCCAUGUCGAGCAGCCUGUCGGCUUCGUCGAGGACCUGCUCGCCAUCCUAUGAGACUUUCCCUGGCAGUUGCGGGUCAAGGGAACGCACCAGGAACUUCAAAUUUCUCAAACUAAACCCUUUCGUCUCCUCCAGAUGCUCCAACAACCUCCCGGGCGUCGCAACGACGACAUGCGGCUUCUUCGCGAGCGCGAUCUUCUGCGGCUGUAUGUCCACCCCGCCAAUGAUCGUCACGCACCGCACGCCCAUCGUGCUCCCAAUGCUCUCAAACUGCUGCGUGAUCUGGAACGCGAGCUCGCGCGUCGGCGCAAUCACGCACGCGAAGAGGCCCUUCGGGUCAUCCCACAGCUUCUGCAGGAUCGGUAGCGCAAACGCGGCGGUCUUGCCGGACCCAGUGGAGGCGACGCCGAUGAUGUCGCGCCCCUGGAGCGCGUGCGGGAGCACCUCGGUUUGGAUGUCUGUUGGGGCUUUGAACUUCAUUUGCUCGAGGGCCUCGAGGAGGGGGUCGAUGAGGCCAAGCGAUUUGAAGGUCGCGGGGGUCGUGGCCGCCUGCUCUGGCCGUUCCGGAGACGGGUUGGAGGUGGAUGCUUCCUCUGGGGAUGGCAUUUUUGAAAGUGAUAGGAGGCAAGAGUGGACAGAGGAGAAAGGAGAAGGCAAGGAAGGUAGGGAGAAAACGGGGCCAGUAGGGACGCUCAGAGUUGGCGGAUUUUCGAGGCGGAUUUUCGAGGCGCCCGGAUUUUGGAGAUCGGCCUGUCGUCACUGUCGUCACGGUCUAGUCACGGACGUCUACACGGGCGCCUCCGAACAUUUGCGAAGCGUGGGCGUCUCCUGCUCGAUCACACGGUCGGCGGACAGGAAUAGGUACUUCGGACGCUUGUAAUGCAACCUGACGAUCAUAGUAGCUGCAUAGAUAGCUAUAAUACAUAUAAUGAUACAUGGAAGUAUCAGGGGCUCCAAGGACCAGAGGCGGGCCCACCCACCCCAGCGGUGAGGUACUUGGCGCUGCCAUCCUCAUCAAUGUAAAAGCAAUCUUCCAGACGAACACCGACCUUGUCCAGACGAUGAUAUUAAUAUGAGACUGGGUAGGGGUUAGUGCUGUUGUGGCUUACCUUUCCCUCAAUAUAUAUUCCAGGUUCAUCCGAAAAAGUAUGCCCGACGAGGAUGAUGUCGUCGGAACCUCCACGCAGAUAAGGUGACUCGUGUGUUUCCAGCCCGAUACCUGGACAACUCUCUCAAGCCAUAAACACAUAGAUACGUAACAGAGCGCGUACCAUGACCCAGCCGGUGAGUAAAGAAUUCUCCGUAACCUGCGUUCUUGAUGAGCUUCCGAGCAGCACGAUCGACCAUAGCAGUCACAGUGCCGUUCGUCGCUGUCACAAUCGCAGCGUCCUGUGCAGCGUGGACGGUGUACCAUAAAGCCUGAUACCGCAAGGGUAUCUCAGAUCCUGGCAGUGCGAAAGUCUAUCAUGGGUCACCACAUCAGUGGGCAUAGUUUGUAAUAUCUUUGAAUGCGCACCCUUGUCACAUCACUGCGAUAUCCAUGGAGGCUUCCUCCAGUGUCGAUGAGGAUGAACUCGUGCUUGCUAAGUGUGGCAUCAGUUCCCGAUCCAUGAGGAAGAGCAGCAUUCUCUGUAAAAUAUAUUACGACUAGGUUCAUUCGAGGCAGAGGCCCGGGGAACCUACCUCCAAAGAGGGUAAGAGCAAAGGCGUCCUUCAACCCAGCCGCGGUAAGGGCGUGGACAACUAGCUGCCUAGCCUCAGACUCCUUGAUACCGAUCUCCAUGUGCUUCCGUGCGGCUCGGAUCGCGAGGACGGUAACCUGUUGUCAUUUGGUGAGUCUUCUAAACCACUCGACAGGACUUAAACUGACCUCGUUGACGCACUUCAUGAUGUUGAGCUCCUCGGAGCUCUUCCGCUCACGAAGCCGUCUGACCUCAACCGGAGCAUUGAAAACUCGCGCGUUUGGUGCCGCCCUCUGGAGGCCGUCCGUAAUAAAGGUGCGGACGUUGCCGUCCACGUAAAUGGAGGUGUCGUUGAGGUUAGGCAAUAGAUCGAGUGCCGUCUUGAAAGGGUCUGUGUCUUCGGGCCAGGAGGUAUACGUGACUCCGGACCUGCUCGGGAUGGGCAGUAGCUUCGCCCUGGUUUUCUCGAAGGCCGGAGUAAGGAUGGAAAUGUUGGCAUGGAUCGAUCCAUUUUCAGCUUCCUGGGGUUGGAUAAUCAGGAGCAGGGGGCGUUCGGAGAGUCCCCAAUGGGACCCAGUGAGGUUGGCAUAGUAUCCGGCGCUCGCACCGGGUUCUGCGACAUAGGCCGAUGCAUCUAGAGCAUGAAGUGUCCGUGCAAGGGCAUUCUGCCUAGAUAUGAACGAGUCCGGAGAUAUGGGCGGUAUAUGGGCACAGUGGCCCUCGAGAUGCGAGAAACCGGGAAGCGUCGAGGUGCUCUUGUUGUCAGACCAUAAGCCGUGAAGAAGAUACUUGUGGCAGAGUCCCGUAAAGUCGAAAAUGAACGCGAAAACUAGGAAUGGUGUCUAUCAUGCCUCUUAUCAGCUUGCGGCGUUGGACACGAACUUGCGAUUUCAAUGAGCACCCACCCAUAUACAUAAAUAGCGGCGCAGCGGGGUCUUCUUUGUGAAACUCUCUUGGGAGAGUAAUGAGGCGGUGUUCGCGGUGAGGAACUCGAUGUCCUUCCCCUGCUUUGGCAUGGCGGUUGUGUUCAAGGACGUCGACCAUCCGCAGAGGAGCUCAUCCCACGGCCAAGGCGGGUCUCCCGGCCGGCACACGCGGGCCGCCCCCGAAGACAGAGCGCGUGCAUCACGUGUGCGUGUCUAUAGUGCGUACUCUUGACUCGGACUUGGGAGUGCUGAGUCGGGACCGAGGCGCGACACGCGACCUGCCCAGCAACGGCCACCAUCUCUGUCCUGUCCAUCAACACUUGCAAAGCAAUGGACGGCGCGGAUAUGGACACAGAAACCCUGCUAGCCAUCCUUUCCAGCCUUCUUUACCCCUCCGAGUUCGAACAUGCAGUCCUCCUGGAUGCCCUCGCCAAGUCCCAGGGGGAUGUCGACGCUGCUGCUCGAUCAUUACGCUCCAAGCCACCACGCAAGAAGCGCAAAAUUUCGCAGAAUGCAGGACUUCAAGGUUGGCUCAAGAGUCGUGACAAGAGUACCCCCUCCGCCAUUCAAGAUAAAUCGCUCUCUUCUACGUCCGUUGCCCGUGCAGAUAGGUCUACUCUCAAACGAGCCUCCAGUCCUAUUACUUCAGGUACGAACGCGUCGCGAAGUAGUGGGAGUUCUUCCUUGUCUCCCCAGAAGCCCUCCUCCAAGACGAAGGCUGUCACCAAUACCGAAUUUAUGGCCCUCUUUCGUCCCCCUACCUCCUCCGAGAGCCCAUCUGAACCCCGGAUAAGGCAACCUCCUCCGCUCACCCUCGUCUCUCCCGAACACGUUGCUCAAUAUGCGCCAUGUACAUUACAUAACUCUAUACUGUCCCAAGAGCUCGCUUGCCGGUAUGUAUUAACCAUUGAUCGGCGUUGUCCUUGCACGGAUUGAUCACCCACUCCCAGACUGUUCUACACCAUGCUCCAUGCUAGUCGUGACUGGAAAAGGAACAAGUGGUGGCUUUUUGACCGCGUUGUGGAAAGUCCGCACAGGACAUCCUUCUUUGUGAGGCGUGACAUCAGCAAAACCAAAGAGGGUAGCGACUUGAAGGAGGAGGCGAAAUAUUGGUACGCCCCAUCCUUCAACGAAUGCGUCUUUGUCCGCAAUAGUGAUGGCGCGAAUCCAUCACCACAGGUACAACGGACGUCCGACAGAUCCCCCUCUGACGUUUCCCGCGCCAAUGGAGGAAGCAUGCGAUAUUAUCGAACGCGUCGUUAACGAGGAGAUGCGCAAGCGCAGACGAUAUCCACUCGAGUGGGCGGGAUACCCUGUUCAAGACGGAGAGGAGCCAGUCCUUUGGCGCGCCAACGUCGCAGCGUCGAACUGUUACGAAGGCGCGAAGGAGAGUGUCGGCUUUCACUCCGACCAGUUAACGUACCUCGGCCCUUAUCCCACCAUUGCUAGUCUCAGCUUGGGUAAAUCGAAUGUUGCACGACAUGUUCGAAUCCCGUGCUGACAUGAGAUGUACAGGGGUGAGCCGUAUCUUCCGACUUCGAGAGGUGAUCCCGACAGACGAGAGAGACAGGCGAAGUGCCCGCACAUUCAACAUCCCGCUUCGUCACAAUUCCGUGGGCCUGCUAUGUAUAUGUACCCCAGCAUUAGUCUGACCACUGCCAAUGCCACAGCUCAUCAUCAUGCACGCGUCCACCCAAGAAGUCUUCAAGCAUUGCGUCCCGGCACAGAACACGAUCGACAUGUUCCGGCCACCCUUACCACCUCCAGCUGGUCUCGCCAACAAGGAAGAACUCGCAAAGCUGUCCGAAGGAUCCAAUGCGCGAAUCAACAUCACGUUCCGUUUCUAUCGACCAGACUUCCGUUCGCAGCUAACACCACACUGCAAGUGCGGUGUCCCUUGCAUUCUGCGUCCAGACAUGAAAAAUCGCUACGAGGCCUCGCUCGACGAUGAUUCUAAUACCCAAUCGGAGCCACGCGCGGGUACGAGUUGUGAGGGCGAGGGCUCCUGCAAAAAAAGCUUGGCAUCGAAAUACUGGUGGACGUGCUACGCUGGAGCCCAAAACGACGGUCACGGGUGUGGGUUUUGGAAGAUCAUGGACGUUAAGGCUGAGGGAAGAGGUCCAUUUGUAGAGGACAUGAACACUACGCCGAGCUCCAGCAAAUAGAUAUUUUAUUUCAUGUUUGUAAUCCGCACGCCCUUAUUUGCUGAAUACAUUUAGCAUGCAUGUACUUAGAGUUUUGGAGGAGGCGCUCUAACCCCGCCUUCCCGAAAAGGUAUCUCACGUUGGGCAAAUGAUCAGAGAACGUUACAUAGAGGAGUCUGACUCACACCGCCCGUCUCUUCCCUUGUGCUACAUCCGCCGCAAGCUGCCAAUACCCGGUACCUCUGCGAGUCGAAACUAUUAGAAAUGGCAGCAAGGACGGCGGCGAUUGAGCGCAAGACGAACGAGACCGAGAUCAAGGUUGCCAUAAACCUGGACUGCCAGGCGGGCACCGGGAACAAACAGGAGAUCUCCAUCGCCACUGGCAUUGGAUUUCUCGAUCACGUAGGUUAUGGCACACCACCGUUACCGCGUGUACUCAUUCGUUUGGUGACGGCGGGCCGUAGAUGCUCCAUGCGCUCGCGAAGCACUCGGGCAUGUCUCUGCAACUGAGCUGCAAGGGCGAUCUGCACAUCGACGACCACCACUCUGCAGAUGAGUUUAUUCUCCGCAUAAUCUCACUCAUCUCGGUCGUGCUUACCUCGCAUUCGGACUGCACAGGACAGCGCGAUCGCGCUCGGCACCGCGUUCAAGCAGGCCCUGGGUGAGGUGCGCGGCAUUCGCCGCUACGGCACCGGGUUUGCGCCCUUGGACGAGGUACCGUAAUCUCUUCAUCCUGAGAGCUGGGAAAAUGUUGAUCCCAUCCCCCAUGUGCAUCUUCCAGGCUUUGUCGAGGGCGGUUAUUGACAUCUGCUCUCGUCCGUACUGUGUGACGGACCUCAAGCUGCAGCGCGAAAAAAUCGGUGACCUCUCGACGGAGAUGAUUCCGCACAUUUUCUACUCAUUCGCCAUCGCGGCCGGCGUGACACUCCACGUCGAUGUGCUGAGGGGCGAAAACGACCACCACAGGUACGAUCAAGUCUUUACUGAAUUUUGGAGAGGGACUGAUGCCGGCAUUUUUUAACAGGGCCGAGUCGGCGUUCAAGGCGCUUGCUCUGGCAAUUCGGGAGGCGAUUCAGAGGACAGGCGGGGACGAUGUGCCCAGUACGAAGGGCGUGCUCUAGUUGAGCGGAUAUAUGGGGUUGAUCAAGAUUGAAUGUCUUCAUAUGGGGGAGUGUAUAGUAGCACGGUCCUAAACAAUGCAAAUAGGCCGCCAUCCAGUGCGUGAGAUACAUUACCUACUGAUACAUAUACUGUUGACAGAGCAAGUGCACGAUAUCACCGAGAGGACUAGGGUAUUGGUACGAAGCGAAAUGGGGGUACAGAGAGGGAAAGGAGGUGCUUAGUACCGCUCUCCACCCUCACAGAGGGUCUCGAGGAAGACUUUGAGAUCGUCCUUGUUGAUUUCAAGAACGCUCGUGUCGAAGGUGCCGUGCCUGGUACGUGCGUUGCACCGCUCCUUCGCGUCGAGGAAAGCAAGGCCGAACUCACUGCAAGGCUCGUUGGACACUGAAUGUGGGGGAGAGGGGGAUGAAGACUCACUUCUUCCGAAUCUCGUCGAAGUCAGCCGCACCCGUGACACCGACGACGAUGUACGUCCCUGCCUUCUCGUCGAGACAUGCGAGGACGAAAGGGAGACUCUUUCGCUUGCUUCGCGAAUAUGCGGCUGUCGUGGCUUCUACACGGUCGCGGAGCGCGUCGACCAGCCACAGUGCUAGGCGGCCUAGUACGCCUGGGUGGAUGAAGAGCGGAAGGUCUGGGCCUUGAGUAAGGAUGACGACGCGGUGCCCGCGCAAGGUCUUGAUAUCCUGCUUGUCAAUUAUUGACGAGCCCUGGCGGAUAAUAGCUCGAUGAAGGGCCAUUGAAAGCGCGAUUGCUUCUCGCAGUCGCUCGAUGCUGCACGAGUCGUGCAUGAGGAUCAGAGAUAGCGAAGACGACGAGAAGGCGGACGUACUCGCUUAACGCGUCGAACGCGGCCCAAAAGUUCUUCACCCACCAAUCCACAUCCUCACCCUCUCCACCUUCUUUCCCGUCCGCACCAGCCUGAGCCCUCACUUGUGCCUUCAUGACGUUGGCAAGUACUCCAGGUGGAAUAUUCUCUCGAUCCUCGUUGUGAUACCUGCCCUCUUUACCACCAUCCCACAACUUGCCCCCACCGAACCACUCUCCUCCAUUGCGUGCGCCUUCGACCUCGACCUCUAUGCGCGUCCCGCCUGCGAUGUCUAAGAGCGCAGACAGCGCUUCAACGGCAUCCCCAGCUGAAAGGGGCUGUGAGCGAUAACCAAAACAUCGCAUGAAAGACGGGUACGAGAGCUCGACCAGUCCGUACUCAGGGGCGAGCUGAUCCAAUUUCUCCCUUAGGUUCUCCUUCAGAUCCUUCGCCAUGUGUGGGAAUGGCUGCUGCGUCUCCAGGAUCGAGAACCCCAUCUUCGCGAGCAGCCCCGUGAGCCGCUUGCGCCCGCGCUCCUUCCAGAUCCCGAGCUUGCUCGCGACGUAGCUCGAGUGGUACAUCGCGUCGUAGAGGUUCCAGUGCCGGAACAUCAUGAACCGGAACUCGUCCGACGCAUACACAGAAUGGUCGUCCGGGCCCGCCGCCUUGAGGUCGUCCCCGAGGGCGGAGGGGGGCGCCGGGUUGAGCCGUGCGACCUCGUCGUAGUAAACGGACUGGAACUUGUCGUAGUCGUCCCGGGAGAUGCGUGAUGUGAUGUAUUGGUGGGUGAGGCCGAGGAUCGCGAACCAUAGGAGGUCGCUGUCGACGCGCUCGAGGACGGUUGCGAGGAUGUAUAUUGUUCCUGACGCGCUUUGCCCGUGCCAGGUGCCGGAACGGUAGUACUUGAUGAGGCGGUUUUCGUGCUGGGAGCGAUCUUCUCGUGACAGGCGAUUUGGGACCUGUAUGCGCAUGGGGUAAGGAGGGGUUAGUGUUGUAGAGGGAAGAAACUCACAUCGACUCUUCGCCGCUUGCCGCGUUUUCGGUCACCAUCAUCUAACGACUUGCGUUUCCUCGACGGAGACGCGGAACUUUCGCCGUCUUCAUAGUCCUCCUCCUCUUCAUCUUCUUCCGCUUCUUCGUCCGAGUCAAAAUCUGAGUCUUCAUCCGAGUCCUCCUCAGGGGCAUACUACAACAGAACAUGAGUGUUAUUCUCCCCUCUAGACGCUAUGGAAAUAGUUACUCACUGUCAAGGUCUCCCAAGCUUUGCGCUCCUCUUCUAAAUGCUCCACACCACCAUCGUCCCAAAUUACUAUUCGGUCACCAUUCUCUCCACCACCAAAGACACUUGAUAAAUUCUGUGGUCUCGAAGAAUCGAUGACAUGCACGGUCAGGGUUGUCGGGAAAUCACCAAACCACUCGGGUGACGGGAGGUCGAGGAUAGCACCCAUGUUGAACAUGAUCAGCGUGUGUAACUGCACACCACAUCAGGCAUAAUCCCAAAGCGCGGACGAGCGAUAACGUACAUCAGCGUAUGUUGUCAGCUCGCCUCGUAUUCUCUCGAGCUCGGCGUGGCCCGAGACGGGGAUGAUUCUGUGCAUGACGUCGUCCUGCUUGAAGAGAUCGGCGAGCAUCUUGGACGCGCAUAACGCGUCGACGUCCGGCGCGACGAGAAUAAUAACGGAUGACGCCGCUGUCUUGGGUGAACGUCGGUGUGACGCGAGUAUCUUGGAGUAGGCUUCCGCAUAUGAUGGUCGGGACCCGGGGGCGAGAUGGGGUGGCGGUAGGUACACCAUAAAGCGUCGGGAAUGCCGUCAGAGCGAGCAAUGGCAGCGACGCGUAAAGAAGAGCCGGCGUCGAGGGGAAUGUGUAUGGAGGAAGCGUUGAGGACGCGAGAAAGAGGUGGAAGGGAUGACGGUCAGAGCGCGUCACGCUCAACAACGCGUCCUUGCAGGGGCACGCGCUAGCACGUGACACGCGUCUUCCGCGUCUAUGGCUGGUGCAAGCGCCGCUCAGACCGGACUCGGCGCAGGACACGCAUAAAAACGUCAAGGAGAGGUGAUACUUCGUCUAGAUGUGUGUGUGUGUAUUACGUAUUACUAUGUUCAUAUGUUUAAACCAAGGAAGCUCGACCGCUCCCGCACCUCCCUCCUCUUCCCGCGGAUACCCCAGAGGCCCCAGUUCGUCUUCACCAUCACCCGCGGGUCGAAGUCCGCCACCUCCCACUUCUCACUCAGGAACGCGUUCGGCCCCGGAGUGAUCACCCAAUCGAACUCCCCAGCGACCUCUGGCGCCGUCGAGAGCGACUUCACAUCGCGCUCCACGUCUGCGGGUGAGAACCCGGUCACAAAGAUCGGGCACUUCGUCGCCAAUAGCUGGGGUAGGACAGGGCCCCACUCCGUUGGAGACGCGACCUGGAGAAGCGGCUCCCCAGUGACCUCGUUCACUGAGUUCGGCGAAGGGAAUCCGAGGCCAGGCGAGAACAGGAAGAAGCAGUCCGUGUAGGGAUCGAACGUCUCCUGGAAUUGCCCAUGCACCUCGUUGUAGUUCGCCUGCAUGCCGGUGAUCGUGAGCUGGGCCGUGUACGGGACCGUGUACGAGGGUACACCGUAUUGUUCGAUAGAUGAUCGUGUCCGCUUGAGUCGUGCAAUGGGUGCGGGGGUCGGAGGCUCGUACACAUUCGGCAAGUAAACGGGUUUCUCCUCGGUAGGCUCCGCUGGUGGCUGCUGCUCCGUCGACGCGGGAGCCUGCGCAGAAGCAGAUGAUGGUGGGGCCUCCGGAGUGGGUGCCGAUGUCGAAGUGGAUGUUUCGCUGCCCUUCGGCAUCUUGUUCACCUCGCUCACGGGCUUCGGUAGUGAUACUUGAGGCCCAAUGAAGAAGAGAUGGAAAAGCGCGGAGGGGAAAAGCAAGCAAAGCUGUUCCCAAACGUGUGGUGGCAGUGACGACUCCGCGCGAGCACCAAGGAUGAAUAUCCGCAUCUGUGGCUUCGUUAUAGCAGCCUCAGGAGUCUCUGGCGCGCCUGGUGGAACGUGCAGGUUCGUCCGCAGUGCUAGGUUGCGGCGUAUAAGUAGAAGAGCAAACUAACUACUUGAAUGGGCGUACCAGCAAGAGAGCGGCUACCCUCAGGAGUCAACCGCUGGUUGCUCAGCGUAAGAUUGCUGAACUGAUGCAGCACCGAGCCAAUAGUGAUCGGGUAGGUGAGGAUCUUGCUCGCAUGCCUCCGUGAACGCUCCGAGUCCAUGGACGGGAACUCUCGUGUGUACCAGAACACGUCCCAGUUCGAAAAGGAGAUGGCUGCUUCAGAAUCCUGUGGACCUGCAUGAUGAAGGUAUUCUCCAUCACGACCUACGUCUUGGGUGAGAACGAUGGUCAGCGCACCUGGCAGCUCGAAUUCCUUCAUCCUCCUUCCGCUCCGUAAAUCGUGCUCGUCUUCGUUCACUUCCCGCAGUCGCCCGCAAUACUUCUGAUGCUCCGGGUCCUCCGACCAAUGUUUUUCCGAACAGUGUGUCGGCCACCCACAGUCUGGACACUCGAACAAAACUGACUCUGGCUCGUGUGCGUGGUGCGAGUGCACCCCGUGACUGAGCUCGUCUACGCACAUCGGACACGGCGCAAGCUGUUGGAUCGCCUCCCCGCGUGCGCGGAUGGCCGGAAAAGGCGACUUGGAGAACGGAUGGAAGAGGUCAUCCUGUGAGAGGACGGGAGUCUUCUUUUCUGCGCCCUUCGAGGGCGAGCCGAAUGAUGAAUCCUUGGGUUUACUUCUGAACCAGCUAAGGAACGUUCGAGUGCUGGUAUACGAAACGCCAGAGAGCGAAGGAGAGAGCAAGGGGGAGGGAGCGAGGCUACGGGUGAGGCAUGCUGACGGCCGGCCGCUGUGAGUGAGGAUGAGACGAGUUGCUCUCCGCGGCGCCUGAGAGAGCAUGGGUGAUGAGGACCACAAUACUCUGCAGCAGGUCUGUGAUGCUGGAAGAGACCGCAGAAAACGCGCGUGGACGACCGACACUGAGUCUAACACCGGUCGGAUGUGCAGAAGUCGACUCGAGCGGGGCGCGCCGAUUCGCCGCGUUGACCCCUCCUGCGCGCCUCUGGACUCACUGUUGCCUCGAUCACCUCCCGCUUACCCGUCCUCCUUGCUCACAACCGUUCUCCGGGUAUGACCUUGUAAUCCCUAGAAUAUGCUCUCUUUGAGGACAACGCCACGUUAUCUCUCGCUUGCCGCCCAAUCUUCCCGAACUUCGUGCCUUCCACGCAUCCCCGGCCUAUGUGGUGUUUUCCUUGCCCGGACUUAUGCACAUUCGCGGUUUGAGAAACCACGACCAGGGGUAGGACGCGAACGUCCGAAGCUUUACCCUAGGCAGACCCGGCCGGAGCGUGACUCUCGCCCUGAGGAACAGGGCCAGUCUUGGGCUUGGAACACCUCAUAUGAGUCGCAGCCCUCUGCGGAACAAUCGCCACUUUGGGAACAGAGUGUGCGCACCCCUUCGCGUAACCCGGAAGAAGGACUACGUAGAGUGUUACAGAAUGACAGGCUUGUCAUUACACGGUGCGUUCAACUUGAUUUGCCAGAAGGGAGAAAACAGACGAACGCACGGCAGGCAGCUCGAAAUGUUGAACAUCUUCGUCGGGUUUGAACAGACCAACCGCUAUGUGAUAAGUGCGUCCAUUUACUCCGCCUAUUCUUAGAUGAAAUGGUGACAUAUAGUCCUGGUAGCGAACGAACUUGGGGACACACUUGGAUACAUCGCCGAAGAGCCGCGCGGGUUCCUGGCUACAUUGUCGCGGCAGGUCUUCCGCACACAUCGACCGUUCCGUGCUAUCGUUAUGGAUGCGGAAGGGUCGCCUAUUCUCUGGGUGUGCCUGACUUUUUGGCUUAGCUUGAAGCAACACUUGCUUAUCUCCCCACGGUAGAUUCGUCGACCCUUCGCAUUCAUCAACUCCCGGAUGUAUGUGCAACGUUUGAACAACGCCGCAAACAUCCAAGAGGGAGAGCUCGUCAUGGAUACGUUCGCCGAAGUGCAACAGCGGUGGCACCUUUGGAGAAGGCGAUACGACUUGUUCCUCCGCCAAACUCCCCAUCGAAUAUUGUCCAAGGUGGACGAGCCGCAGCCUGAACCUGAGCCCGAGUUGUUUCAUCAAUUUGCAGAGAUCGACGGGGGCUUCUUUGCAUGGCACUUCACCCUCAGAGAUAGCCAAGGCAUAUCCAUCGCCAGCGUUAAUCGUACUUUCCGUGGGUUUGGUCGUGAAGUAAGCAUUUGUUUUCUUCGAUUGUGCCAGAAUCUAAAUGGUACCAUAGAUCUUCACAGACACAGGUAUGUUAUCUAAUAGCGCGCCUUUGCAUUCUACUGAGCCCCUUCCUCCUCAAUAGGGCAGUACUUCGUCAACUUUAAUGGUAGCGAGCCCAAUGAGGGAGAUGAGGUCGCCGCCCAGAAGCCUUAUCUCAUCCGCAACCUGAGCAUAGAAGAGCGUGCAGUACGUAUCCUGUGUUUGAAAAACCGGAUGCGGUCCUGACUUCACUGCUUUGAAUAGCUCAUCCUAGCCACUGCCGGUACGUCGUCUUGUAUGUCGAAUUGGCCAACGCUGACGGCAGACCCAGUGAACAUCGACUUUGACUACUUCUCCAGGCACUCCGGGCCGGGGGGGUGAGAGUGUGUGUUCAUUGGUACUCAUAUUGAUACUGACAUAGUACGCUUUUUAGCGGUCUCUUUGUCCUUGGAUCUAUGGAGUGAACAAGGACAGUGGGGAACAUACCAUUACUCUGGAGUCUGUGAAACGUCUAUUCAUGUCACGUUAUUAUUCAUCUUGAUCUCAAUUUUCACGCUGUAUAACUCGCGUGUCGCGGUUGGUCUGGACUUGGGAAUUCGGACAAGCCAGCGCGUAUGGAGUGUGGGUUGAUGUCGAUGUCUUGCAAUGUCAAUGUCGAUCUCGUACACAGCCACACGGCUGGGCGGACCGAGCCGAUGAGCGCGAGCACGUGAGAUGAGGAGUAUGGGCGUCUGUAAGGUGUUGCUCGCGGCGAAGUGCUCGGACCUCGGACUCGGAGCCGUUCUCUUCCUCUCCGUCGCUGGCCACACGCGUCCUUGACCUCCACGACCACACCCCGCCAGCAUGGCGGACACGCGAGCACCAAGGCCGUCUACGGACGAGGGUACGCAUAUUCAUCCCCCUCUCUGCCCUUCCUCGUCAUGUCAUCUCAUGUCCAACCACCGCUAUCUCCAUUAGAGACAGCCCCGCUCCUUCAGAACGUUUCGCACCCGGACGGCGCCCCUGUGGACCAAGAUGAAGAACCUUCCUUCAUUGAUCGCCUCGCCUCUAUUGUACAAGAGCCUCUGUCACCAUUGACCAAAGUCCUGCUGGUUGCGACUCUCGUCUUCCUGCUCUUGAGCUCCGUCUUCAUUGGUCUCUUCGCCGGUGCGCAACACAAGCUUAACCACGGUGAAGGGCAGGGUAAGGCAACCGUGACUGUCACCGCUACGGUCACUACCACCUCGCAAGCUACCACGACCGCGGCCUCUACUACCACUGUUUCUCUCCCUGCCCCUCCUGAGCCAACGAGACCCCCUCAGGACGUACGUUCCCACACACAUACUCCUCGGCCCACUGACGCAUACAACGCAUAUGUCUUCCUAUAGUCUGUUUGCCUUUCGGCCUCGUGCAUUAGCCUCGCUUCUUCCGUACUUUCGGCCCUGGAUGAAUCCGAGGACCCAUGCGAGAACUUCUAUGACUUCGCCAGUAAGUGUUCACUGUUACUUUCUGUGUUAUCUGGUUCCUUACAAAUCUCCAGAUGGUGGUUGGCUCAAGUCUAACCCCAUUCCCUCCGACAAGGGCAAGUUCGGCCACUUCGAGGAGAUUGCCCUCCAGAACAAGCGUCUGCUGCAGCAGAUCCUUUCCGAGGACUCGUCUUCCCACUUCUCCGACGCAUCGUCCCUCAUGGUAUCUGACCCAUACGAUGAACAAUUGCUCAAGAAGCUGCGCGGCCUUUACCAAUCGUGCUUGGACGAGGACUACCUGAAUGAGAUUGGGGAAGCCCCUCUCAAGGAGUUGACCCAGAAGAUUCGAGAGGUGUUCCGCGGCAAGACGACCGUCGUAGACAGCCUUCGGUCGAAAUCAGAUCAAGAUAGAGAUAGGUUGACGGCUGCUGUUGCUUUCCUCCAUUCGAGAGGUGAGUGGACGUCUUUCCAUUCUGGUAUGCGAGGGCACCGGCAUGGGUCUAAUGGUAUGAAAGGCAUUGGUGGCUUGUUCUCUUACCAAAUCGACGGGGAUGUUGGAAAUGACCCCAAUUUGAUGACUCUCUGGAUCAGCCAACCUGAAUUGGGACUCCCCUCUAAGGUACAGACGUCGCAUCUUCACUUUGCUUCGCUGAGCUAACCGCCCGUAGGAAUAUUACGAGGAAGAAUCGAUUGUUGACCUUUAUGGGAACACUUUGACGCGUCUCCUCGCGACGCUCGACAACGAAGAGGAUACCAUCCUAGCGGAACAAACUUCUGACGAGGAGNNNNNNNNNNNNNNNNNNNNNNNNNNNNNNNNNNNNNNNNNNNNNNNNNNNNNNNNNNNNNNNNNNNNNNNNNNNNNNNNNNNNNNNNNNNNNNNNNNNNNNNNNNNNNNNNNNNNNNNNNNNNNNNNNNNNNNNNNNNNNNNNNNNNNNNNNNNNNNNNNNNNNNNNNNNNNNNNNNNNNNNNNNNNNNNNNNNNNNNNNNNNNNNNNNNNNNNNNNNNNNNNNNNNNNNNNNNNNNNNNNNNNNNNNNNNNNNNNNNNNNNNNNNNNNNNNNNNNNNNNNNNNNNNNNNNNNNNNNNNNNNNNNNNNNNNNNNNNNNNNNNNNNNNNNNNNNNNNNNNNNNNNNNNNNNNNNNNNNNNNNNNNNNNNNNNNNNNNNNNNNNNNNNNNNNNNNNNNNNNNNNNNNNNNNNNNNNNNNNNNNNNNNNNNNNNNNNNNNNNNNNNNNNNNNNNNNNNNNNNNNNNNNNNNNNNNNNNNNNNNNNNNNNNNNNNNNNNNNNNNNNNNNNNNNNNNNNNNNNNNNNNNNNNNNNNNNNNNNNNNNNNNNNNNNNNGGAUGAAUCCGAGGACCCAUGCGAGAACUUCUAUGACUUCGCCAGUAAGUGUUCACUGUUACUUUCUGUGUUAUCUGGUUCCUUACAAAUCUCCAGAUGGUGGUUGGCUCAAGUCUAACCCCAUUCCCUCCGACAAGGGCAAGUUCGGCCACUUCGAGGAGAUUGCCCUCCAGAACAAGCGUCUGCUGCAGCAGAUCCUUUCCGAGGACUCGUCUUCCCACUUCUCCGACGCAUCGUCCCUCAUGGUAUCUGACCCAUACGAUGAACAAUUGCUCAAGAAGCUGCGCGGCCUUUACCAAUCGUGCUUGGACGAGGACUACCUGAAUGAGAUUGGGGAAGCCCCUCUCAAGGAGUUGACCCAGAAGAUUCGAGAGGUGUUCCGCGGCAAGACGACCGUCGUAGACAGCCUUCGGUCGAAAUCAGAUCAAGAUAGAGAUAGGUUGACGGCUGCUGUUGCUUUCCUCCAUUCGAGAGGUGAGUGGACGUCUUUCCAUUCUGGUAUGCGAGGGCACCGGCAUGGGUCUAAUGGUAUGAAAGGCAUUGGUGGCUUGUUCUCUUACCAAAUCGACGGGGAUGUUGGAAAUGACCCCAAUUUGAUGACUCUCUGGAUCAGCCAACCUGAAUUGGGACUCCCCUCUAAGGUACAGACGUCGCAUCUUCACUUUGCUUCGCUGAGCUAACCGCCCGUAGGAAUAUUACGAGGAAGAAUCGAUUGUUGACCUUUAUGGGAACACUUUGACGCGUCUCCUCGCGACGCUCGACAACGAAGAGGAUACCAUCCUAGCGGAACAAACUUCUGACGAGGAGACGUCUAAGUUGGUUGUCCACGAAGAGCGCCUCAAGGUUUGGCCUCCCUGGCCGUGGCCGCCUUGGGGUGAUGACGACGAUGGCAGCAGCUCUCCCGAGAACCGUACCGAGCGUGCUCAGAGGUUGGCAAAGAGCAUCAUCAAGUUUGAAAAGCGCAUCGCCAACGCGAGUCUUGAUCUGUAAGUCUCAUGGUUCCGGUGGCCUCUCGGACCAUCCUGACACGUAGUCUUCAGUGAUGUCUUGUACCAGGACCCAAUUGCCACCUACAACCCAGUUCCCUUCAAGAAUGUCAGCGACUCUCUCCCCGAGUUUGACUUCUCAACGUACUUCUCGACCUUCGCCCCGCGCAACUUCCCAAAUACGGUCAUCCUCACCUCCACCACGUACCUCUCUGAUCUCUCGCGCAUUCUCAAUGACACCGACAAGGACGUUCUUGAAGCUUACUUUGUCACGCGUGCGGGGCUCGCGUACGCAUCCUACGUGGGUCUUGAAACGGAGGCGUGGCAAGCGGUGCGUAGCCUUGAAGAGGUCCUGAACGGCAUCAAGAAGGGUGCGAUCGGUGACCGCGCAGAGUACUGUGUUGGCCGUGUGGAGUCUGCAUUGGGCUUUGCGCUCGGUCGGUACUUCGUGAGAGAAACGUUUGGCGGAGACUCGCGGCGGGUUGCCACGAAGGUUAUCACUGGUACGCUCACUUCUUCAAGCUGUCCAGCCAUAGCAAUCUUUCUGAAUGGGGACGGACAGACAUCAUUGGAGCCUUCAAGAAGUCCUUGAAGAAGCUUGAGUGGAUGGACAAGGAGAGCGCUUCUGCUGCGGCUGGAAAGGUACGCAAGCCUCCGCCCCGCUGUUGGUGUCCUCCCUGAUUUCUAACUUGUAUUCCGUAGGCUGAUGCCCUGCGCGUCAAGGUCGGGUAUCCGCUAUCUCCAAACACUGAGGACCCCCGCUCCCUUGCGAACUGGUACUCCCGCGUGACGAUAAAGAACGACACCUUUUUCGAAAACAUGUUAAGCGCUGAGUAAGUACUGCCCAAGAAGUGAUGUCUUUCUUAACUCAACUCUAGUCCUUUCAUUCUCACAGAGUCGCGGAUCAGAUCCGCACGUGGUUCCGAGUUGGCAAGCAGCGCGACCCUCAGUCUUGGGAAAUGUAUGCCUCGACCGUUAACGCGUACUUCAACCCGCCCGCCAACGAGGUACACCUAGUCAUCUGUAGCUUUGAAUCUGGAUACUGACAUAUGCCUUCAGAUCGUCUUCCCCGCCGGUAUCCUCCGGCCGCCUUUCUUCCGUGGGGAUUGGUCAGUGUCUAACGAAUAGACAAACGCUUUCGAGCUAACACCUCCCCCGCAGGCCCGGUUAUAUGAACUACGGUUCGUUUGGACAGGUUGCCGCCCAUGAGCUCACAGUACGUUUCUUACUGUACAAUGGUUAUCGCAUCGGUGCCAACAAGGCGACCCCUUGUAGCACGCCUUUGAUUCCGCCGGCCGACUGUACAACCAGAACGGCAAAUUGGAGGAAUGGUGGACAAACUCGACCAGCGCAGGGUUCAAUGUCAGACAGAAGUGUAUUGUCGACCAGUACUCAAGUACGCCCGGUCCUCAGCCCCUCUACGUUCCCAAUUCAUAUCUUGGUUGCAGACUAUACUGUUGAUGACGGCAAGGGCGGCAAGAUCCACGUCAAUGGUAACCUGUGAGCUGAUCCUUGACAAAGUGAUGAGAGCAUUGGCUGACCUGCUUGGCUACAGCACCUCCGGAGAGAACAUUGGGGAUAGCGGCCUCAUCCAAGCGUUCCGUGCCUGGAAAGCUCAGUAUAACGACAAGACUGAGUUCUUGCUUCCUGGUUUGAACUACACCCGGUGAGCCUUCAAUAACCCAAGGGUUACUGUCUUAGCUGUUCUCAUCAUGCGCACAUUAGGGAACAAAUGUUCUUCAUCUCAUUCGCUCGGAGCUGGGCACAGAACAUCAAGCCAGAGGCUGCUGUAAGUGCCCUCGACUGUAUACUUUGGUGGGCGUUCUGACAUAAGCGGGAGCACAGGUCGCAAGAGUACGCACAGACCCGCACUCACCCAACCGUUAUCGCGUGCACGGCACGGUGUCCAACAUUCCCGAGUUCUCCGCCGCAUUCAAGUGCUCGCCAAAUGCGAAGGUAAGAAGUUCUGUUUCUCCUCGCAGGCUGAUGUUAAUGUCGGGUGCAGUUGAAUCCUCCUCAGGAGAAGAGGUGUGUUUUCUGGUAGGGUGGGAGGACUGUGUACAAUACCGGCUAUUUAUUACUAGUCUCGAUACGCUAUACACGAAAGAUUGUGGCUUCCUUAUAAAGUAUCGCAGGCGAGCUCCGAGGCCUUCUCAAGGAAAUGGACGCGAAGAGGUCCGUAAUGUCACUUAGACUCGGUAAGAUCAAUUGACGAUCCCCGCGCGAACGAGGGGAUGGAUGCGACCGACAGCAAACUGAGGUCAUCGUCAGGGCCAUGCGUGCCGAGCCUGUGUAGGCUCAGAAAGAAGCGGGAGAUGCAGAUGGAAAGUGGACUGCAAUCCAAGGUGUUCAGCAUGAGACGGUCGUUGGCAUUGGUAGAUGUCCUACACUUUGGGCAGGUCCACAAACACGACAUCGUCGAACUGUAAGGAUGAUAACACAAAUUGUAGGAUGUUGAUAGCUAUCAAGAACCUACAAAGAAACAAUCCUCAGUAAAGCGCAGGCCUAAGGGGACUACUCCGCAGGGUGAACGGUACGCGAAGGUCCGGAGUCCGUUCCAGAAGAGAAAGGAUGCUAAGAUGGUGCUGAAGCCGACCUCCUUGCCGGUCUGGAUGGUGUCCCGCGUCCCGAUCCAUGUUGCGGUCAAUACAAUGGUGUUUGAGAGGAGGGCGAACACCCGUCCCACAGUUGAUACGGGCCCUCAGUGGUUACCAACUGCUUGCGAAAUUCGUCGGUAUACAAGCCACACACGUCUAUGGGAUUCAAAUCAGUGUUCUAUAGCGGCAGCAACGACGGGUCGGACGCACAUGUUCGCCGUCGCUUCCGACACAUCGGGGGUAUUCUGCUAGCAUGUUGAAUUCGCUGACUGUGAUAUCGUCGUUUGAGUGACGAGGGACUAUGCGGGGGUCAGCUCGAACUGACCGGUCAACAGAGCAAUAUUUACCAUCUCCAUGGCGAUCGACACAAUGCCAGUCAACAAAACGGAUACGGUGGAUGUCCAAUUCGUCAGACUGGCUGCGUAGGUACGCAGGCAUGAGAAUGUUGCUCAAAAGCGUGGUGAGGUGCGAGAAGGAUAUAUCUCACUACAUGAGACUUACCAGUCCAGAUGAUAAGCAGCAUGGUGUUACAUGCUUGUGCCAGUCGAGUGACGACCAUGCAUCUGCUUUGGGAUUAGCCAGAGCUGUGCUGCCACUGUGAAGAGGGAGUUGAAGUACGUCUGUAUAGCCAGAUUGACACUCCAAUUAAGGGGACGAACUAGUGAUUCCAGCAGUCACUGAAGGGUCGGUCGUUGGCGAAGUUAUGGCCGUUAUGGCUAAAAAGUUUAACAUACUGCCAUAUCUGUUCAGAAGGAAGAUGGACGUCGCCCAAGACAACUUGCGACCUCGCAGAAAGUCCACUUCGCGAUCGAGUGUGGUGAUGUACUCAAAUACAAUGAGUGCUGUCGAGGUCAAUGUGUCCAUAAAAUAUGACUAAUGAAAACAACAGGGAAACAUACCUGUCGCAGAUACAGUUAAGUAGUAAAUGUUGCAAAAGCUGGUUAGUAAACCACCAAAGUAAGUGAAAGAGAUUCACCAACCUCCGCUGGGUACUGUCCGACUCGGGCGAGUCGUUACCUACAACCUCCAUGGGAGCCUGAGGGGUCUUAGAUCGGAGGCAUCGCAGGUAAUGAUCAAAGGAAGACCCGAUUUUAUCCGCGACCGUUCGUCCGCACGCCUGAAUCAAUGUCAUGUCAGCUCCGCAGGCAAUCGUCACGCCUGCGCACCGAGGAUCGACUGCCCGCAGAAUUGGUCCCACAGUGAUGAACCGCACGCGCGCCCCCGGUACACCGACAUAGGCAACCCUCACCGGCCGGCAUGGCAGACGAGGUGGCAGGAGGCCUGAGGCCCGACUGAUACCAGCAUAUUGUCCCCGGCUCCCCCAGGGAGACUAAGGAUGAGGACAUUUGAGUCUGACUCGGGCCGAGCGGUGAAGCUACGGCCUGAGUACGAUGUACAAAUUCCGACGACCUCCUCUUGCACGAACGGUGGAGCUUGCUGGCCGACGUGAUGCGAGUUAAAAGUACUCGCGUGGUGGAGGACCGUCCUCCGUUUGAUUCGCCAUUGUUUGCGCGGUGGCAGUAAGGGGCCAAGGGCGGACUCAAAAACCACUCCAUACUCUGAAGGUCACGACCGGACGUCCAGCAAACUGCUACCCCGCCAGGUCUAAACCGGAGGGAAACCCGCGAUGGAAUAUAAACGCGUGAGUGAUUUUGCAAGAUGUAUGCGCACAACAUACUCAUGCAGGCUCCCGCGAUAUUGGUGGUGGAUAAGUCGAUGAUGAGAGAAACCAGGCCUGGUAGGGAGUAAGCGCCCGUGACACAGUCAUAUGGAACGAACACGCGGAAGGCAAGUACUUACUAUAAGUCUAGAAGCUUUUUGUACAAUAUAUUAUUGUUGUUGCUCGAACCUAUUCGACUGACACGCAAUGCCCCACCGUGAUCCGAAGCUCCCACCGCCAGCAUCCACUCCGGACUGGGUGACACACCACAUGAGUCAAAUGGAUAAUAAAAAUGCAAAAUGGGAUUCGCACAGUGAGGAUUGCGCUACAACUCGUACACAACACAGCGCUACUACAACUACUACUGAUACAUCAUGCAUCAAGAACCGCUGCUUGUACACAGAAGACAGCAAUGUCGCGCGGCGACGCUGUCUACCCGAGCAGAUGCGGUUCGGUCUCUGCUCUGAGGGCGCCAGGUCCGCUCGCGGACACCUGGCGUGUCUCCUCACCGUAAGAACCCAUACGUGGAAUGCAGCCUCGUCAUAUCGAGGGGUGGCGGCCUGUUCGACUUCCGCUUCGACUUGCGGUGCCCGCUCGUCUUCUCCCGAGGCCCCGUGGAUGCUACUUGGGGGCGCGGCGACGGCAUCAUGGUCGAGGAAUGCGCGUUGCCUUUCCGCGAGGGCGUCAGAAGCGCGCUCGAGGGCGGGAGCUGAUUGAAAGAUGCCCCUAACGAGCUCGAGCGUGGAGGAACGUCUGGAGAUGGUCUGAUAGUCGACGAGAACGGCACGUACAUUGCCGAGGGGGGGAUGCCCAUCGGCGUGGACGUGAGGUCGGAGUGGGAAGAGCCCGAGCCCGAGUCCGACCGCGACCCGGACCCUGUCGAAUACGAGGACCCCGGAGACACGGGCGUAACUUUUGCGGAGACCCAUGCGCUCUGGAGGAUCCUGGACGACUUGUUGCCAGUGAGCGGCGUCCUCGAUGGUCGGAAGCCAGUGGGCAUGGCAGAGAGCUUUUCGCUGCUGAACAUGGAGCUCCGGAGAGUAGAGCUCUUCAUCGUGGAACUCCGUACAGCCGAGCUCUUGAGAGCACCGUUUCGGACCAUCCGUUCUGAGAAGUCCGAUGGAAGACGGAUGGAAGGCGCGGCAGAAGGAAGAGGCUUCGGCCACAUGGAGCGUGAGGGGGAGGAAUUAGCGCUGUUGAGUUGCUCAUGCAGCUUGUACCACGGAUAUGUUCUCGUGUGGGCGCCCCAGACCGUAGGGUCGUCCUUCAUAUGGAUUAUUGCGGAGAUCAUCAAGAUGCAGAAGUAGACUAGCACUAGACAGAUGUCAGCGACCGGAACAUCGCUCAGAAUUACGAGACACACUCACAGUUGAGAGUCCCUAUCCAUGAAAAGGCGAGAAGCACAUUCGUAGUUGCGCAUGAACCAUGAAGAAGAGAUUUCGCUUCGAAGAGCGUUCAGAAUAGACCCAUACUUCAUGUCAAGAUGAAGUUACCUGAAGCGGUACACAUCAUGGAUGGCAGUAAGGCGGUAACAGCCGCGGCACCAGCUGGAAGGAAGGGGGGGUCAGCAAGAAACAGGUUAGUGCGACGGAGACAGACAUACCAAGAUUCAGGAUCCAGACCAGACAGAGCCACGCACUCUCAAGCCAUACCCGACUGAUAAAGGCGUUGUGGACGAACUGGUCAAGGAAUAUUACUGGGAAUAUCCAAAGAAUGCCGGCUGCGCCGACCCCGAUGAAGUAUGCAUCAAUGAAUGCUGCAUGGGAUAAGGACGUUAGAACGAGAGGAAUACGGGAGAAUUCUGGCACGCACGCAUCCACCCAAGAUGUUCCGCUAAUGCCAGAUUCCACGCCCCGAACACACAGAAAACAGCAUUGCAGAGAGUGAAAAGAGCUGGAUAAGGAUCACUGAUGUAAGUAUUGCAGGACUUCCGAAACAAGUUGUAGCUGGGGCUUACCAAAACAUGAGUACCGAUAGAAAGAAAGAGAGAAGGCCAUGGCGUGCACGAGCAAGAGCGCAGAGUGUAAGGAAGGGACGGGACCGGUCGACGGUAGGGUGUGAUUGGGUUAUUGGCCAACACAGGAGAUAAGUACCAGCUCCGUGUCCGGAAUCCUGUCCGACAAUGCGUCAAGCAAGUGGCCUGGGAGAGAGAGGAAGAAAGAGAACAAAGAGAGGGUGGAAAGCACAAAGCCGGAAGACAAACAGGGCGUGGCCCUUAUUGAAUAUAAGUAACACAUCGCGCGCACGACACCGCCAUCACGAUCGCUUAUCCAAGCCCUGCGCGCGCGGAGCUCUCAAACAAACCGCGCCUGCGCGGCGUGAUCAUCCCGUCGUUAUGGUCACAUCUCCUGCUAAGCUCCUCAAUAACUUUCAUCUUCCGAGCCUAGUGUUGGAUUUCCGCGUGCAACAUACCAGCAGGCACAUUCGAGGCGAAAUGUCCUGCCAGGCCAGAUUCGUGUGACAUUGACGGGCCCGGGCGUCUUGUCUGAGGCCAGGCGAUGCGGUUCUUGACUCUGACUCGUCAGGAUGUGGUCGCGUUUCGUUGAACUUGAAUCGUGUUCCGUGGGCGUUCCACAUUCCGUGACACAGCUCAUCAUUGCCUCAUCUGCCCGGUCUGAUGGUCUUCGGAGCGCGGUCGGCGGGAGCAGUCGAAUUCAAUCUCCACCGCCCACCCCCGCCCUUUGAUGGAGGCGGCGCCACGCCCAGCAUGAAUCCAGACAGCCGUCAGAACGUGUCGUUGGCAGAUAGAGCAGUACUUACAGUAUGAAGGAUGUGUGCAAGUACUUAAGCUCAAGUCGGAGAGGGUUAAAGCAGUGAGGACGAAAGACAGACGACGCACGGCCUGACUCAAACAAAACAGGACAUCUAGCCGGCUACCAGCCAGAACGCCGGGGACCGGUGGGCUGCGGCAGUGGUACGAGCCUGGUACUCCUUUCCUCCUCUCCACCCCUCGGCCACAUUGCGCCCACUUGCUCGAGUGUGGAUGUCUGGUCGGCAGCCACGCCCAUCGUGACAGGCACCCCGUUGACCAGCAUUGAUCCCUUUCCUGAGAUCUCAUCCUCUGAUUUGAACAGCGUGCGGAGAUGCGCGUCGCUGCAGGCUAUGGGAACACCAUACGGUCCAUCCUGACAUGUUGUGCAGUUGCUGCGAAUGCGUUCGUAUACCAUCAUAGGGACCCCUUCCUGUCAUGUCUGAACUAAUUGUCGCCUUCCUCCAGGAUAUGCGGCGGAGGCGUUUACAGUUUCCCGCUCAUCGCACCCGCCCUGGUGGAGCAUGUCAAACUCACUCAGCCUCAACUGACGACGAUCGCAUUGGCGUGAGCUAGAGCAUCUUCACGAGUCUAGAUUUAAGGCGGACUAACAGCAUCGCGCAGGGGAAUGGGCGGGCAGUAUGCUUGCGCAGCAAUCGUAGGAACAGCAAUUGACCGUUAUGGUGCAUGGUCAUGCUCCUUCGCCGCAGCCAUCCUGUACUCGCUCGGGUUCGGCCUCUUCGCUAGAGACGUAGCCCAAGCCCCGGAGGAUGUGGCGUUUGCGUCUGAUGGCUUGUUCCAUAGGCUCGCUGUGUACUUUGCAUUGAUUGGUCUCGCGACCGCCUGCUCGUAAGUUCACCUUCGGUCCUUAUGGUGAAUUUCUGGUCCAAUCAAGUUUGAAUUUUCAGGUAUUUCUCGCUCCUCUUCGCCGCCACCAAGUCCUUCCCCCGGUAUAUCGGGGUUGCCUCUGGGACGAGCAUGUCGAUUUUCGGACUCUCGCCAUUGUUCUUGUCCCUCGUGGCGUCCAAGGUUUUCACGAUCCCGGGUCAAACUCUCGAUAUCCCUAGAUACUUCACAUGGUUGGCUGUAGUGGCGGGCUCGAUCCACAUAUUCACCGCCGUGAUCUUCCGCGCGAACCAGACGAUGAUGAAUGGCGCCACAGAGCAGACAAAAACCAUUAAUUCCGACUCCGAGGCCGUAGUUCACGCAGCCGAAGAGGAGCCACUUCUUAGGGGAGAGCACUCGAAUGAUCCCAACGACAUCACUACAGAUCCUGCCAAUGUCCACGUCGCGCAUGUGCAGGAGCCUCAGGAAGGCAGUACCCUCGACCUCUUCCGGGACCCGUACUUCUGGGUUUUGUCCUUGUGGAUGGUGCUGAUUGUCGGCGCGGUACGCCUCUGUGCCUGCACAAAACCUACCUUGACCAUGAUUACUGAUAUAGUCUCCUUAUCUAGGCGGAGAUGGUUGUUUCAAACCUCGGCACCAUCGUCCUCUCCCUGCCGCCGAGCUCCCCAGAUGGUAACACCACCGCGAACGUCUCCAGCCAAGUCCGCCUCCUCUCCUUCUUCAACACCGUCUCGCGCCUGCUCGUCGGUCCCGUCGCUGACGCCCUCGCGCCCGUCGCCGCGUGGCUCGACGGUGUCUGGGCCUUCUCGCGCAAGCGCUACACCAGCAGAGUUGUAUUCAUGCUCGGGACGUCUCUUCUGCUCGCGCUGACCUUCGCGUGGCUGGAGCUCGGGACAAGAACGCAGGAGGGGGUAUGGCCGCUGAGCAUCGGCACUGGCAUCGCGUACGGCUCGACGUUCACGAUCCUGUGCGUGCCUCCCCUGUUUUUCUCUGUAUCUGUACAUGGUUGCUAACAUAUACCGUUAUGGUCUCUCAACGUCGCAGGCCUGGGAUCUUGUCGUCGAUCUGGGGGCUCAACAACCUCGGGCGCAACUUCGGCUACAUCUCGUACGCCGCGUUCGUCGGCACCACCGCGUUCUCGUACCUGUAUGCGUUCAUCGCCUCGCGCCAUGUCACCCCCGGCCAGACCGCCUGCGAUGGCGUGAAAUGUUGGCAGUCUACCUUCGGUAUCGGGAUUGGGACGUCUCUUCUUGCCUGUCUCGCAUCGUUUGUCCUGUGGAGGCGGUGGAAGGCUAGGGUCUGAGCUGGAAGUGUUCGGCAUAGGCCAGAGCCUAAUCUUGGUGUGUUUGCUACGGGAUUGGCUAGAGUGUAAGCUAGGAGCGCUCGGUAUGGCAUAGAGCUUCGAUCUAGACCGCUUCAAAACGUGUAUUUAUAAAUGUAUUGGGUAUAUUGUACAGUAUAUUAUGGGUCACUGGCGAUCUAUUCGAGUUUCGCAGACAAGCGAGGUGUAACCUUGCCCUCGGGAUAUCCAAACCAAAUGCCCAGCAGCAACGUCGCGUUUGCUGCAACAAGGAUUCCAGAAGAGAGGUUCGUCGAUGGGAAUACGUUCCAGGCGUACUCAAUCCCGAGCAGGAGCACGAGGCUGGAAGAUGAAUUAGGCCCCACAGCUUGUGGAAAGUAUAUGCAGACAACCGUACCGAACGACGAUUGGAUAUUUUGUCCUCCAUGCGAGGAACGGAAGCUGCAUCGCGUACCAGGAGUAAAACUGGUAGUGGAGCGACCGCGCAAAAAGGAUGCCCAUCAGGUUUGAGGUGUAGAGAACAGUGACGACAUCUGCCAAGGCCUCAGGGUGAGCGACACAGGUGGUCGAAUAUCAUGACAUCAUCAUACUCACAGUCUGGUGUUACCGGUGCCACUGCGGCCGAUCGCAAGGGUUGACUGAGACCUCUACCAAGGACUGUCCACACCCCGCCAUCGCGUUGGCACCAUUUGAGGAGGCCGAACAACGCCAAGGUGCCAACAUGUGCAGCCAAGAGUCCCUUGGCCCACACUGAGCUGAGGAAAAGGUCUUCGCCGAGGAAACGCCAGUUCACGGUCCACUUGAAUAGGAACACCCUCCCGAGCUCGUACGAGUACUUGAUAUAGGACCGCGGGUACUCUAGGAGGAAAGGUAGGCCGGCGACUAUUUGCGUUGCCCCGAGCGCGAGGAUGUGUACCAGUGUGGAUGCCAGGCCCCGGCGCUUGAAGAGAACGACAAGCAGACCGGGCACAUACAACAGAACCGACAUCUUGACCGACAAUGCAGAACUGCAUCGAGGUGCAUGAGACAGGCAAUGCACAGGGAGAUACGACACGACUCACCCAAGGAAAAGGAUACCGAGGGCAUCCCAGCCCCGUGCGAAUGCAAGAAUAGCGGCUUGUGCUCCAGCUACUGCCCAACAGUCAUUGAAUAGUCGGAGGACAUAGAUGGAGUGCAAUCGCUUGCUCAGGGGAAAGAGCAGCAAAAUCCAGUUGGGCACACCGCCAGCUUGCUUGUAGAUGGCUGCCGUCAGCGCCAGGGAAACGAAAUACAGCGCGCCGUAGAUCUGCUGUCCCAUCCAGACAUUUCGUCCUGAAUCUGUCAGAGCGUAUAACACUUGGUGGAUAUACACAUGACCGGCAGGAUACCUGCCAGCGACUUCGGGUGAAUAGGCGUAUCAUGGGUGGCAAGGAACAGAUCACGCACACUAUGGGUCCAGUUGGUCCGGUAAUGAGAGCGUAGUCUCUUUCUCCUUUGAGGUACAGUUCCAGCUGGUACAUGUACGUCUCCCAGUCGAUCUCCGUGUCUGCAGAGUUCGCGUCAAGUCGGCCACAUUGGGGGAGGAUGGACUUGCUGACAUGGUACGAAGCGUAUGAUGAGUUGCGUGAGGACCACGUCACCGAGGCCUACGAGGGUCGCAAGUACGCCGAAGUAACGGGGGUCAAUAAGCAGGCUGUAGGCAAGAUUCCAUACCGGACGCGCAAGCUGAGAGAGGGAGGGCAUGAGUGCAUGAAUGAGCGAACAUCCAGCGCUGUGAGAGACGUCUGGAAGCCAUAGGGUCGCGCGCGCGGUCGCAAGCGGCAAGGAGCAAUAAAAAUAAAUAUUGAGACCCGUAGGUCUACCACUCCGGGAAAGCGUGUCAUCCUUGUGCAGGGGCCAUGCUAAUCUUCUCUGUAUCGUUCCAAUUUUUUCGUAUGUCACCCCGAAGGGGACAUUAGUGGCAGCAGAGGGGAAGAGGGUGCUCACUGGGAUUUUGCAUAUUGCUCAACUCGCGGGUGGACGCGUAGACGAUGGUCCGGGGAUGCCGCGGGCGCUUGCCAUUACAUACUGUAUAUGCUCGGCUACUUACUCUGCCAAUGCCAUCAUGUCCUUCCUCCAAUUCACCCUUGUUUUCGAUGCGAUGUCAACGCUCGGAGUCGACUUGCGGAGACUCACACACACACGCUCAUGAUGACUUCUGCCCGACAUGAUGUAUGAAUGUGGAUCCCCGCCUGUCCGGCCGCUUCCCGAAGUACAAGGAACGAGGACGCGCGCUUCGCCUUCCCCACCCGCUUUGGGAGGCAGCUAUUGUUCUCGGGUGAGCCCAUUGUCCUCCCUGUGUUACGUCUUCCGGCAUUCCACCUCAUUAAAAGCAAGCAUGCCCCCGCUCCUUUCCUUUGUGGCCCCGGCGGUCUCGAGACUGCUUCAGACUACUUUCCAAGACCCGCUUACUCCCCCGCUUCUUUGGCCCGGCCAUAUUUCAGGUUACCCGACACCUUUUAAAGGCCUUGCCAGACUCGCCGUUUAUCGCUCCUAGCCCCGCCGCACGCCGCUACACGCUACACGCUGUUUCCUGCACCCAGGCUUUGACAUUCCUUCGAUUCAUCCGCCUGUGUGCCCCCGUUCGCCGUAAGGCCCAGACGCAUCCAACCUACGACCCAUUCGACGCGCUCCUUGCUCGUACUCUCUCUACGACAAACUCUAGUCUAUCAUCCCGCUGCUAUCACCAUAGGCCAUAAUGUUUGAACGCGUUCCCCAGCCCUACGAAAUGCGGAACCCAUUCCUCGUCCUCCGUCUCGUCCUCUUCGGUGAGUACCUUAGCGCCCCAUACUCGAUGUGUCACGCUCAUAUCUCCACAGGUAUCUUAGUCUACGUUAAUGUCCUCGCCAUCGGGUUUGCGGCAUGGAACUUGUUCGUGUUGAAGGAUCUGGGGGUCCAUGGUGAGUGGUUUCCAGCUGCCGUUCAUGAGUUUCGGCUAAUUCUUCUCCAGUGCUUGGCUCACCGACUUUCGUGGUGUUCAACUCGUGUCUCCUCAUCACCCUCUUGGCUUUGUGAGUUCAUAGUAUAUAACGGGGCCGAUGAGUUCGCGAGCUGACACGAUACCAUGUCUCAUAGGAGCCUCGCUUCUGUCCGGUUCUCGAUCAAGUUCAUCGACCAGGUGCGCUCGGAGUGUGCAUGGACUGGCAUCCUGUCAGCCAUGCAGCUAGCCAGUUCAUUUGCCAUUACGGCCAAUGGUCCUCCUAUCCUCUGCCAAGGCAUCAGCAUCCUUGCAUGCGCAUCCUCGUCACUUGUCGUAGCUCUCUCAUGGAUCUCAUGCAUGAUCUGUACGUUAUUUUCUCCACUGUGUUCAGCGAUAUCGUAUUAACCUUCUUGCACAGUGGUCCUGUAUUCCUUCUCGUUAUUCACGACCGCUAUCACGCACAUGGGCGUCAUCCCCGACAUCUGGUCGUCUUCUGUAUGCACCAUCCCAUGGUUUGUAGGCCCUUCCAACUCCUUGGAGUACACACCGCGUCCCCCGAAGAAGGCACGCUACUCUGACGUGGUCGACAUCAAGCGUAUGUCGCUCCAUUAUUCUACCCCCAUCUUCGAGCAGCACGCCAAGACGCUCCCCCCUUCUCCCAAACCGGAACUCCCUCGCUACUCCAGCGCACCGCGGUCCUCCAUGCGUCAGUCACAGAAGGCUAACCCUGCCUCGAUUCCCCCACCCCCACCGUCGGAUCGUCGCAUUACGUGGACAAGUCUCCUGUUCGCCAACUCGCGCCCGCCGUCCCUCGCACACAGGGAGAGCGUGCGUCCGAACUGGGCGAAGCGCACCUCCCCGCGCCGCGGUGUCGACAGCCCCUUCGCCGCGCCGCGCUUCUCCCUCAGCAACCUCAACCUCCCGCCCGUGCGCCCGCUCCGGCCGCUCAAGCUCAAGUCCGUCUGGAGCCAGACGACGGUGUCCUCGCCGCCGCCGAUGCCCGUGCCUGCGCUUCCCCAGAAAGCACAUGUCGUUGGGGCAUCGCAGUCGCCGACGGGCACAUUCUACAUCGACCUAGAGCGCGACGCGGUUGUCCCCGUGGGCGACACAUCGCGGCCAGUAUCGUACGGGAUGUUCCCCGAGGACGUGGUCGACCCCGACCAGCCCGUGACGCACGCAAGGCGCUCACAGUGGGUGCGCGCGCCGGACAGCGAGACGUCGUCCGUGUGAGGACCGUCUUAACCCCUCCCCAUCUACUUCUGAUCCCCACCCUGGUGUGGGCUGGAUACUGGACGCCUGCCGUCGUUUUUGACGUUUUGAGACAUUGUGCCCGGACGGACACUGACACUGUUCACGACCCACGCCCCCCACACGCAUCGCUAGUCGACGUACCACGUUAACGUCUUCUCACUGGAUUGCUUGCAUCCCCCUUUUUUCUUUUUUUACUGAUCUCCCCACUGUAUUCAUAGCGUAGCACUCACCCACACGGACUGUAUCGAUUAGAAGGGUAUAUUUCUGGCGUCCAUGUAGUGACGAGAACAUUGGGUUUCCUGAACAAUCUGUAGCUAGCUACCUUCAUCCCUGUACAUAGCACAUGGAUCGCGCAUCCUGCUUAAUGUAUCCCAAGCGAAAUCAGAUUGGAAAUACAAUUUGUCCGCAAUGCGUCCGUCGUCCCCGCGUACAUAUAUAGAGCGCACUUUACUGCAAGACAUCCGAGAUAUGUGGGGACAGCCGUCAUAAUUCAUCGCGAGCUUGGUCAUACUGAUCCUCCAGUGGGUAGCGCCCCAGGCGAGCGCGCAGCUGUUUGUUUUCGGCGCGGGUCGCUUGUAGGGACAACAAGGCCUGCUUCAGUUCUUCUCGGGUGUCUGCAAGGGCGCUGGCCUGCUCUUCGUCGAGCUCCCCGGCGCUGACGGCGAUCCCUGGAAACGACAGCGAAAACAAAAGAAGGUCAGCACGCCGCAGCGGGGCCGCAGCAAGUCACCGCUCCAACGGACCUUGUACCAAUUUGACGAGGCGCCACAGCCGCAGGACGACGAGGAGGGACGCGAGCUCACGCUCUCGGCCGCGGAGCACGACCUCGAGGACGAAGGUGGUGAGGAUGACGACGGCGUCGAAGAAGUGGAGGGCGGCGUGGGGCUCGCCGCUGAACGGGUUGAACUUGCGCACGCCGAGCGCCCAGAUGGAGGCGGGGAUUUCGAAGAGGAAGACGGUGGUGAUGGCGAGGGAGACGUGCGCGAGGGCGCUGAGCCACCAGGGCGCGCCGGGCCCCUCGAUGGGGGUGCAGUCCUCGGAGAGGAAGGUGUAGGCGAGGUCGGCGAGGACGCACGCGGAGUCGAUGAGGACCUGGGUAGGGGAGGGCUCGUGGUUAGCGUAUGCGGCGUGUAAGGGGGUUAGCGUAGCGGGAGAAAGGCACAGACGAGGGUUAUGACGAUGUAGUGGAGCGGGUCGGACUCGAGGAACUCUGCGGUGCGGGCCUUGGCGCGCUGGUAGCGGGAUUUGGGAAGCGUUGACCGGGACUGAAGGUGGUCGACGGCGUCGGGGGCGUUUUGGACAGGAAGAAGAGGGUCCUCUUCAGACAUGUUGGCGUUCUUGGGUGUCUGCUGCCCUUAGGUCAAUGUCGAUCGAGCGACAGGACUUGGAACGGCUUGUGACGUCACGCGUCAAAGAGGUGGCGAGUCGCGACAAACGUUCCCCCCAGCGGGACCCCCGGCGACGCGACUUGGAGCUGUACCACCACCACCACCACCACCACCACCACCACGCACACCUCUGCGACUUGGGCACUCGGGUCAGGAUGGCUUGCACUGAAUGCACUUCUACACGCUUUCAAAUGCCAAUGCACGAGCACAAUGCUCUUUGUGCCAUCGCCAACAUGAAGACCUAGCAUCCCAAUGCGCAAGAAAUGAGCCCUUCGCCUCCCUUCUACCACAUUGCGCCACUGCCCAUCCGUGGUCUGAAAUCCAAGCAUCUCGCAGCCCUCGCUUCAGAGCCAUACACCAAAACGGAUAACUCACCCACGACAGUACGUUGCGACCAUUGUCAUACUUCUUUCCGCUGACGACGCCCAGGUCAAGGAUCCACUCCACUUCAGAUAGUCUAGUAUGACCAAGAAGGCCGGUUGCACAGAUAACACAGGGCAAGUGACCGACCCUCUCCGACAUGCAACACGCAGGGCAAGGCCGCCUUUUGACACGACCGACGCCGACACUGUCAUUCGGAGCAGCGAUCGCGUCGAUUUCUUUGUACACGGUGUCAUCCUUUCCAUGGGCUCUGCCUUCUGCAAGAUCGCUCUUCAACCCCGAGAUGGAGCUCCCCCUUUAGUCCAGGUCGUCGAAGACAGUCAUACGCUAGACACAUUCCUCCGCAUCCUCUAUCCCCUCGUCGAUCCCGAGGUGGAUUCUUUAUUGUGCCUGCGAAACGUCCUCGCCGCUGGUGUCAAGUACGACGCCCCUAGCGUUGUCGCGUCCAUGAGGAAAGCCCUCGUUGAGCCACGAUUCCUGGAGGUCGACCCUGUCCGUGUCUUCGCGAUCGCUUGCUUCUGCCAGCUGGAAGAGGAAGCAAAGGUGGCCGCGAGGAGAGCAGUCGUCUUGGACCGCGUCUCACGGCUUCGCCCAGAGCAGUGCCCAGAGCUCAACGACGUCAGCGCGGGGGCGUACUUCCGCCUCCUCCAGCUCAACCGCACUCGCAUCACCUUCCCGCGCUUGAACAAGUGGAUCUCCAUCACCGCCGACGACACCCACGUCAGCUUCUUUGGCAUCGAGCCGUUUUGCACCGGCAGGCUAGGCCUUCCUUUAGCCGAGUCAGCCUCGACGUCGACGCCGUCAUCCCGCGCUUCUUCCGAGGCAGACUUCGUUUCAUGUGCCUCGGAACCACAGUCGCCCAUUUCACCCGAGGAACUCGCUCAAAGUGACCUGAGAGCAUCUCAGUCCACCGCGCAAACGACCGACACGAUCAUGGAUGUCUCGCAUGUCAAGAAGCGAGAGACGGAGGUCGUCCCCGGGGCCGUUUCCACCAUGAGGAGCGACCGGUGCCCCGCCAUGGGACAGUUCGCACUGGCUUCUGCGUGGUCGCUUCUCGCAGAGAAGCAGCCGCUCCUCAGCUACUUCAUCGCGGUCGAGAACGAUUGCAAGGAGGAGGCCCUCGCCUGCGCCCGACAGCUUGUCCAGACGCACAACGCGCGGGACCUCGCUACGCUCUACGAGCCCAAGAUGGAGACCGUCAGCAGCCUUCCGUACCGCCGCCUCCUGGCGUACGCGCAGGCGUGCCGCGACGCCGCGUCCGAGGCCUUCGAGCUUCGCGACCUUCCGCAGCGGCGCUGUCCUGCGUGGACCCAGUGCCAUACACGCUGUCCCGAAACGCUGUCCACCGCCUCGCCACCCGAGUGGCUCAAACCCCAUUUCGACGCCGCGCGGGACGCGCUCAGGGACCGCCCCUGCCGGACGCUGGUUCAGCCGGGUUGCCUGGAGUCGCGGUUCGUGGUCUCCUUCAACGCCGCGGUUAUCACGGAUCGACCACCUUGUGCUCAGGCCCAAGGGAACAACAAGUCGAAGGCAAAGUCUGGACUGAGUCCCUUCGACGGGAAGAUUCCAGCUAUGUGGCAAUGCACGGCGCAGGACAACGUGGUCUGGGCGGGGACGGUUUUGCGGCAGUAUGUCGCGGCGGUGGACCGGGCGGUGGAACAGGUGAGUCCGUCGGUUUGGCGGGGUGGUGGCUCUCAGGCUCGUCCGAAGUGCUCAUUCUGAAAUGCUAUUGUUUAGGUUGACCUGGCCAUCGCAUAGUGGGUAGGAACGAGCUUGUUCCGCCUGCCGGUGUUCCGUCCCUAAGUUGUAUGGAGUAGUGUCCCUCUUCGGCGACGGGAGACUUGAAGACUAUCCGACAUUCCACAGGCACAUAUCAAGUAAGAGUACAUUACCAAGUACCAACAAUAGUGUCCAUUUUAUAUGUGCUUCUAGACUACAAUGAACGUGAUGAGUACAAUGAGAGUGACGAGUCGUACAUCCGUCCGUUGUGAGGUCGGAAUCAGUAUGCAUGUAUGUGUGCCAAUUGGUACCUCUCCGUUGGUGCACGAUCGGCGGAGCCAGUCAAACUGGCACAACGGCAACGGCGAAGCCAUUGCAGCCGACGGCAGAGGCACAUUGUUUCGGCCCUGGACUAGAGCAGGGCGGUCAAUGGCUGGCACCCAUCAAAGAUUCCGGACGCACCAUCUCCGAACCGCCCGAGAUGAACUGCUUCGCCUGAUGGCAAGUACGCACAAGUACCUCACGCUCCAUCUGGGCCGUUGUGCGGUGUGGACUCGUGGGAUAUCGAGACGAGAACGAUGUCGCUCUCGAUCGUUUGGGAUGUGGCUUCUGGGCAGACGAAGGAGGGCAUCAGGCUGGUCACCCUCCCGUCUGUUGGGGUGCUCGUGGAGUCGGCGGGAGUCCACAAGCCGUCGGUCCUCCGUCCGUCGCCACUGCAGUGCAGACUUGGGUCCCGGAGGUUGAGAUAGAUGCGUGAAAUGAGCGUUGUGGAAAUGCUGCACAAUAGCGGGCGGGGGGAGGGCAAACUGUCAGUGAUCGCAGACGACUAUUUGAUUAACAGAGUCGUCGCGCACGCGUUUGUUAAGGUGGUUCCCAUCCCUCUUGCUGUGUUGUCAAUCUGCUAGAUGUGAGCAAUAGCGUUCGGUAGACUUGCAAUGACUUACACGUGGUCCCUGUGUAUUGGUUAGCAGGAAUGAAAGGGCUCGCUUCAUAGUGCGAAGCUCACCAUGAACGUGAGCAGAUUGACUGCACCAGCUACCACAAGGACACUAAUCACCGUGUCAGUCAUCGAUGCACUGGUGUUGCCUUUGGGUGGACAUACCCGUAGUAGCCGACACCUGGGGAAUGAGUAUUAAGCAAGCCGGACCAUCUCAACAUGAAUGGGUGAAUCGUUACCGUCACGAAAUAAGACCCUCUGCACUCCGUACUGCAUGUGACUGCGCACACGCAUAGUCUUGGCAAGUGUGAGAAUGAAUAUCGUCGUGUCCAUGCAAAGCAAGGCAAUCCAGCCGAUGGCGCUGCCUAUAACAACUGAUUACUUUCCGAGGCAGCGGAGAGAUUGCACGAAAUGCUUACGAAACCCCCUGCAAAUCCAUGUGAAGCUCCGGAGAGGUUAAUGGACGGGGUAGGACCUACUGUUCCGCCGUUAAGGAAUGGUUACAGCCGAGGGGAGAAGGCUCAUCUGACUGUGCGUCAGAGAUAAUGGUCGUAGUUUUGACAUUCACAGCGAUGAACGUGGCCUAAGGGUGUAUCAGAGAGUGGGAAUAAGUUGGAAUGUAAAUCAACUUACUGCCACCAAGACUAGGCCCCAUGCCACGAGUCCCAUCAUGACAUACUUGUUCCGAUUGUAGAGAGCGUAUGUACGAAAGAUGAGGAUGACUAAAGAAGAAGUUGAGGGCAGCAAGGGGGAAAAUAAGCGACAGCACGUACGGCCUACUAUUGCUUGGUUGAAGAUCGCAUAGAACUGGUGAUACAUUUGCAGCUGUCGACAGCUAAACGAGAUUUAUGUCUGUGAUUAGAUGGUACGUUGGCUACGGUAAGGAUGGGCGAACCGCUUCAAACUAAUGUUAACAUGUUUCCGCUUCAUAGGAACGGACUUACUCACUAAUGGAGGCAGAAUCACGAAGUAUUCGACAACCAGAGGAAUUUGCCCCAAGAGGGUGAGAUAUCGAUUGAGCACGAAAAGUGUCGAUACCGCGGAAACCCUGGCUCUUUUCCAGAAAUGCUCGAUCUCGGUGCCUAGAGUAAGACAAUAGUCGUAAAGCAAGAGAGCUUAGAGGUGUAUGAGCAUUGAAGUAUCGAAGCAGUGCACGUGGAUAUGAACUCACACCAUGCAAUGAUAGCCAACGUGUUGUUCAGUCGGAUUGAGGCAGCUCUACGACGUUUGUUCAGUAAACGAUUGCUUUAGUGAGCUCCCCGUCCUAUACUUACAAUGUCGCGACUGAAGGUUGCUCGGAGUCCAUGGCUGCUCGACGAGGCGCGCGGGGGAUUGUCCAUGAGGCUGAGAAAGAGACGUCCGUCGUUUCCGACCAGGACGCCAGAGAUUUAUUCGUUCCUCGCGACUUCGCCAGGUCGCCGCUAGAAUACACCGCGGAUCCAUAGAAGUUCCAGGAUCCGGCUACUAUCGCACGAGGGACGGGUCGGCGACCUAGUAGUCACGGCCAUUGCUCCGUGAGAUCGCUACCAUCGGCGGGACAAAUGCUUGGUUCUGACGGAUGUGAACGAAACGGGGAAUUACGUUGAGGUCCCAAACUGCUGCGCGAGUGCGUGGUAUGACGACUUCUAUUCUGAGUCUCGUUUUUAGGCUCCUAGACGGACUUAGAAGUUCUUCAGAGAGUACUCACCUGGCUGCAUAUUCUCCCUCCGCGUAACCCGCCUGACGUGACCGUCUGAGGAAGUGUUGCUCCGAGUCCCAGUCUGCGUCCUCCCCGGCUCCCACGUCCACGUGUGGGCAUCGCCACAUUUGGACAUCGGUAAAUCCGGCGGCCGACGCUAUGAAGCUUCCGCUUCGUGCAACGGAACCACAUGCAAACUUGUCUCGUACCCGUACGUUGUAAGUUCGGGCCCUCCAUCGCAUCUAACACGCGCAAGGAAAAAUGGGCCUAACGCCAAUUGGAAAACUACUCGUACAGGUUGCGGUCAUGUUAAGCGAAUACAUAAGCACGUGAUUGUCUACUGAACAAGUCAGUAAAAAGGCCGUGGCGGACCGAAAUGCCUGUACUCACCAUAUCAAGCUGCUUCGACGCCCAUGAACUCCGCCUCUAUCGGCCCUCCCCGGGGCUCCUCCGUCACCAUCGUAUCGCUGAACAUAGUCGAACGUCGGAAAGACAUGAUCUUUGAGCUGAAUUGCGCAGUAGACCAGCAUUCUAAACGUUGUGUACAGCCACCACGCGUCCGGCGAACCUGGAUGCUUGGAUCUCGCAGGUUCAACAUCAGGCGUGAAGUCAGCGUCACCGAGAGCCUGGAAAGCAGACCACAUUGUAAACAUCUUUCAGAUGCCGAAGGAAGCCCGCUUACACGUUGGUCAACGUUGUCGCCGUUCCUUUGAGAGGGUCACCGGACUAGUGACAUUAGUUCUUCUGGAGACUCUGAUACCGCAACGCGCGACCUACUGGUACGAUCUAGAAGGCCGUAAGUUUCCACCGUGGUCCAAGUUCUGAAGUUCUAGGCUGGCGUCGAAGAUGCUCACCAAGAACGUGAUAAUGUUCAGAGUGUUGACGGCGAUUAGGAUUCUUAGGGACCAAUCCGGCAUGAGGGAUGUUGGCAUCCGGAGAACGUGAUAUGAACUCACCCAUAAUAAAUCGUCCCUAAUCAUGGAGGUGAAUGUUCGCCCCAAGAGUAGAGCUGUGGUACAUACCAUCUCGGAACAUCGUCACCAACAAUGUUCCGGGCAUAUCAUGCCGCACCUGAAUCGCCUUGUAGAAGGUCAAAGCGAAGAUGGCAGUGUCGAACCAUAACAUCGCACUCCAGGCAAGGGCCAAAUCUGACCAUGAAGUUGGCCUCGAAUCGUGAAUGCAAGGAUCAGUAACAACGAACUCACGGAUACCCCUAUGCGAGAUGUUAAACAAGGAAGUCCCAUAUCAAGUGAAAGGUUGACUCACUGAUUGCCAUUCAACGAAAGAUUGCAUCCCGUGUACGGAAAGUUCAGGGGGAUGUUCGUUGACAGCGGACUAUCGCUAGUCAACACUGCGGACUGGACGGUAUCAGGUUAGACCGUUGGUAAGACUCAGCGUCAAGCACAACCCACCACACUUUGAAUGGCUCCCCCGGCGAACAUGCAAAUCAGCAAGGCAAGGAUCCGUUUGUUGCAGUUGUAUAGGGCAUAAGUCCGCAGGAUUAGUAAUACUAUGUCCGGAUGAAUGAUGGUCAGGCAGGUGAAUUUCGGAGAGGCACGCACCAGCCACCACCGCUUGACUAGCCAUCGCAUAUACUUGAUGAUAGACUUGUAUCUCGCGGCAUCUGAGAGUCCGAAGUGACAUGAGAUACACAUCUCAUCCAGCCAAGGGCAUACACCACACCCACCGCUAGGAAAAGGAUCAGCACUCCUUUCUAAUGCGGAUUAAAACCCGGUUUACUUACGUGUUCCGGGAACCCUCCGAAAUACUCAAGAAAUACUGGGAUCGGUCCCAACAAGCCGAAAUAGCGGCUGACUGUGAAUAGGAUAAAGGGUGCAGAUGGUGAUGGCGGGCUCCAGUACCACUCGAUCUCCGACGUGACUGUAAGGGCGUAAUCAUAGUAUAACAGAGCUAUUGGGCAAGAGUCAUUGUCAUUACCAGAGAUCGAAGUAAUCAUAGACAAAAAACUCACUGAAUGCCGCGAGGGUGAUGCAAGUGUCGAACCGUAUGGAUGAAAUGCUGAUCAUGGAUAUAUGUCAGCGUGUAGAGAGCAUGAAGGGGUGGACAAAGACGCACAAGUUCUCCGCCGAGACCUGUGAGUCGGCCAUCCUCAGAGAUUGUGGGGGCUUCUAACGGCAGCUGGGGGGUUCGAUGUUAUAUCUUCCUCAGUCCCAGAAGAUCCACAUACCCGGAUCGAGGACGUAGACAUGAUAGGCAUCGGAACAUCGUCCACAAUUGGCCAGGCCCAAAUGAUGAGCGGGAAGUGAAAACGAGUGGGUACGCUGGGUAGCCUACUUGACUUUCAUUCGACAUGCACUCUAUGCAUGUAUGGGAGGGCCACACGGCAAGCGUGGGGGACGAUAUCCCCGACUAGUCAGGAGGGCUGGAACAAGAACGAGUACGUACUCACUGGUGGCUACUAUUGAAGCUUACUUGCCCUUGGCGGAACGCAUGGGCUGCCGCUGAACGUACCUUAUUCCCACAGCCGGCAACAUGCUUGAUUACUCCCAUUCGCAUGUCGAGAAUACUUUGAGGUCGAUCCUAAAGGACGUGACAGGAGCCGCAAGCAACGCAUGCGCACAGAUUGGAAGACAAGCCCACCAUAUUGGGGUUCCAGGGGAAUUGUUUUUACAGUGGGUACCGACGCAUUAUCAGCGUGAAUGUAGGGCGGGAUGUUCAUGAGCAAACUCCGCUAUCAGAGUUACUUUGAGAGGCGUACCUGAUCGGAAGUUGGAACCAUCUUUAAGGCCGGGCCCGAGAUGUUCGAUGAUAGAUGCCGGACGCAUACAAUCUAUACGGUCAGCAGACCACAGACAUGUCAAGGCUGAUGAACUCCUUCGGUGAAAAAUUGCAGAAGUCAACCAGAAAGAAGGAAAAUUACAUGACGGGUUCAGCGUCGCAUUACGUCCGGAAUCAUGUUGCAACGGGGGCCAAUUCGAGUGUCAAUUACACAGCAAAAGGCUUUUUAGCGAGAUGUCAUUCAUGUCACAUCCUGCUGCUGCUUCGUGAUAGUCACCGGCGAGGCUGGAGGCACUUUCACCUGUUGAAGGAUGUUGUCCGAAGAGACCCAUCGCAACGUGAUCCGAGGGACGUCGACCGCUCGAUAUACAAUCCGGUCCCGGUGUAUAUACGCUACUCGCCCUCCGUAGACGCAUAAUCGUGACUGAUCGAAAUAGAGUCCUCCGAUGGCUCUCAGAGGGAGAUAUUGAACGCAGUAAUGACAUCAUACCCUUUCCUGCAGUCCGGCCUCUUCUCUCCCCCCUUCCUAUGAGUUGUCAACGAUGAGCACAAGGGUCCCAGAGGUUGAGCGUCGACCUUGAGACAUGCGUCACGAAAAGUAGUGAUUUAACAGUUGAGCGGAAUCGUCGCAGUCCAGGUGUUCCGGCAUUGAUUAUUUGUCGAAGUUGUUUAUGUUCCUUUGAGGAGCGAAUCUGGUGCGGUGAGCGGCGGGCCUAAUGGCAGGCUGAGACACUGGACACAAAGAGGCUUUUGAUCAUGUGAGCAAGAGUAAGUAGGUCUGCAAUGGGAAGCGUAAGGCCUACAGAUAGACAACACGUAGCGCACCCACUCUCGGCCGGUACUUCGCCGUCCAGAUAGUUCACGUAUCGGUUUUGGAAAUGCUGGCAGUUGUACUGUUACAAUGUGCCCCGCAAUCCAAAAUUAAUGAUCACGGUCGGUCCCGCUGCUGGAGAACUAAGGCCUGCCCUAUACCGUGCCCCUCCGGGUUGUCCUUAUAAUUGUCAGGUUGGAUAACAGUGCCACCCCCCAACAAAGUACCAGCAUAUAGCCUUUCUGCUCGCUAGUGGAAGCUCGAGAGAUGCCAAGUAAAUGUUCAGCAUGGAUAGCGGCCACCGUCCCAGGCCCCUGGGUCGGAACACGAGUGCUCAGUCGCAAGGAGUGCAGCAUCGCUGAGACUCAAGAGGGCAGGAGCAUACCGAAGUGUGGUCAGAUCACCCUGGUCAUAUGCUGAGGAAAUGUGCUAUGCACCUUGAGCCUAAAGCUUCAUCGACAGCAACAAUCGAUCUCCGCCGUUGGGUACGGAAAUGCCUCCGAGAACCGUGUGUGUGUGGGAUGAUUUCAUGGUGGGACGCUGCACAGGUUGAAGCAAUUGGCCUCGAAGAUACCCAUGACAGGGCGGAAAAAUGACGCUGAUGGUGGGGUCAUUGACCGGUGCCUUCACACAUUCGUGGGCCAGGGCAGGCCUUCGAAGGCGAGCCCCGAGUAUAUGGGGGCAUAAGGCCCAGAGCGCACCUAAACACCAACAUCGACAUUGGUAUGAACCAGCCACACAACCGUUCAGUCAAGAGGCUGCUACGGUAAUACCGCUCACUGUCCGAGGGAAAUGCCCAAGAAAUGGUCCUGCCUGUGCCGGAAGGAAGUGACGAAAUGACAUUAGACUGACAGCGAAGACCGUCAGCAGCGGUGAUGUCGGAAGAGGCCUGCUGACUUACCAUAUUAAUAUUACACUAACAAUACAAUGAUAUCUUGAGCAGAAGAGUCAGGUGCCAUUUGGUUUAUGGGGAUGCGGUAACCACAAACCUAGGUUAUUACUCAUACAACAAUGCCGCGGAAUGCUCAGCACCCCUCUUUCUGGUUACUGACAUCGCACAAUGGUUGUUCCUGGACUAACUUCUUCUGUGGUAGAAAGGAUGCCACCUGCUUCGAUGUACGUUAGGGUAUAUCGGGUUGACAUCAUGUACGAGCUGGUAGGCGGUGCAGCUGUGACAGUCAAGGUAGUGGUGGGGGGGUCUUCGCUAGCUCUAUGUGGCCGCCUGAGGCUAGGAUCUCGGAGACUGAGAAUUAGACGGGAAGUGAGUGUUGUUGAUAGUCUGAAAUGUGACACUGUCAGCUAUCCUUCCAGGGUAGGAAGCGAGGAAAAUGGCGUUGUCGAAGGGGGUGAAGGAUUGAAGGACUAUACUUACACAUUGGUAAGUGUCGUCUCCAGACCCAUGAGGUUGGAUCCAGACUGAUAGAUAUUAAGGUGUGAGUAUUUUGUGCACAUGUGUCUAUACCCGAACGAGUCGCACCGGAGUAACCUAGAUAAAAAUCUGGAUAAGUUUAUCGUGCUUCGUGGUUGGUGCUCGAGGCACGACUUACCAAAAACGUAAUGAUAUUAGACACAUUAGAUGCUACCAUGAUUCUGGAACAACACAUGUGACUCAGUUCCUCGGAACGGCUCCUUGGAUGCACUUGCAACACCGACCCAAAAUAUAUUGUCCCUGGUUAUGAAGAUUGAGAUCAACGUGCAAUGUGCUCAGAAGCACCAAAGGGGCUGACCGUCUCGAAGCAACCUUUCGAGAAUGCCACCCGGGAAAUAACGCCGCAUCCGGAUGGUUUGUACCAGCGUAAGUAUAAAUAUGGUCGAGUCGAACCACAACAUGGCAAUCCAUGCUAAAGCAAGGUCUUCCCGUAGAACAGUCAGCACCAAUUCCCUCCCUCUUUCAUGAAUUUGGACGCACGCAAGCCCCUAUGUUCCGUAAUGAUCAGUAUAGCAUGACUAUCGGGGAGGUACGGAACAUACUGAGAAUUGCUGAGAGACAGGUCACACCUCGGUGCGGUAAAAGGCAAUGGAAUAUUUGUAUCGUUUGGAUUUUCGGUGGUCACCAUGGCGAUCUAUACAAAGCGUCAGCGAGCAGCCGUCAAAAAAUGAACUGUCUUACAAGGCAGCCGACAGCGCCUCCAACGUGCGUGACGAUGAGAACGGCAAGAAUGCGCUUGCUCCGAUCGUACAACGCGUAUGUGCGAAUCACCAGCAUGACUGGGGGAAUCGAGAUCGGCCAUUACUUUUGAUUAGGAAGUCGGAUGGAGGGAACUCACUGGCCACGAUAGCUUGAGUUGCUAUCGCAAACGCUUGAUGGUAGGUCUGCAACUGACGACAUCUACGUAGAUGAUGUUAACACAGGUCCAAACCACUUCGGCGGGAUUCUUUACGUCUACGAAAGGAUGCAUCAGCCGUCAUCCCAAGCCACGAUGAACUGAACUGACGUGUUCCGACGGUGUGCCAAAGUAUUCAAAGCCGAGCGGGAUAGUUCCCAGAAGUCCAAAGUAUCGGUUGACAACGAACAGGACAGAAAUGAUCGACCAGUUUGCCGACACCCAGAAGAACUCGAUCUCUGAGACCAGCGUGAGGGUAAAGUCAUAGUACAAGAUUGCUAGGGAAAAGCAUUUCAUUAGCACUGAAAGCGUGACUAAGGAUUAUAAAGACCUACUGAACGCCGCCGCCGUCAUGUAGUUGUUUAUCCGAGUAGACGAAGCCCUAUAUACGCAAACAAUGCACAAGCGAGACAGGCGACAGGAGCAUGCAAACUCACCAAUACUCCGCCGCGUCUAGGACGUAUUGCGACACAGCCGAAGACAUUUGGAGUCGACCGCCCCCAGCUUGGGAGGGAAAAGUGGGGGUAAGUUGUCAACCGGCAGGCACGCCUACACGAGAUUUGGGACCCACAUAAAUGUCGUCGGGAGGUGAUGUGCCAAGCGGGCGCGCAGCGGGGCCCCGUUGAUGCGUGACGCGAUUGUAUGAUACCCUCGUCUCGACACGGAAGGAGCACGGAUGUUUAAAAAACGUCCACGCUAUCUUCGACGUCGUAACAUGGGGCGCUGUGGAGACUGGGUAUAGAUCGAGCGGCCGCUUGCUGACAGCCAGUGCCUUUGCACCGCUCCGAGUGGCGGGGUAAGGUUUGAGGCGUAGGUAUGUCGGCGCGUAACGAUAACCCUGCCGAAGAAAGUAGAGCGACUCGGUUCAAGUCAGGCGGCAGACCGGUCAAAGUUCUCAACAUCCGAAUGAGAUGUAUGGUACCAAGGACAUCCCAUGUGGUGCCCCAAAAUACCGGUCUCACCUGGAUUUCAGACUAGUGGACCACACCACCGAAGGAGAGCACGGUGAGAGGGGACUUCUAGGCAAUUUUACGCAAGCAGGGAUACGAAAGCUGUUCCGUCCGUGGAUUCGUGAGGGAAUAUCUGCCACUAUGUCGUCAGGGACGCCCGCAGAACCGUAGGGGCGCUGUUGGAGGAACGGUCUGGUAAGUCAGAAGGCUUCUUGGACAUGACAUUGUAUGAUACGGGUAAUGAUGCGCGCGAAGUCUGUGGGAGAAGCAUAUGCACGAGGAGACGAGGCGAUGACUGUGUGCAGACAAAGUAAUGCCUAUCGGAGACAUGAGCCUGUGAGAUGAAAUAAAUCAUACGAAGCAUACCUGCGAACUGAUACCGGUCGUCGGGAGGGGGAUUUCCGUGAGACGAUCUGCAAGUUAAGGCUGCAUGUUUCCUUCUCUGGAGAUAAUUCAUAGAGGUCUUUCGGGAUCAAGGGUCGAGCUCGAGGACGCAAAGCUUUGGCCGGCGGCGGAGAGUGUGGUAUGCGCCCCGGCACAGUAGCAGCCAUGAUCCGGCGUCUAGCCAACGGCAUGAUAUUAGCGCUCAGGUCGGGUGUUGCAAGCCACGCACUUGCGCCGCAAGUCAAUGUUCAAAGGUGGCACUCUUCUGUCUCACUAUCAGGAGACACCCAUAACCACGCGCGAAUGACGGAGGGAUAAUAAUGACGAGUGGGCACCGCCGUGGGGUUUUGAGUGCGGUGCGACAACUUUCAUCCCAUGGAUCACUGGACUGCCUGCCAUAUGCUCCCCGGGCUCAUCGCAUCGGUCGAAAUGCUUGGCUCCGGUGGCCUCAGCCUAGCCCCAGCCUUCCGCCACCUGCUCCUCCGCACCGGCCUCGACGCUCUGCCCAUUGACCACAUCCUACAUCCGUAGCCUCGCAGAAUCAGAUAACCUCCCGGUAUCUACAGGAAUCAAGCUGGCUCCGUCACCCACCAGACCGCUCCUCCUUCUCCUCGCAGCCCUCGUCGGCGCGUAUCUCCUCUUCUUCCAUCCUCCCGAAACCCUCAGGUCGUCCUCCGGCCUCUUCACAUCCAUACGCCCGAUGUCCGCCGCGUCCGUCCAGGGGUGGCACGCCCGCGCCACGCCUCACCCUUCUCCCGACUUCACGCCCACAAAGGACACCCUCGUCUUCGCCGUCCUACUAAAUGCCCCCGUAGACCCCGAAGGGUUCACGAUGGCGCUCUUCCAGCCUGACGUCGCGAUCGACGCCCGCGGACGCGUCCUGCAGCCCCAGCCGCAGGACUUCGCUGCUCUCGUGGCGCUCGCGCAGGAGGCGAGCCGGCUGCCCGACACGGGCUCAUUUAUGAAUGCCUGGCGCGUCGCGCACGCCCGCACAAGCCAGAAGAUCGACAGGCUCUUCGCAAAGACAUCUGACGGUGACAUCAGGGAGACCAGCGUCCAGGGCUGGGACCCGAAGAAGACGCAGCUCCAGGACGCAGUGGGCGAUUACCAGGCGCUACCCCUGGUGUUGCAGGAGCUGUUCGGGUGCAUUCAGGAGGGGCGAAAGGGCUUCGUGCGUGGGGACGAGAACAAGGAACUUAUUUCUCGGGUGAAGGCUCUGCUGGACAAUUGAUCGCAGAUGUAUGUUGUUACAUGACACGACAUGAUCGACCUCCGACUGAUCCUCCGGUUCUUCUGGUUGUAUAUAUAAUUGGGCUGCAUGCGGAAAUAACGGAUGUACUGUACUAUCACUCAUGUACAACAGUGUCCUGACAGUCAUCUUGGCUCUGCUAUGAUCUUACACACAAACGUCGGUUAUGAAUAAGUUAAAUAUACACUAUCGCCCGGGACAUUAGUAAUCUAGCCCACCCUAAGCCCGAGCGCAAAGCCCGCUACGAACGAUGCCCGUGGCUGGAAGUCCGCGGUGAGGAAGUCGAGGAGCCAGCGGAAGAGCGACGCGAGAUUGGGUGGCCGCGACACGCCCGAUACGUCUUUUGUGUAGAAAAGGGUUUCGAAGCGGCGUCCAGCGCGAUUCCAGUCUACACGCACGAUCGACAACGAACCCAGGUACUGCGCACAUGUCGGUAAUCAGAUAAACUGCGCUGCGGCGCAUAGUGCCACCAAGACGCUGUGAGGGUAUACUCACCUGGAGGAGCACGAAAACUCCACCGAGCGCGAAGGCGACGAACCUCGCGCCCUUUUUCACAAAGAUCCCAGCGCAAACUCCACAGACAGUGCCAAAGGUCAACUCAUAGAGGUUCACACUUGACUGGGGAGGAGGUGGUGGAGGAAGUGGUGGCGGCGACACAGCUUCUGAUUUAGGAGGAACAUUUAUGGGAGACGAACUCGCAGAUGUUGCUGAAAAAUAUCGACAGUCAACGUGAGCAUGAGAGAGUAGAAUGACAGAAUGGGUGACAUACAAUCACAGUAGAGAACGGGCGCUGCAAGGAAAGUGAGGGAGAGAAGGGCACCCCAGGUACCUAGCUUGAUGAAGUAAAUGGGUAGAUGGUGGAAGCCUUCUCGCCUGAAUUUGCUGCUGGUCGAACAAUGAUGUUGGGGAUGAGGAAUCGUAGGCGGCGGGGGGCAAUGACAGAGAGAGGGUUGGAAAGUAUGGUGAACGAAAGGACGGUGGGUGCCCCCCCGGAGACGGUUGGGCGUAAAAUAUGUUUUGGUGACGCUCGUUCGCGACACGCAACACGGCGUCUUACUGAGAGUCCCGCAGAAGGACCGAGCGAACAAGGAUGUUGGGAUGAUGGGCGACAUGCCGUGCGGACGCGUGGUCGUGGUAGAGGCGGAAGCGGAGGUGAUGAUGCGGGGCUCGCGUUCGCGCGUCAUUCAUCCUUGGAGGUUCGGAGCAGGCACAACAUUCACAAACACCUCCGGCCCGUUUGGCAUCCUCGUUGCCUGGGCGCUUGAAAUUUCUGUGCUCGAUCGCGGCGGAGGCCAAGUUGAAGUAGAGUCUCGUCCUUUUCUACGCUCCUGCCUCCUCCUUCUGUAACUCUCGCCAUGGGAAGACGAGCGAAGAACAAGCAGGGAGACCCAGCUCCCUUUUCCGAAGUGCAAGAAAACCCCGGGAAACCAUCCCAAAAGAAGCUCGGAAAGCGAAAGGCGGACGAGGUCGAUUCGAGCAACAAGCGGCCUGCGAAAAAGGCGAAGGAGACCGAUGCUCGUUCGGGGAAGCCUGUAAGGGGUCCCGCGACCAAGGGCAAAGAGAAGACUGGCGUCAAGGGCGAGGCGAAGGCCAAAGUCGGCAAACCAAAAAAACAGCAGGCCCGCUUUGAAGAUGAGGAUGAGGGAGCAGGUGGUAGCGAGGGUUGGGAGGAUGUGCAGGACGAUGACGACUUGCAGACGCAGGCCAAGUGCGUGAAACUGAAAUGGAGCAGUCGUGCUCGUCCUCACACAGUAUUGCUUGUAGGUCAUUAUUCCAUGGUAGCGACGAAGACGAGGUCGUUGGUUUCAGCGGCGAUCUCGACGACUUCGAUAUGGAUGGCGUGGAGGACGAGUAGGUUCAUUUCCCAAACCGUGCUAUCCGUGCUCAUUACCCUUCGUUCACCACAGUGACGACCUAUUGAGAGGUCCCACCCAGGAGCUCGAUCUUGGAUCGGACGAUGAGGACGAGGAACAAGAGCUCCCCAUGAAGCUGAAGAGCAAAAAGUCAAAACAAGCCGACCGCCCGCUGAAGAUUAUACCCACCGCGUCGGACGCAUCUUCUGACGAAAGCGACGAGGAUGAAGACGAUGAAGAUGGCCCCGUUACCAUGAAGAACAUCGAGGCACGCUCGCGCGCCUUGGAUGCGAAAGCUGCAAGGGACGCAGUGCUUGAUAUCGAGGAGAUGCAGCAGGCGGCGCUCGCAGGAGAGGAGAGCGGGGACGACUUCGCUGAUGCGGACAUGGACGAGGAGGGGGAGGGCGGGGAGGGCAGCGAACAGUUCGUUUUGCCGACGGCGGAGGAGAGGGAGGAAGAGAAGAAGAGGGGUGGUCCCGACGUCCACACCGUGCAGAGGCGAAUGCGCGAGUGUGUCAGAGUACUGGGCAACUUCAAGCGACUUGCAGCGAAAGGGAGGUGCGUCCAUUUCCUUCUCUUCUCAAAUUUUCCUUCUACUUGUCGCGACGAAUCUGGUCUUCAUGAAACAAUGUAGCUGGGACGUUGCAUACAUGCGUAUACGCGAAUGUAUGCCAUGUCCCGGUACUUGGUGCAUUUGAGGCCCCGCAAUGAACGCUACACGAUAAGCAACAGAAUUCAGAGCUCACGAAGUGGUCUGCCAGUCAGUUUUGGACCACAUCCCUCUCGUCUAUCUAGAGCAGGCAGUGACGUUCUUGGGUCAGUCUCAGAACGGGUUGUUAUCACCGCCUUUCCGAAAUGGCACAUUCCCUUCGUUCGCUCAAAUAGCAGGCGCGAUCUUCAACCCGAAGCCUUACGGGUAAUGCUCAGAGCAGGGAAGGGAUGAGUUAAUCCUUAAUUUCUCAGUCACUAUCAAAGCAGAAGCAUCUUAUACUGAAUGAUUACGUCCACAGGUCAAGAGCAGAAUACAUUCAGCAGGUCAUCUCGGACAUGGCAAGCUAUUAUGGCUACAACGAUUUCCUCGCUGAGAAACUGUUCCAGCUCUUUCCGGUCGCAGAGGUAUGUGCUUUGUCGCCUUGCCCCACCACCCCAUAAACGUCCCGACACUGUGGUUCUUUCUCUGUGCGUUGGUGGCUGCGAUGGACGACACCCACCAUUUUACGUGUAUAUGUGCCGCGAGUAUAGCGCAGGGUAAUGUGGUUCCAUCUUUGGACCACGCUGCCCUGGAUGCUUGGCGGGCAUAGGACACGUAAUUGGUCAGACGUUCAGUCAGAGCAGCAGAGUUUGAACUCUUCCUGAAAGAUCUUGUACUGACAUUACUGGUAGGCGAUAGAGUUUUUCGAGGCGAACGAGGUACCUCGGCCCGUUACGAUUCGGACAAAUACCCUCCGCACACGGCGACGCGACCUCGCACAAGCGCUGAUCAACCGCGGCGUGAACUUGGAGCCUAUCGGCAAAUGGACGAACGUCGGCCUGCAGGUGUUUGAGUCUAGCGUACCAAUAGGUGCAACGCCUGAAUAUCUCGCCGGCCACUACAUGCUUCAAGCAGCGUCGUCUUUCUUGCCGGUGAUAGCGUUGUCACCCCAGCCCGGUGAGCGCGUGCUGGACAUGGCAUCUGCCCCAGGCGGCAAAACCACACACAUGGCGGCACUCAUGCAAAACACCGGUGUCGUGUUCGCCAACGACGCGAACAAGGCGCGUGUAAAGAGCCUGACGGCGAACGUGCACCGACUGGGCUGCAAGAACGUCGUUGUGUGCUCCUACGACGGCCGCGAGUUCCCGAAGGUCAUCGGAGGGUUCGACAGGGUCCUGCUCGAUGCUCCGUGCAGCGGGACGGGUGUCAUCUCCAAGGACGCGAGCGUCAAGACGAAUAAGGUACGUGCGCUGGCCGCGCAGCCGCCGUUCUGCGCCCUCCCUGUCUCCGCACGACGCUGAUGCAUUGUUUCGGGCGGGGUCCCAUGUUUACUUGCGUUUGACCGCAGUCUGAGCGCGAUUUCGCGCUGCUCUCGCACCUCCAAAAGCAGCUGAUCCUCUGCGCCAUCGACAGCGUCACCCCUGAUUCGAAGACGGGCGGCUACCUUGUCUAUUCGACCUGUUCUGUGACGGUGGACGAAAACGAAGCCGUCGUCGAUUACGCGCUCCGGAAGCGACCGAAUGUGAAGCUCGUCGAGACUGGACUUGAGUUUGGCCGUCCGGGGUACACCAGUUACCGGGGAAAGACGUUCAGCGACAAGCUGAGCCUCACGCGCCGCUUCUACCCCCACGUGCACAACAUGGACGGCUUCUAUGUCGCGAAGUUCAAGGUCGAGAAGCGCGCGAAGGUGAAGAGUGAGAAGGAGGAGACUGCUGCCGGUGCAGAGGGUGCAGAGGCGGAUGUCGAGAUGGGCGAGCCAUCGUUCCCAUUCAACGAGGACGAGGACCGGCCAUACAUCGAAGGUGAGUUACUGAACACAUCCUCCAAGCCCUUGUCUUUGUCUGCCCUCGAGGCUCGGGCGGGGCUUGGGAUGCCGCAGGAAGCUGGUGCUGAUCUCUGUCACUUUGGCGCCUUCCAUUUCAUUCACGCAGAGAACGAGCGGAGGCGUAUGAAAGCGAAAGGCCGCAAGGCCCCGCCGCGAACCAAGUCUGUCCCUGUGGCGGCGGGGGCAGAUGCCGCGCCCACCCCGUGAGAGCGAGCGAGACGUGGGCCCGGGCCGUGUUGCUCGAAUUGUGCUUGCUCCUUCUCAUGCUGUAUCGAUAUGCAGUCAAUGUCUGCCGUCAUACGACCUGUAUCGCGCCGUAGCUGUAUACAGUAGUGGUGUCCUGUGAUAAGAGAACCGGGCCUGGCUUCGUCUGCCACGCCAAGUACUCCGACUCCGACCCCGCCCCCGGUGGCGCAGGCCGCAGGCCUCAGAACUUCUUGCGCUGUUCCGCCGGGAUGGAGUAUUCGAGAGGAUGUUCCAUGCUCCGGUGCUUCGUUGGGUCGUUGAUUCAAUGUUGACUCGGUCCAGCUCAAGCUCGUGUGCACCCACGGACCCCUCCCCACGUCCGGGCCCGCUCGGGGCCCCCACCACUGCUCAGGAUCCUGGCUAAGGCAAGACCCUCGGCAAAGAGCGGUACAUAUCGUCAUCGUGUGCCAGUCUCGGAUGCUUCUUGCGAAUUCUUUCAGAUGCGUUCCGGUUUGCGCGCCCGGGCGUGAGAUCGUCGUCAUAUUUGACGUGAAUGAGGCUAGCCAGCGUGUGUCCGCGUCCAGCCUCGGUGCUUUCUGGUUGAUGUCGCAUACAACGGGGUCGCACGAUGGCGGUCGAGGGUACGGCGUACGCAUCCCACAUUAAUCCACCAGCACUGACUAUAGCUUGGAACCAUUAUCAGAAUCUAGCUCGCAGUAGAGCCGCAUGGCGCUACUUGACAGUUAAGAACCAGAGACUUCUAGAAUCUUCAGACGACGUAUUGAGAUAAUAGUGAUGCAUUUGGGACGUGGUGUCAGGUCCGACUGAGGGGUAUCAGAGGUGAUAGCUCCCUAGCGACAUGAACAGGGUACACAGGGGAAAAUGACCUAAACCGAAGGCUAUCAAAUACAGAGCGAAGGAGCAAUAGCUGCUAAGGAUACAGACAAUCAGUCUAAUGGCACGCCUCAAGACACGAUUCGCUGUGUUCUGGUACACAGAGCGAGGGCGUUGGCAAGUAAUCUGCCGAUAGCUUGAAGGGAUAGUCGAGGAGAUGGCACACAUAUCCUGGGGAAUCUGAGUGGAGCAGAACUUAAAAUGAAGGGACGUCCCGAGCUUUGAACAUACGAUCUGAAUUGAAAAAUUUGAGGUCGGACUCUCUGCAUCGGCAGUAUUUAGCAAGCAAAAUGAGCAUGGGAAUACCGACGCACCGCGGUGUGCUCUGAAGGGUCUUCCUGCGAUGGUACAUGUUAAUACCGGCACAAACCCAGACAAUUAAGAGGAUGAUUGCAGCAACUUCUAUCAGCAGUAACUAAUGCCAUCGUCAGUUACGCAAGGCGCAAAGCUAGAAACUGAGACGACGUACAGCCGAUCCUGAAGAGGCUUGCAACAUGCCAUGCGCGACAACACGCUUAAUGCCGUCGCUAAGUACAUGGUCGAUUACGACGGUGACCGCGAGCACGACAACCGUGAAGCUUGACACAAUGAAGGAGACUAGGCUGGUAUUUUGGGGCCAGACAGGGUCGAGGUAUCGGUUGACACGCUCAGGGAGGAAGAGCGUGGCGGCAGUAAUCAGGACAAGGAUCAAGUCUGAAUGGCGCGAAAGGCUGCAUGUGAGACCAUCGGCCGCACGCAACCCCGUCAUAACAUACCAACUAAAUGCAGUGCCAAUGCGAAGGAAAGACUGCUGGAUAUGGCGUUGGUGAGGCCAUCCACGUGAAGAGCGUUGGCUACGCUUGAGUCGAUUCUGUACCCGAGAUGGCGAGGACUGCACCCCCCAGCACCAUCGUGACUAAGCUUCAGAAUACUAGGUGGCAACAAGACGAUGGAGUGAGCACAUGUGACGGAAACGAUAGUUUGACGGAAAAGAUACUCACGAUACCUCUAGGCCACUGUAACAGUAACCCCAGACACCGAAACGGACAGAACCGCCUACGCUGACAGACAAGUGCGAACUUGAAGCAUGGGUAGCAAGCUCGACGAAGUAGAUGCUCUUGAGGGGUGUUAUGGACACGAGCAAUAGCAGCAGCCAGGCGAUGGCUAGUGCAAAGAGGGAGAUCCACUGGAGCAAACGAGUCCAAUGGAAUUUGCGAAGCGUAAAUGUGGAGAGGGUCUUCAUGUGUUGCCUAGGUGAGUAGCACGGUCGGCCAGCGAGAAAUAGUGGUGGAGAGCCAUGAUGUUGAGGGCCGAAAGGCUUAAGUACUGAGCGUUGUGGGCGGUCGAAAACAUAUCGCAAGUAGCGGGACAAAAGAGAGGCACGUCUUGCGCUCGAGCGGUGUAGUCGUAAUUAUGUACGGUCACUCGUUCGAGCGCGUCGAAGAAUAAGGCUGACACAGUGGAGAAAGGAGGGGUUAAUGUAAGAUGGAGAGUUGUCGGGGAGGGACAGGACGACGGGGAGCCAAGUGAAUGAGGUCACUGGGGGCGGGGUAAGUGGUAGGAUGUUCGCAGGGGAACAUGUCGGGAGGAUAUGUCUGUUUACGUGGGAAACUGGGGGUUGCCUGUGGUGGCGUCGGCUACGGCUCCCGGCCGUCCAAAAGAGACGCAGAUUGGGCGGACGUGCGCGCGCUUCCACGUGGAAUUCUGGUUUAUUAUCAUUUGAAACGCCUCCCUCUCGCCGAGUCACACAGUCCAGACGGUGGCCUCUUCCGACGCUUACCCGCAACAGAACAGAAUAGAAGCACUAAUGGACCCGCCCAAGGUAUCUCCUCAGCCCCUCACGCGCCCCCCCUCCACCCUCGCCCGACGCAGAGGGGGCGCGGAGCAUACCCCUGUGUGGUGUCUCAGGCUGUAUGUCUCUCUCUGCCAAGCGGGACAGGGAGGAGGGCCGGCCAUUACUAGUAUGACCCCAGAUGCGGCGCGCCCGAGAUCAUUUUGUGAAUAUUUCAGUCCCCUGCCCUCCGGUCAUCCUCGGAUUUUGAACGUAUAUUUGGGGUACAUGACUCAAUACUCUGGCAAAAAAUGAAGGAAAUCGGUUGAGACCUACGUUAAGGAUCAAGGUAUUAGUGGUUUGACCCUAGUACCGGCGCAGAGCCGCCCAGCGAUGGUCACAGAUAGUCACGGUGCCGAAAGCUGCCGAUUUAAAGUCCGUCCUUAUCUCAUGCAACCCGUGCGCGCGAUCGCAGCGGGAGACAACCGAAAUUGGAAGUCCGCCUUGUCUGCAUUGUGGCUGAAUGUCACGCUCGACGGCUCUUCGUUGUUCAGCAUGAAAAGAGGAUCGAAAAACCUCGGAGUUUUCAGAAGAAUGAUUAUUCAGUAUGUAUUAAUCCACUGCGCAAGUUUCGUGGAUACCAUGCCUUCUGUAGCAGGCUGCCCAUAACCCGUACCACGGGUAUGCAACAUUGAUCAACCCAGUUUGGACCCAAACCUUGGCCGAUUUUCCUCGUUCUUUCUUAUAAUGAUGGGUCUGAAGCAAAAGAAAGAUAUUUGGGUCGUUUCCUUUUUAUCUGGAUGGAAAUGGGAGGACGGGAAUCGUUUGAGCCGCUUCUAGGGUCACGGGCGCUUUCCGCCGCAUCUGGGGUCAUACUAGUAGGGGGCUGGAGCAUGUCGUAGCACGACAUGAUUCCCGAUCGUCGCUAGACCACCGGAACGCGAGCUGGACAUCUUCCUUCGGCUCCUACCAAAUCAAUUCAAUUUUUGUCCCCUUGUGAACCGCUUUCCCACCGUCCUCUGUCCCAGUCCGUCCCCGCCUGCGCAGAGCUCCCCAGCCCGGCACCCUCACACGGAGAGCACACACACACAGAGGAGGACGGUGCAGGGAGGGAGACAUUGAUGUUGGUCAAGGACGCACACCGGAUGAGCCUAUCCGGCUAAACUGAUGUCGGUGAUCGAGAGCGCGGUCCAACAGCAACGGACGCGUCGCCUGAUUAGGGAAUCCUGGUCAUGAAACCGCCAAAUUUAGUUUAGGCUUGUUUGUUCGGACUGUUUAAGGAUAAGAAGGGCGCCCUCUUCCAGGCUUAUUCUCUCCCUAUCUCUCUUUCUCUCUCGUUCUCUCUCCUUCCCUGCAGCAAGCAAGGCCACAGAGCCCUCGCUCUCUUCUCAUAUACCACUAUUGUGAGUCUUUCUUCCUCCACAAUCCUCUCUUCACCCCCGUGGGGCAUCCUCCCUGCCAUCCCUCGUCUUUGUCGUCUUUCUAUUCCCCCUUUUAGAGACGCGUCGUCUGACCACGUAUCACUCCCAUCCUCCAGCUCACGACCCCUAAGUCUUCAAUAAUGUCCGAGUCCGCUGCUGCCCCCGCUGUCCCCGUCGAGGAGACCAAGCCUGUUGAGACCCCCGCCGCGGAGCCCACUCCCGCGCCCGAGCCCGCUGCCGAGACUCCUGUUGCUGUAAGUCUACCAGAUCAUACGGCCCACUGCCAUUCCUCAUGUCGUGCGUAGGAGGCACCCAAGGAGGAAGCGAAGGAGGAGGUGGGUUCACGUGUAUCGUUCGGUAUUCUGUCCUUUCUCUCAUUGUCGUUUAGGUUGCUGCUACUGAGGCGCCUGCCGCUGAGGCUUCUGCCGAGGCCCCCAAGACUGAGGAAGCUCCCGCUGCCGCCACCGAGGAGGCCAAGCCCGUAUGUUGUACAUUCUGUCACGUUUUUAUGUUUUCAUAACCGUUUGCAACCUCUUAGGCUGAGGCUGCUGCUGAGACUAAGAAGGAGGAGCGCCCGAAGAGCCCCUCCCUCCUUGCUAAGCUCCUUGCUCCCUUUAAGGGUGGCGACAAGAAGGAGAAGGCUGAGAAGAAGCCCAAGGAGAAGGCUGCCAAGAAGACUGAGAAGAAGGAAGAUGUACGUGUUAUCGGCCUCGUAGCUUGAUUGUCCUGCUCAUAGAUUCGUUUAGGCUGCGCCUGCCGCUGAGGAGGCUCCUCAGGAGCCUGCCGCAGACGCUGCUGCUGAGGCCCCCAAGACCGAGGAGGCGCCUGCUGAGCCUGUGAAGGAGGCGUAAGUGGCGUCGUUGUUCUCGUUUGAUCCCGUGAACUCAUAGCCUGGGCAGUGAGACCGCUGCUCCCGCUGAGGCGCCUGCUGCCGAGGCCCCGGCUGAGACCCCUGCGGAGACUGAGGCUCCCAAGGAAGAGAAGGUAACCACAUCCUCUGGUGCCGCCACAGUAUAUGUCUGAUGCUUGGUUUUAGAAGGAGGAAAAGAAGGAAGAGAAGAAGGCCAAGGUCGGCCGCCGUUUGUCGGCGCGUGUUGGCGAUUUCUUCAAGGCUAAGCCCAAGGCCGAGCACACCACGCCCCCUAAGGUCGAGGAGAACCCCCCCAAGAUUGAGGAGCCUGCUCCUGUCGCUCCCCUUGAGAACCCUGCUGCUGAGGCUGCCGCUGAGUCCUCUGAGGCGGCGCCCGCUGCGCCAGAAGAGCCCAAGGUUGAGGCGCCGCCUGCUGCGCCCGUUGUCGCUGCUGCUGCCUGAGCGUGGAUCCGAAAAUCAUCUCCAUACCUUAUUACGACCGUGACGAGCCUGCCAUUUCUAAUGUCUCCCCACCUUCCUCUGCCCUCCUUCUCGUAUCCACGUCCCCACCCCCGUCCAUGCCAGUGGAUUUCUCCCCAUCUGUUUUCGCUCUUUCGCUACUAGUUUACGACGCGGAUGUGGUUUUGCUUUUUGCUUUCUCUCACGAUUACGCCUCAUACCUACACAUCGCCGUCAUCCGCUGUGGCUCAGCCUAAUGUCGACUGGAUAGGUGAUAUCCUCAUACCCACUUUCAUUAUCUCAUCUCACUGGAUCGUGCUCGCGUGUGUGUGUCUAUGGCUUGGUGUAAUCAUCAUUAUUUCCUUGCUCUCUGACCU